Molecule: long non-coding RNA, 130019 nt
Filed under: Gossypium barbadense (sea-island cotton)
Lineage: Eukaryota; Viridiplantae; Streptophyta; Magnoliopsida; Malvales; Malvaceae
Description: long non-coding RNA (GBAR_LNC012664)
Source: RNAcentral
UUAAUUUUUUUAAAAAGUUUUACUUGUGAAUAGUACCCACAUGCCCGUGUGAUUAGGCCGUGUGGAUUCCAUACACCCGUGUGGCUUGGGACACGCCCGUGUCCCUUGUCCUUGGAGCUUUCUGUUUAUGACAUCAUCAUCAAUUUAGGGGCACACGGUCACAUCGCACGCCCGUGUCCUAAAGUCGUGUUCCAUACACAGCUGAGACACACGGCCGUGUCUCUGCCUGUGUGGUCAAUACCUAAGCUAUUUUCCAAGCCUUGGUCAACCUUAAUCUCUUACACACUCAUACAAAAUCAAAAGCAUAUAACAUGGUAUUCAUUUAAUGAUUAAACAUUCUCAAUUAAACUACAAACAUAGUAUUUGUAUGUCAUCAUACAUGUAUCUCCCAUACUCAUUUUACCUUGUCUAUUAUGGUACCACUUAUACUUUUAUACCAUGAUUAUCAUCUUACCAAAUAUUUUCAGCUUAAUCAUCAAGCAUUCAUAUUUAAAGCUAGAUCAUAUCUUCAUAAAAUACCACAUUUCAGAUGCGCAGAAUAAAAUACUUGCCUGAGACAUUUCAAUCCAACUUCAUACCCAACAAGCAUCAUAUUGAAACUAGUUAUAUAUAUACAUGUCAUGAUAUGUAUCAUUCUCAUACUAUUUUCUUAUAAACAUAUACCAUUUAUUUUCUUCCUCCUCCUCUCCAUUCCACAUCCUUAAUGUAUAUAACAUUCUUGUAAGUACUAUUUCACAAAUUACUUAUUAAUGCUUACAUCAAGCUGUUCACACGAGUUAUAGUCACUCAAUUAUUUAUAAUUAAAGCUACAGAGCUCCAAAUUAAGAUCCGUAAAUUUUUCCUGAAACUAGACUCACAUAUCAUUCCACCAUAAAAUUUUCAGAAUUUUUGAUUUGGCCAAUUAGUACAGUUUAUUCAUUUAAGUUUCCCCUGUUUCACUAUCCGAUAGUUCUGACCUCUCUUCACCAAAAAUAAAUUAUAUCACAUUACAGAACUCAGAUAAUGUUCCUGUUGAUUUUUAUUAAAAAUAGGCUCAUUAAGGAUUCUAAUCAUAUAAAUUUUAGCCUCAAAUAAAUUUUCUCCAAUUUUUGGUAAUUCUCCAAAGUAAAAACAGGGGAACCCGAAUUCAUUUUGACCUUGUCUCACAAAAUUCAUUAUAUCUCAUAAUUUACAAUUCAAUUGCUUACACCGUUUCUUCUAUGAGAAACUAGACUCAAUAAGCUUUAAUUCAAUAUUUUUUUCAUCCUCUAAUUAGAUUUUUAAAAUUUAUGGUGAUUUUUUAAAUUAACCUAUUGCUGCUGUCCAAAACUAUUUUAGUUCAAGAUGUUCAUUACCAUUUUUCCUCUAAAUUUCACAGGUCAUACAAUUCAGUCCUUGCUCAAUUAGCCCAUCUAUUAAGCUAAUUUUUCUCAAUUAACAUUUUAUUCCAUCACUCUAAACUAUUACACAACCUUUGAAAAUCAUAAUUUUAACACUAAACCUUAAUUCACAACUUUUUCACAAUUAGGUCCUAAAAUCAAUUUCUAUUGAAAUUACUUGAUAAAAUCAUCAAAAAACAAAAUCAAAGCUUCAAAUUCAUUUUAUUUCAUCAUAGAAAGGCAACACUUAUCAAUGGUAGCUUUCAAUUUUGUCCAUAAAAUCGAAAACUAAUGAAUUAAACACUUGGACCUAAUUGUAAAAGUCACAAAAACAUAAAAAUAUCAAAGAAAAGGGAAAGAAUUGAACUCACAUAUGUCAAAGUAUGAAAAACCAGCAACUUUCAGACCUCCCAUGGCAUUUUUGCUGAAGAAAAAUGAUGAUAUCUCUAGAUUUUUUAAUUUUGUCUUGUUUUAUAUGUUUAAUUUGCAAAAUUUCCCAUUUUGCCCUUGUUUCUCCUUGUCUUUUUGCUGAUUUUCUUGCCCAACCGUCCAGGCCGUACAAUUUGGGUCCAAUUUCCUUUUAAAUCCCUCCUUUUUAAUCACUUAAACUAUUUAAUCACAAUUUAACAAAUUUCGCACUAUUUUUAAUUUAGUCCUUUUUAAUUAAUUGACUAACCAAACGUUAAAAUUUUCUAUCAAAACUUUAAUACUAACUUAAUAACACUCCAUAAAUAUUUAUAAAAAUAUUUAUGGCUCGGUUUAUGAAUCCGAGGUCUCGAUACCUUGUUUUCAAUCCAAUUUACCUGAUUAAUUCUUUUAAAAUCGCAAAAUUCACUAAUUAAAAAAAAUUAUUUUAAGUUCGCGCUUGGCCCAUAAUUAUUAUUUAUUAAAAUUUCUAAACUUACUCGUCGGAUUUAGUGAUCUCGAAUCACUGUUUCCGACACCACUGAAAAUUUGGCUGUUACAUUUAGCCCAACACAAAAUUAUUUUUCCUCAGCAGACAUACUGAAUCUAUUUAUAAAAGGACAUUUAUCUUAUUUUAUUUGAUUUCAAUCAAUUUGAUUUAAUUUUAAUUGAAUUGAUUUAUUAGCUCCUUUAAAGGCAAUUUUUUUGAAAAUUUCCAAAAUUUCACCAUACUAAAUGUCUAUAAAAGGCUAUGAAUUCUGAAGAAUUUUUCUACACUCAUACUCUCUCACACCGAAUUUAUUUUGCUCUCAAAAUUAUUCUUUCCUUUCUAUAUUUUUCAACGUUCUAGUAAUAGAAAAAGGCAACGUUUGUUCGUUGAUCACUACAAAGGUGUUUUUGCUUUGACCAUUAUGUUGUUAUCCUGGGAGACAUUCAACCAACAUUUCUCCAGCUACCGUAGGAGUGUUCGAAUUUGUCUUAAGGAAACUGUGUUAAGCAGGCCUCAACAUUUAGUAAAUCUCUAUUCUUCUUCUUGAUUUCAACUUUUUUGUUAUUGUUUUUAUUGGUUUACGAAUUUGACAAUUUAAAUAUAAAUCGUUCUAUUUAUAUUUUAUUUUAUAUAUAAAUAUUUUUUAUUAUAUUUAAAUUGUUGUUCGCUAACGUGUUUUGUCCAACACUAAAUAUAUAAAAUAAAUUUCAUUUCUUUUGUUAAAAAUCAUAUCUUAAUUAAAGAUUAUUUUAUCUUGAAUUAAAUUAAAGUAAUUUAGAAAUAAGUAAUAAAUGAAAUAGAUAAAUUCUUCUAGAACUCUCAUUUGAAGAAAUCAUAUUUUACAAGAACAUUUUUAUUUAUACUAUAAAAAGGAGUCACCUCUAAGCCAUUCAAUAUAAGUUUAAAAGUUCAAGAAUUGGAGUUUAAAGAUAGGAUUUAGGUGUGAGCUUCAAUAAGAGAACUCUAAGAUACUUUUCAAAGAAAUUUUGAAGAAUUAUAUGAUAAUUCUUUAGAAUACUUAAAAGUUAUUCUCUAAUCUUAUUCAACCGAUACAAAACGAAUCAACCAUGCCUUCCAAGAGCAAUGACACUUGAAAACUGGUGGAUCAAAAGUCUUUUCCUUUUUGUUCCUAUGACACCAAGAUCAACCAUGCCUUCUAAGAGCAAUGACACUUGAAAACUGGUGGAUCAAAAGUCUCUUCCUUUUUGUUCCUAUGACACAAAGAAAACCAAUCUCAUCUUUCAAGAUCAAAUCUCGAAGACCCUUGAAGCGAAUCACAUCUAUUUAAGAUAAAGUCCCAAUGACCUUGGGAUCAAAUAAUUUUUUUGAAAAAAAGAAUCAAAGGAUUUCUUUGCAUUGAGAUUUUCACUUUCAAGUUUGAAAAUAAAAUAUUUUAUUUGUAUAAAACUUUUCAAGUUAUACUUUUGACACUAAAUUUAUGACAAUGUGGCAACCUAGACCUGACCCGGAUGGCGGGUUUGAAUGUAAGACAUUAUAUUUGUUGUCGAAGCAAUUCAACUAUGAUCAUUCAAGGAAAUGACUAAGUAAUCAAAUUAAAAACCUUUUACACUUUAAAAAUUCAUAAUAAAAUUAUUCUUAAUACUUUUAAAUCAAUAUAGAAAUAUUUUAAAGCGAUUCCUAGGUGCCAGGACCAAGUUUGAGUCUUUGAUGGUCAAAACAACUCAAAAUAGGGGACAGGACCCUAUCUACCAUAGUUCCAUGGUGAUAAUACUCUAAAAUGACAUAUUUUUAUGUAUUAAUUAUAUGUUUAUUUUUAGUAUGAUCAUACUAAUUUGAGUUAUUUAUGGUCUUUUAUCUUUCAGGGACUAAAUUGGAGGCAAAAGGAAAUUUAAGGGAAAAAAUCUCAAAUUUGAAGAUAAAAUGGGCCAACAUGCAACAUAGGAAAAAAUGUGGUGCCAAAAAUGCAAUCAUGGACGACAUAAGGGCUAAAGUGCAAAAGAAGAGAUUUUAUAUCAUAAGACUCUAUUUUAAUUCCAAUUAUAUUAGGAUUAUUAUUUAGAUUUAAUUUUAGGAUUUAUUUUUAUUUAUAUUUAAUUAUUUGUAUUUAUCUUUUGGAAUUUAAGUAGGACUAGACUAUCUUUCCUAGUACUAUAAAUAGGGGAUGGAGUAACACAAGUUUCACAUCAUUUUUUUCUGUAAACACUUUUUCCCCAUAAAGUUUGGCCUUUUUGUUCUUUCCAUAUUUUCUUUCAAUAAAAAUUUCAUUUCCAUUAUAUUUACUUGUUUUUCCCCCAAAAAUCAUAAGCCACUAAAUCUAUCUAGCCGAAGGUUUUCAAAAUUCCCCAAAAAAGGGUUCAUGAGGCUUAGAAUCCGUACUUAGCCUUCUUGACGAAUAUUCAUCGCUACUUUGCAUUACGGGGAUGACGCUUCCGUCCAUGUCCCUUAAAAGGUGAUCUUUUCAAUGUGUGCAAAGGUGGUCGCUUUGUAUGUUUUGGGAAGGUUGCACAGUCAGUUCGUUAGCUUACUGCGUCAGAGGUUGGCGAGCUCAAGAGAUAAAAUGGCGUGGUAUUCAUCAUUGAGAAGUGAUGUUCUAGCAUAAGAUAAUCUCACAGAAGCGAUUGUUGGUUAGAGUCAAAUUCUGUUAAAAUUGUAAGUCUAAAUUCUUGGAGCUGGUGGUCGUAGGCGUCCUCUUCCACUAUAACUGGCUUAUUUUGUUUGAGAAGGAUCACCUAAAAGUUGAGGAUUGAACCUAAGGCGAAUCGAGACAACCGAAGGCUAGAAUCUCUCUAUAAGAACACAUUUUCCUCAACUUUAUUUAUUUCUAUUAUUUUUAAUUUUCGAAAUCCCAAUCAAAAUUUUUAAUUCUUUUUUAUUUUAUUUUUCCAGAUCAAAACAUUUAAUUCUAUUUUUUAUAAUUUCUUUUCCAGGUACGCAGGUUUUCUUGGGCACAAUUCUAACCAGGAUUCCGAGGAACAAGCAAUUGUGCAAGUCCAGUCCCUAAGGAUUUGACCCUACUUCCCUUAUACUAUUAUUUUUAUUAUUUUAUAGGGAUGGGAUAUUUUUGGUGCUCUCAACGACCGUAUCAAAUUUUGGUGCUGUUCUAAUCUUGUUCUUUGUUUCUUAUGACUAGACUUGCUCCAGGUACUUUUGCGUUUGAUUCAGAGAUAGAAAAAACUACGAGAGUCAAUUGCAAGGAAACAAAGUUACACAAAAAGUAGUCAGGAGUGGUCGGGACUCAGCGUAAACCACCACCAAAAGUUGGAAUCGACAAUGAAGUAGAGUCUAGGGUUAACGAAAACUCUACCUAAACAAUUGAAAGCGAAAAGUAGAAGUCGAUUCCCCAGACGAAGUGCUUAACACUAGGGUUAACGAAAACCCAAAUCUAACACAUCAACCAAUGGCUCAAAUGAUUUGGCAACUGGCCGAGGCUCUGGCAGAACAACCACCAUUGUGCAUCGUAUAUCUUACUAUGGAUAUUGAUUUUGAACUAAGGUCAGGUUUAAUCUAGCGACUGCCAACUUUUUGUGAGUUGCAAAACGAAAAUCCCCACAAACAUUUGAAAGAGUUUCAUAUGGUUUGUCUUAGUAUGAAACCUCAGAGGGUAACUGAGGAUCAAAUUAAAUUGUGUGCUUUCCCUUUUUUCCCUAAUAGAUUUAGUUAAGGAAUAGCUAUUUUAUUUACCUCUUAGAUCUAUUACAACUUGUGCUAAUCUUUUUUGAUUGUUUCUUAACAGGUUUUUUCCAGCAUCACGUGCAGCUGAGUUAAGAAGAAAGAUCGUGGAAUAAGGUAGAAAGAAGCAGAGUCUCUCUACGAAAAUUGGUAGCGAUUUAAGAAGUUAUGUGCAAGCUGUCCACAACACGGUAUAACAGAACAAUCUCUUCUCCAAUAUUUUUAUGAAAGCCUGAAACCCAUGGAGAUGAAUAUGGUAGACGCCGCUAGUGAAUGAGUGCUAACAUGACUCCCCAACAAGUAAGAGACUUGAUCUCCACGAUGGCUGCAAAUACUCAACAAUUUUGAGCCAAUCCUAAACCCCCUAGAAGGGUUCAUCAACUAAGUAACUCAACCUUAGAAGAUAAAGUUGAUAGACUUACUAACAUUGUGAGCUCUCUUAUUGCAGAAAAAGCCAAACCAGCCCGAGUAUACGGAAUAUGUGCUACACCUGAACAUAUAACUAAUGCAUUUCCCAGUUUGUAUGAUGAUACUAUAGCUCAUUUAAAUGCUAUGGGAAAUUUCUUUGGGCCACCACAAAGGCGAUACGGCUCUUACGCUAACACCUAUAACUCAGGAUGGAGGGACCACCCUAACUUAAGUUAUGGGGCCAAUCCACGAUAUAACUAGCCAUACCAAAAUUGGGUUCCACAAUAGCCACGAGAUUCAAGUAAUUCUCUGGAAACUUUGGUCAAUAAAUUAGCAGCUAAUAUGCUUGAAUUUCAACAGAAAAUCGAGGCGUCUAUAAGAGAAUUGACCACAUCAAUUGAGAAAAUAAGUUCUCAAGGGAAGCUACCGUCACAAACAGAACUGAACCCACGACAAAACGCGAAUGCAGUGACACUGCGAAGUGGAAAGGUACUGGAACCAAUUCUUGGAGGAAUUUUGGCCAAGAAAUCGCCCAGAAAAAUUCUGAAAAUGACGAACAGGUCUGAGCGAAACCCCAAUUGCCGAAAAUUCAACCUCUAUUUCCAGGAUGAUUAAAUCAAUGUCGAAAGGGCAAAGAAGACAAGGAGAUCCUCGAAACAUUCAGAAAUGUCGAGAUCAACAUACCACUGUUGGAUGCCAUCAGACAAAUUUUGCGGUAUGCCAAGUUCCUUAAAGAACUCUGCACCAACAAAUGAAAAUUAACAGGUAAUGAAAAGGUAAGUGUUGGUGAGAAUGUAUUUGCAGUGUUACAGCGGAAAAUGCCAGCAAAGUGUAAAGAUAGGGGCAUGUUUGCAAUACCAUAAAAGAUAGGCCAUCUGGGAAUUAAGAAGGCUAUGUGUGAUUUAAAGGCCUCAAUAAAUGUACCUUAUUCUAUAUAUGAAUCACUUAACGUAGGUUAUUUAACGAAAAUAGGUGUUAUCAUUUAGCUGGCAAACAGGUCUAUUGUGCAUCCCGAAUGAGUCUUCGAGGACGUAUUAGUAAAAUUUAACAAACUUAUUUUCCUUGCAAGUUUUUAUGUGAUAAAAAUGAAGGAGGAUAGUACUCUUGGAUCUUCAGACCUCUUCUUGGGUCGACCUUUUCUUAGUACCGUUAGCACCAAAACUGACGUUCAAAGCGGAACUCUUACGAUGGAAUUUGAUGGGGAGAUUGUGAAGUUCAACAUUUACAAUGCUAUUAGUCACCCAAGCGGGAUAUUGAGCGUAAACCGUGUCGACAUAAUUGACUCUUUAGUAGAGGAGACUUUUGAGUCCAUUUAUGAAGAUAAAUCUAAAUUUAUAGUUGAUGAAUAUGAAUCUGUUAAUGAAUUAUUGUCUCCAUCAAACACUAAACUUUUACCUUCUGUUGUGCAGGCUCCAGCUUUGGAAUUAAAGCCGCUUCCUGAACAUCUUAAGUAUGUAUUUUUGGGGAAAGGUAAUACCCUAUCGAUUAUAGUUUCAAAUAAACUCCCUAAGCUCGAAGAAGAAAGUUUGAUCUUGGUAUUACAAAAUCAUAAGGAGGCAAUUGGCUGGACCAUUGUUGAUUUAAAAGGGAUAAGCCCUUUGACACGCACACACAGAAUCUAUUUGAAGGAAAACACAAAACCAAUGUGAGAGGCACAAAGAUGGUUAAACCCGAAUAUGAUGGAGGUGGUAAAAAGGAGAUAAUCAAGCUGCUAGAUGCUGACAUAAUCUACCCCAUUUCUGACAGCAGAUGGGUAAGUCCAAUGCAAGUCGUGCCCAAGAAAAUGGGUGUGACAGUAAAGAAAAAUGCUAAAGGUGACUUAGUACCAACUCGAGUGUAGAAUGGGUGGCAUGUCUACAUUGAUUACAGGAAGUUGAAUUCUUACACUAGAAAAGAUCAUUUCCCUAUUCCUUUUAUAGAUCAAAUGCUUGAGCGAUUAGCUAGUACAACUCACUUUUGGUGUCUUGAUGGAUACUCAGGUUUCUUUCAAAUCCCAGUUGCACCAGAGGACUAGGAAAAGACCACUUUUACGUGCUCAUUUGGCACAUUUGUGUAUAGAAGGUUGCCAUUUGGACUUUGCAAUGCACCGGCCACCUUCUAGAGAUGCAUAAUGAGUAUAUUUUCUGAAUAUAUGGAAAAAAUUAUCAAAGUUUUUAUGGAUGAUUUUACUGUGUAUGGAAAUUGUUUUGACGAAUGCCUUAAAAACCUUACGAUAACAGAUGGAUAAAAUUUAAUCUUGUCUUGAAUUAUGAAAAGUGUCAUUUUAUGGUAGACAAAGGUUUGAUUCUAGGUCAUAUAGUUUCAAGUAAGGGAAUUGAGGUCGAUAAGGCCAAAACUGGCAUUAUAAAUUCUUUUCCAUAUCCCUCUACUAUAAGGGAGAUACGUUCUUUCCUUGGCCAUGCAGGAUUUUAUAGGCGUUUUAUAAAGAACUUUCCUAAAGUAGCUGAACUAUUGUGUGAGUUAUUGCCUAAAGAUAAGAAAUUCGAGUUCAACCCAAAAUGCAAAGAGGCUUUAGAUACACUCAAAUAGAAGAUGGUGUUCGCUCCUAUAGUACAAGCACCAGAUUGGAACUACCCCUUUGAAAUUAUGUGCGAUUCAAGAGAAUACAGUGUGGGGGCUGUGUUAGGGAAAAAGAUAGGCAAAGAGCCUCAUGUUAUUUGUUAUGCCUCAAAAAUCCUAGAUGCUACACAAAGUAACUACACCACCACAAAAAAAGAACUCUUAGUUGUUGUAUUUGCUUUGGAUAAAUUUCGGUCAUAUUUAUUGGGAUCUAAGGUGAUUAUUUUUUCUAAUCAUGCAGCUCUCAGGCACUUGAUCACGAAGAAGGAAGUAAAACCAAGGCUCAUUAGAUGGAUUUUGCUACUCCAAGAAUUUGGCAUAGAGAUUCGUGACAAAAAGGGAUGCGAAAACUUGGUAGCUGACCAUUUGAGUAGGUUAACAAUACCUGAUGAUGACACCCCUAUAAAGGAUGAGUUCCUUGACGAGAGCUUAUUUUCAACCGAGGCUCAUUACCUAUGGUAUUCGAAUAUAGUAAAUCUCUUAACCACAAGUUCGUUGCCCACUGUGUUAGCACGUUUCGUGAAGGAAAAGCUUAGACAGGAAGCUCAAUAUUACAUUUAGGACAGCUCAUACUUGUGGAAACACUGUUCAGAUCAAAUAAUAAGAUGAUGUGUUCUAGAAAUUGAAGUAACCUCUAUCCUCACUUUUUUUCAUACAGAAGAUUGCGGAGGUCACUUUGACCCUAAACGGACUGCUCACAAGGUAUUGGAGUGUGGGCUAUAUUAACCCACAAUUUUUCGAGAUGUAUAUAAUUUCUGUAAGUCGUGCGAUAAAUGCCAACAUACAGGUAACAUCAUUAAACGAAAUCAAAUGCCCAUAUCCUUGAUUCAUGUAUGUGAGAUUUUUGAUGUAUGGGGCACUAAUUUCAUGGGCCCAUUUAUUUCCUCAUUUAGAAAUGUAUAUAUAAUUCUUGCAGUAGACUAUGUUUCUAAGUAGAUAGAAGCAAAGCCUACUCGUAAUGAUAAUGCUAAAACUACUGUGAAAUUUCUAAAAUGAACUAUUUUUUCUAGGUUUGGCACACCUCGAGCUCUGAUCAGUGAUCAUGGCACCUAUUUUUGCAACAAAGUCAUGGAGGCAUUAUUAUCAAAAUACAAAGUUCCUCAUUGUAUAGCGGCAGCCUACUAUCCCUAAAUGAAUGGCAUAGUAGAGGUUUCAAACAGGGAGAUUAAGUCUAUUUUGGAAAAAAUAGUUCAGCCCAACCAAAAGGAUUGGAGUCUUCGGCUUAAUGACGCACUUUAGGCCUAUUGAACGGUGUAUAAAGGACCAAUUGGCAUGACCCAUAUCGGCUUGUUUUUGGAAAAGCUUGCCAUCUUCCGAUAUAUUUGGAAUAUAAAGCUUAUUGGGCUAUUCAACAAUGUAACAUGGAGUUAGAACCCGCAGAUAAGGCAAGGAAAUUAGACAUCCAAGAGUUGGAGGAAAUCCGUAAUGAUGCCUAUGAGAAUGCUCGCAUUUAUAAAGACAAGACAAAGUUGUUUCAUGAUAAGAAAAUAGCUCAGAAGCAUUUUUCGAUAGGACAAAAAGUUUUGCUUUAUAACUCCGUACUAAAGCUAUUCCCAGGUAAGCUUCGAUCUUGAUGGCAAGGACCUUUUAUUUUGACCAAAGUAUUUACACGUGAUGAGGUUGAAAUAGAAAGUGAAGAAUCAAGAAAGCGGUUCAUGGUUAAUGGCCAAUGGUUGAAGUCGUUUAACGAGAAUUUUCAAGCCCACGCGGUUGAAAAGAUUCAUCUGGAACCACCAUAGAACCAUUUACGACGUCGAGCUAACGACGUUAAACAAGCACCUUUUAGGAGGCAACCCAAUUUUUAUUUAUUUUUCUUAACUUUAAUUUCUUUUAAUUUAUUAUUUUUCUUUUUCUUUUUAUUUUACUUUAUUUUAUUAUUUACUAUUUUAUUUUUCAAUGUUGAUAAAAUUCUCUUCUUCUGUCUAGGUAAACCGAAGCAACAAUAGCGCUUGUUAGAGGUUUCCCUUAUGCGUGAACGAUAGUAAUUACACGGGGAGUUCUUCUAAACUUUUCUUCCGCCUAUUUAUUUCUUUAUUCCAAAUCGAAGACUAUGUGUUUUAAGUAGGGGAAGGUAUUCCUCAUUAUUUCUGUCGUUUUAGAUGUUGUUUUUGUUGCUGCUGUUGCUUUGGUCGUUGCUGCCCAUAUAAUUUUUUUAAAGAAUAUUCUGCCUCUUUUCAUGCCCAAGAAUUUGACCUCGACUUGCCUACUAUUUGACCCACAUGCAUGCUUCUUGUCUACUAAGUUAGUUAUGAUUUUGUCUGUUUGAUUUCAUCUCCAUUGUUUUAUUUCUUUUAGGCUGAAUAAUUAUGAUCGAUAAAGUCAACCCUAUCUUGCUUAUAGUAUAAUUGAUUAAGUCUAAAUGAAAAGAGGACACUUAAUACAUUUGCAUGCUUAAAAUAUGUUCAUGACUAUUAAGGUGGUCACUGAAACUUGUUUUUGACACUUGAUUGUUGCUCCUAAGUCCUCCAAAAUUAAAAUUUCAUUUAAUAAUAAUAAUGUUUCUGUGGUUGUGAGUGCAGCUUAAGAAGUGACUAGCUGAGUAACCGGGGUAAGGUGAUUGGUUUGUCAUCCUAUUUCAUGUCAAAAGGCUGUAUGAUGUGUUAGGUAAAACUCCCCUAACCGAAAUUAAUUUUUAAGAAUGUGUUGGGCUGAGUAACCAGGGUGAGGUGUUUGGCUAUCAUCUCUCUUCACGUCAAAAGGUUUGAUAUGUUCUUAAGAAAAAUAAAAAUUAGGAGUGUGUUGGGCUGAGUAACUGAGGUGGGGUGUUUGGAUAUCAUCUCUCUUCGCGUCAAAAGGUUCAAUAUGUUUUUAAGAAAAAUAAAAAUUAAGAGUAUGUUGGGCUGAGUAACCGAGGUGGAGUGCUUGACUAUUAUCUCUCUUCGCGUCAAAAGGUUCAAUAUAUUCUUAAGCAAAACUAAAAAAAAAAAGGAAAAAAAAGUAUUAAUAAUAAAACUGAAUUUGGGGACUAAAAGUGGAAACAAAUAGGGUGUCUUGAUAGGUUUGGUAAAUUACCUAAUUUUCAUGAAAUAAUCCAAGUCGAUCUUAAUUUUUGUGUGUUAAUUGGAAUAAUUUUUCAAUAUUACUUAAAGAGAGCUAAGGGUUCUCUUUAUUUUUCAUAUGCAUUUUGACUAAUUUUUAUAAAAAUUUGGAGUGGUACUUCUUUCAUGGCAAUUUCUAAAUUUCACAGUGGACAAGAACCAUACUUGAGGGCAAGCAUGGGCUAAGUAGGGGGAAUUUGAUAGUACUAUAAAAUGACAUAUUUUUAUGUAUUAAUUAUAUGUUUAUUUUGAGUAUGAUCUUACUAAUUUGAGCUAUUUAUGGUCUUUUAUCUUUCAGGGACUAAAUUGGAGGCAAAAGGAAAUUUAAGGGAAAAAUCGCGAAUUUGAAGAAAAAUGGGCCAACAUGCGACAUAGGGAAAAAGGUGGUGCCAAAAAUGCAAGUAUGGACAACAUAAGGGCUAAAGUGCAAAAGAAGAUAUUUUAUAUCACAAGACUCUAUUUUAAUUCCCAUUAUAUUAGGAUAAUUAUUUAGGAUUAUUAUUUAGAUUUAUUUUUAUUUAUCUUUAUUUAUUUGUAUUUAUUUUUUUGGAAUUUAAGUAGGACUAGACUUGGAAUUUAAGUAGGACUAGACUAUCUUUCCUAGUACUAUAAAUAGGGGAUGGAGUAACACAAAUUUCACAUCAUUUUUUUCUGUAAACACUCUCUCCCCAUAAAGUUUAGCCUUUUUGUUCUUUCCAUAUUUUCUUUCAAUAAAAAUUUCAUUCCCAUUAUAUUUAUUUGUUUUCCCCAAAAAUCAUGAGCCACUAAAUCUAUCUAGCCGAAGGUUUUCAAAAUUCCCCAAAAAAGGGUUCAUGAGGCUUAGAAUCCGUACUUAGCCUUUUUGACAAAUAUUCAUCGCUACUCUAUAUUAUGGGGAUGAUGCUUUCGUCCAUGUCCCUUAAAAGGUGAUCUUUUCAAAGUGUGCAAAGGCGACCGCUUUGCAUGUUUUGGGAAGGUUGCACAGUCAGUUCGUUAGCUUACUGCAUCAGAGGUUGGGGAGCCCAAGAGACAAAAUAGCGUGGGAUUCGCCAUUGAGAAUUGAUGAUCUAGCAUAAGAUAAUCUCAUAGAAGCGAUUGUUGGCUAGAGUCAGAUUCCGCUAAAAUUUUAAGUCUAAAUUCUUGGACCUGGUGGUCGUAGGAGUCCUCUUCCACUAUAACUAGCUUAUUUUGUUUGAGAAGGAUCACCUAAAAGUCAAGGAUUGAACCCAAGGCGGAUCGAGACAACUGGAGGCUGGGAUCUCUCUAUAAGAACACAUUUUCCUCAACUUUAUUUAUUUUUAUUAUUUUUAAUUUUUGAAAUCCCAAUCAAAACUUUUAAUUCUUUUUUUAUUUUAUUUUUCCAGAUCAAAACUUUUAAUUUUGUUUUUUUUUAUUUCUUUUCCAGGUACGCAGGUUUUCUUGGGCACGAUUCUGACCAGGAUCCUGAGGAACAAGCAAUUGUGCAAAUCCGGUCCCUGAGGAUUUGACCCUACUUCUCUUAUAUUACUAUUUUUAUUAUUUUAUAGGGAUGGGAUAUUUUUUGUGGUCUUAAUGAUCGCAUCACAUGGGUGCAAAUCCCACUUGUACCAAAACAAAUCCCUAUUACUAUACAUUUUUGCUCCCUAACUUAUUUGAUGCAAUACAAGCUGAUCCAUGUACUAUACAACUAUGUUAGGAUCUAAAGAUCACCUAAAAACUCACCUAAUUUAACCUUCAACAAUACCAUAUCAAAAUGAUAACUUGUAAUACCAAAAAAUCAAGUUCAAAGCAUCAUUUGUAUACACCACAAUAUCACAAACCAUAAAAAACACAUGCAACUAAAAAUCAUCAUAUUGAUAUAUUGUAUUUGUACUUGGGUAUAACUAUAACACCAUAUAGUUCGAUUUUUUCUUGUUUUCCUCCAUGGCAUUCUUCAGUUCCUCGCACCAAAUGUGUCUUUCUUUCAUCAGUCUAAUUUCUUUUUUUUUCAAUUUAACAACCCAAACCCGGCCUAGACAUUACGUUUGGAUUGUGAAGGUUACAUCGUUACACAAAAACAAUGUCACUUAGUUUUUGUAAAAACUCAUUUUUAAUUCUAAGGGAAACAAAGCAGAUUAAAUUAUCGAAAACGUAGUGCUUCUGAAAAUUAUGUGUGUGUUUUGACGAAAACAACGUUUUAUUAACUUUAUUUAAACAAACCCAUAAGCUUGAUCACUUGUAUGGUAUGGCCUCGUAUCAAAUUUCAGAAACUUUGCAAUGGAAAACAUAUUUAGAUUUUUUUUCUUAUAAAACUAUAAUAUCUUAUUAGUUCUACCGUUUUGAUUAGAAUUCUGAUUAUAAAUAGUACGUUUGCAAAAAAAAAUACCAAAUCAAAAUUAAAGUUCUAAAACAAAAUUAAAAGUUCAAAAGUCCGUAAUUUAACCCAAACAUACUUUAAUCCAAAAAGUUUUAACAAAGCUCUAGAAUCGUCGCCCAAUACUAAGUCUGAGGAUCACCUAAAACAAAACAAAACAAACGAGUGAGCUAGAAUGCCAAUGAGUGACUUGGCCCACAUGCAGAAUUUUAUUUAUAGAAUAUCAGAGUAAACCCUAUCCCUAUCCACUAUACACCGUCUUCGUCUAACUAAUCACACCAAUUAGGAGUACAAGAUUCCAUCCAUCCAACCACACCGGUACGUGGCACUAUGGUACUCAUAAAUGUGUAGUUGAGCUGCUAGACUGAAAUUGCGGUUUAACCUCUAAAAUUGUAGUAGAACUACCAUAAUACAAUUCCUCCAUCUUAGCAAAACCCACCCCACUGCAUAUGCAUAAUCAUAUUUACAUACAUACGUAUCAUAUAGGUUGAAUGGCAUGCAUGUCUAAACAUAUAUAGAUAGAGCAUAACAUAACACAUAACUUAUGCAAAUCGAAACUUACUUAACAUGCUUACUCAUGUGUAACAUACUGACUUUUUUGUUUUUUAUUGGCCUAUCAAAAUGCCCAUGGAUUCAAUUUUUGAGUCCUUUAAUUGGCCCAGGUCGUGUGCUCCACACAGCCUUGUAGUGCACAUGGUCUGUUACACGGCCUGCCACACGGCUAUGUGAUGUUAGGCAAUUUCAAAAAUAGACCCUGUUUUAGGGUUUUUUCCAGAUUCAAUCAAAUUUUUUGAGUUAGUAUACACACCUAAUGAUGAUUCUAAUAACCCACACAAAUAUUGCACCCGAAUCCUACAUAUAACAUUAAAACAAAUUGAUUAAAGAAUGUGAAUUGACUCAAUACCAAACUGAAACUUAAUUUUGAUAACACAAUUUGGUAAAAUCAGUCCCUAAACUGAUAUACCAACACUUACUCUGUAAAAACAAUUACUAAACGGUAGUUAGGUCAUCGGUAGGUCACGUAUCUCGCACAUUUCACCUAAGAGAGCCCAAAACAAUUAACAUUGAACGUUAGAAACAUCUAAAACUCCUAACAUCCACAAGUAAUAGACCCAUUUACCCUUACCACUGCAAUAUCUACAUACAUACUUACACUUAGGAAGGAAAUAUGAACACCGCUUAACGCGUAAAGGAUUGGAAAAAAUAAAAACAUAGAGAACAGAUGGAACAAGGGUGAUAGCAAAGAAAAAAAUUGGCACACCAAAAUAGAAGAGAAAAGAAAGAGGAAAAGAAGAAAAAAGAAAGUAACAAAAAUGUAAAGAAGAAAGGAAAAGAAGCGUGUAAAAGGGAAUGGAAAAAAUUUACAGUAAAUAGAGAGAAAAAUUACGGAAACUUUGAUUAUUUUAAAAAAAUAAAAACAAAAUAAAUAAAAAAUAUUUUGAUAAUAUCAUAACCCACCAGUUUAUCUAAAGUUUGAGAUUAACUCAACCACUAACAAAUAGACAAAGAACAAAAAGAAUCUCAUCUUUGCUCACACAGAGGUUCGGACAGAAGGCCUAAAGCAGACAUUCCAUGAACUUAACCACCAGACCAAAUCAGAUCACUUUACAUAUUUUAAGCAAUUUAAAUAUAAGAAAGUUGGGGCAUUACAUUCCAUCUCUAAAAACAAGAUCGAUAAGAGAAAAUAUGUUUCUUUCAGCACCAAAGUUAGCAAAUGGCACAUCCCCUUCAAUUAAAAGAUCUCUCUCAUAUGAUUAAGUUCAUUGUUCCUUAGGUAUCCUAUCUGAUUAGGUAUUCAGCACCAUCUUUGUUUAUUGCCUUUAAAAAAUUGAUCCUGUACGAGCUCGUACCCUGUUGAAGUAAAUAUAGAGUACAAAAAAUGGAUUAAAACCAUAUAUAUUAAAGAAUGAUAUAGAAAUAGAAUUUACUAAUGUAUCCAUGUUAAUAAAAUGUCGAAGUUAUUCAUCCUCGUGGAACAUCCUCAUGUAAUUAGCCCCGAUAUGUUGUAUGCAAUACCUAUGGUAUGUACGAUCCCAAAGGCUUCCAUUUUGAUCAAUUGCAGUGUGUAUGUCAGUCUCUCUAUCAGAAACGAUGCAUAUCUCGGGUUGUAGUACAACAUUUCUUCUCAAGUUAGUAAAGAAAUCUUAGUGCAACAGUAGUUUUGGGACCACAAAUCUGACAAGUAAAAUUUUAUUUUAUUAUUUUAAUGUUUACAGAAUAUUGGUAAGGUCGUAUAAAAAUUUUGUUAAGAAAUUUUGACGUUUGCAUGUUUAAUUAGGUGAAAAUGACUAAAUCAUAAAAAGUGAAAAAGUAAAGUUCUAAUAGUUAAAGAUGUCAAAUAGCUAUGAAAUUUUAAUCUAAUGGGAUUGGAUGGUAAUUAGAACAAUUAAAGUGAUAGUGGAUAUUUAUGGACAAUGUUUUAAUGAAAUUAUUAAAGGUUUUAAAGGUUAAAAUGGUAAUUAGGUAAAUUAAGUUAAAAAACAAAAGAAAAUAAAGCUAUCAUUUUUUAUUUUCUCUAGCCCUAACUGAAAUUAAGAAGGAGAAGACUUCAUGGAUGAAUUGCUUGUUCGGUCAAGCUUGAAUUCCUUGCAUGGUAUGAUUCUAAGUGUCGUUUUUGAUGUUUUUAUGCUUUUGGAGUCGUUGUAGCUUAACCUAGCUAGCUCGGGGACAAAUUUGCAAAAAUUUUUAAAGAUAUAGGGUUUUUCCAUGAAUGGUCUCAAAUGAUUUUUGAUGUUUGAUCGUACAUUAUGAGUCUUUGUGGAUGAAUAAACAAGUUUAGUAAAGUGAUUUUUGAUAAAAAUGUCAUUUAGGGGCUUAUUUGUAAUAGUAAACUUCAUGGUAAAAUUGUGAAAGAAUGGUUUAUAUGGGUUGGUAUGGGUUCUUAAUGGAUUCGGCUAGCAUGAAAUAUGGAUGGAAAUGCUUAGAUUUUAAAUUAUGAGCUUAAGGACUAAAUUGUGAAAAGUUAAAAUGUUAGGGGCAAAAUUGUAGUUAUGCAUAAAUGUGAAUUAUGGAUUGAAUUGAAUGUUAAUAUUGAUUGAAAUACUUAAUUGAAUAUAAUUAUUUAUUUAGAUCAAGAAAAAUCGAGGAAAUGUGAAAAUUACAGAUUAACUCGAUAGCAUUUUUACGCUCUAGUUGUCAAUGUAAGUUCAUAGUAUUUCAAUAUGUAAAUGAAUUUCUACUUGUAUAUUUUUACAUUAUAAUUAUGUAAUUAAAUUCUUAUAGUUAAUUAUUCCCUGAAUUGCACAUAUGUGCCCCUAUUUGUAAUUCGGUACCCCUAAAUUGCACAUACGUGCCCAUGAUUGUACUUCGAUACCCUUGAAUUGAACAUGCGUGCCCUGUUUACACUGUGGUAACUUUGAAUUGAGUAAAAUAUGAGUUUUAUUUCAAUUUUUGUUAAGUUUAAUGAUAUAAAAUGUUCUUACUAAGCUCUAUAAGCUUAUUCAUUUUUUUUUUGGAUUGUUUUGUAGAUCUUUGUUGCUUCUUUCAUGAUUUUUAUGCUCUAUAAGCUCUAUAAACUUCUUUCAUGAUUUCUAUGCUCCAUUUGACUAUUUUACGUGCACAUUCAUAGUUAGAAUAGUAGAUAAAUGUAUAUUUUUAAGUUUUAUUUUGGUAAUUUUUUAUUUUAUUUUCUUAGUCAGUAUAUUAGGCUACAUUCAUUCAUGGUUAUUGUUUCUAUGGGUUUCAUGCUAUUAACCCCACACAAAUUCAUUCUUUAGAUAUCUCCAUUACUUAUUCUCAUAAGGUUAUUUGGCACAUUUACUUUGGCUAUUAUAGUAUAGGUUAAUAUGUAAGCCGCAUGGAAAGUAUUCACUUUAAUUUCCAUUAUAGGUACACCAUGUCAUCUUCACGAGGAAAGAAGGUCGUCGUCCCUCCUUCGAAGAAAAGGAAGGGAGCGUCAUCUUCCUCGGGUGGGCCGCUGUAUAGACUGGGCCACGCUAGAACAAGUCCAACUUGUGGAUGCAAUUCAGGCCCUCCUCAUCACCGAUCCUUGGGGGCUUUUCUUUGAGAUUGUCAAGCCGACAUAUCUCGAACUCACGAUGGAACUCUGCUCAACAUCCCAUCUUCAGACCGUGAUAGCCCGCUUUGAUAACCCAAGAACAAUCCAAUUUUGCCUCGACGGUCUAGUACGCUAGUUGAACGUCCCAGAGUUUGGAACCGCACUGUGUCUUUACACUGAGGAGUUCAUGGAGGAGACUGAACUCCACGCUCUUAAUUACCACAUCUAUCACUCUCCUUCACGGUGUUGGAACGCCCUUACCCCUGGCACUGCCUCCUGCAAUCCUAACUGCUCCAAGGCAUCAGCUCUCCCUCCAUCUCUGAGGUACUUACAUGCCAUUUUGGCUUACACGUUAACAGGAAGGCGAGAGAGCACUGGCGUCGUCAACACUCACGACGCCUACUUUUUAUAGUGUAUGUCACACAGGCACGUCAUAGACCUUGCGUAUUUCAUUGCCCUCGUCAUUCAACAUUAGAUGGAGCGGCAUAGGAAGCGGGUCAUCUCCAUUGGGCCCUAUGUGACGCAGUUGGCUUGGAACUUCGGGCUCUUCAACACAGCAACCCAAUCAUCCUCCCUCACUCUCAUGGGCCAAAUGUCCCCACAGGGCAUCUCGAGCAUGCUAAGUAUGAGGAUGAUCGAGAAACGACGUGGCACCUUCCCUCCUCAGUACUGUCUCGCCCAAUCCACCGAGGAAGAGGACCCCAAGAACAUUACCGAUGAUGUCCCUCCAUGUCACAAGGACCCACCGUCUCGGCCACCACCACCCUCUCAUCCAGUUCAUGCGGCGGCUUCAUACGCUGACAUCUCUGAGCGCCUAACUCGAUUCAAGCAGCAGUAUUUUCAGCACUUCGAUCACAUUGAUGCUACACUACACCAGAUUUGUUAGCACUUCCACAUCUCAUCGCCACUCCCACCUCGCGAACCAUCUAGCGAUGAAGAUGUUUAAAAACUUUUAUUUAUUAUUUUAUGUUUUUACUUUUAUUCUACUUUAAGAGUACUUUUUGUUUUUCUUUAAGCUUAUUUUUAUUAGGUUUUAUAAUUUUUAUUUAACAAUUUUGAAUUUUGGCUAUUUCCUAUCGAGUAAUUAUUCCUCCUUAUAUAUUUUCUAAAAGAGUUCCUGAUUCUAUCACAGUUAUAAAGAGCUCUUAGCUCAUCAUCACAUUGGAACUAAAAACUCCACCGGGAAAGGUUCUCCGCGACUGCCAUGUCCUGCUCGACCAUGACCAUAGCUACCACCAGAUAUAAUAUUCUUUUGGUGUAGAACUUAUGGACUAAUGAACCUUUACCACUACCGGAGUAUCCUCCUCCACCCUCAUGCUAAUUAUUUUCCAAAACUCCAGCUCAAGGAAAUUCAUUCAUCACUGAGGAAGUUUUACUUCUCUCCCUAUCUUAUGUUUAUAUUCUUUUCUAUAUAUCUAUCUUUGAACAUUGAGGACAAUGUACAUCUUAAGUGUGGGGGGUAUUCAUUUCACUAUCAGAAAAAUCCCUGAAUGAUUGCCUUGUUCUCUUGAAAAGAUCUAAUAUCAUGUUUAGGAUAAAUUUUGAUUGAUUUAUAAUUUUUAUUGAUAUAUCUUAAAUUAAAACAUAAGCAUUCAUGCAUUGAUUAUUUAAAAUUUAAGACAUUAGAGAAUUAAGCAUGCUAAGUUGUUGAUUUUUAAGAAUUUAAAAUUUUAAGUUUUUUCCCCAAGUUUAGGUAUUAUCUUGAAUUGGAAUUCACAAAGUUUAAACAUCAAAAAGCCAUAAUUUUUGUGAGAUCUUGAGCCUUUAGAGCAUCUAUUAAUUCUUUCAUGCUCACUUUCAUUAUGAGUGCGUCAGUAUCGAAUUGUUAUUCUAGAACUUGCUUGAUUAUGCAUGCCAAAAUCACACCAUUUGAUUUGAUAUGUCAAAAUGAGAAAGGCACUUAGGUUUAACCCACUCACUCCAUAAAAGCCUACCUUCAUAAUUAACCCUUAGUGAACCCCCUUGAGCCUAACAACUCAUUCAUUAAUUUACCCUUAAUAUUAACCCAUAACUCAUUAUUGUUGAAAUCCCUUAAAUUAAUUUGAUCCCUACUUUUGUCGAGAUUUGAGUUGGAAUAGUUGCUUAGCUAUGUUUUAUUCUAUUUUUUAAUUUGACUUGUUCUGAAAAAAAUACAUGUAUACAUAUUAGCAGUAGCUAAAGAAGUUAAAUUCCAUAUUCUGAGAAAAAGGCCUGUUGUACGCAAUUGAUGACUAGUCAUUUUUCUAGUUAGGAAAUUUUUCAAUUCAAACUUGAUUCAAACCUUUUUCUUUCAGUUUGUGACCACACCCUCUAACCAAAGCCACGUUACAACCCUCUAAAGACCUUUUGAUUGAUGUUUCAUCUCAAUUUAUAGUGGUGGAGAUUUGAUUUUCAUGCAAGCCUAUGGUAAUGACUUUUCAUUAUUGACUAUUGAGUGCUUCACUUAUUGUCCUUAAACACCUCAAGUGAUUUGAGUGAAUCUUUAGUGAGGAUGUGAAACUCUGUGAUAUUUUGAAUCAAAAGUAAUUACUUAGAUAAGGGGAGACACUUAUGUUUUCAUGAUAAAAUGCUCAACUUGGAAUGUUUGAAACUUUGAUGUUCUUUCAGUUGAAUUUUCAAUGUAUGAUUACCAAUGGAUUAUUUUGAGAUAUUAUCGAUAGAAAUUAUAAGUUGAGAAGAAUUUAUUUUCAUUAUGAGUUGAGGAUUUUGCUUGAGGACAAGCAAAUGCUUAAGUCCGGGGGUAUUUGAUAAACCAUAAUUUAUACAUAUUUCUAUCCCAUGCUUAGCACAUUUUAUGGAUAAUUUUUCCUUAAAUUUGAUGAAUUCGAUGCUCCUAAUGCCUUAAUUUCAUAUUUUAUACUUAGGUGAGCAUAGGAGAGUGAAAGGAACGAGAAACGGGCCAAAAAAAGAGAAAAUGGACUAACGUACGAAAUCAACACAACCUGGACCUCCUCACACGGGCAAACCACACGGCGGUGUCAAUUUGGCAGAAUCGAAGCACGACUCACACGGGUGGACCACACGCUGGUGCCUAUUUAACAAGCUUGACCACGGCCUGAAGUAAUCACACACGGGCAUGUCCCUACCGAGCCCAAGUUUAGUCCAAUUCGAAAAAGGCCAAUUUUUAGGGUUCUUAGGCAUUCUAAAGCCUAUAAAGACACCCUAGAGGAGGAGGAAAAAGGACACACAGAGAAGGAAGCAGGGAACUGCUCAAAGAAAGCCGAUUGAUCCAUCUCAGAAUCCGGAUUCAUCACCAAGACUAAAGAUCUCCCCUCAAUUUCCCUUCAGGAGUUUUGGGUUUUUCUUUAUGUUUUGUAUUCAUUAUUCUUCUGAGAUGUUUACCUUUUUAGUUAUGAACUAAAACCCCUAAAUACCUAAGGGGAAUGAAACCUAAGACAAAUCUUGUUAUUAUUAUCUGAAUUGUAUGAUAAAAUUUGACUUGUUCUUAAUUAUGUGUUCUUAAUUCUUGUCUUGAUAUUCUAGGAUAUUGAUUCAAGUUAAGCUCUUAUUCAGAAGAGGAAUAGACCCUAUCAAAGAGUACAUUUGUCAUAAUUAAGCGGAGUUGAUUGUAUGCCUAGAGAUAGGAUCACAAGAUUUUGUCAGAUUAGGGUGAAACCUAAUAAGGGGAUCCAUAGAUCGAGUUAAUGCAACCUUAGGGAGUUAAUUAGAAAGAGAUUUCAAUUAUUCAACCUAGGGUUGACGUUGUUAGUCUCGAGAGCGAUAAUAAUAUAACUUAGGGAUCUCUACGGAUCAAGUCAAAUAAAUAAAUCGUCCAAUUCAGAGUCAAAUAACAAGUGAAGUCUAGGUGGAUUUUUCCUUAGGUAUUGUCUUAAUUCAAUCGUUUUUCCAAAAGUAAUUCCCCAAUUCUAUUUUCUGUGAAUUCUUAGUUUAGUUAAUUAGUUAGUUAAAACAAACCCCAUUAUUCUUAGGCUAGAUAAUAAAAAGACAGUCAUUACUAGUACUUUUAGUUCCUUUAGGUUCGACAAACCGGUCUUGCUAAAGCUAUACUACUGUUCGAUAGGUACACUUGCCUUCAUCAUGAUAAUAGUUAGUUUCAAGAACGAUUCAUUAUAAAUAUUUAAAACCUGUCACGAAUAUCAUGUAUCAAUUCACAAUAAAACAUAGAAAAAUAACACGAAGUAAGCUUCAUAGCUUAGUAAGCUCGUAUGUAAUUAACUUAAUUCAUCGAAAAAGUGUAAAUCAACCAAUUUCACAUUAACUACAAACCUUUCUCAUGUCUUAAAACAUUAUUAAAUACCAUCCCAUUAAAAUUUCUCUAUUUAAUACUCGAAUAGGUUCUGUACAUACCCGUUGAACCAUUCGGAAUAGAAAUUAGAUACUCAAUAGUCUCAUAAGAUAAGUAUAUAUACCAUGGUCCAUAGCCAAAUCAAGGUAACUUAUCCGAAAAAACAAUUAUCAUGGCCCGAAGCCAAAUCAUCCGAUAUGCAUGGCCCGAAGCCAAACUGGUAUAACAGUGCUAAUAUCAUGGCACGAAGCCAACUCAACUUAUCAUCUAAUAACAUGACACUAGUAUCCAAAUAUAUUCCUAAAGCUCAACUGGGAUUUCACACUUUCCGUUUCUAUCAUCGAAUGCAUUCGUAAAGUCGUUUUCACAAUUCGAACAUUAUCUAUAAUCUCAUAAUCACAGUUUAUACAAUAUCAAAUCUUUUAACAUACUUUUAUAAUGAAAUUACCACAUACGAACUUACCUCAUAUUCAGAAUUGACAAAUCGGAUCAACAACUCGAUAACCUUACUUUUCCCCCGAUCUAAUUCUGGAUUCCUCUUUUCUUGAUCUAAAUAUAUUAAAAAUUAACUUAUUAAAUCAACCAUUCAUUCAAUUUAGUCCAUGACAUACAUUUAGGCCUAUUUGUACAUUAGCCUCUAAGCUUUCACAUUUAAUCAAUUUAGUCCCUAUUUCACAAAUAUACAAAAUUCACACAAUUUCAAUAAACUCAAGCUUAGUCGAAUUACCAUAGUCCCCCUAGAAGCCCAUAACUUUCAUUUAUUUUCAAUUUUAACCACUCAAUUUGCACAUUUCACAAUUUAAUCCCUAUUAUGCAUUUUCAUCAAAAAUCACUUUACAAAACAUGAAAAUCUAUCGUCAAAAAUUCAUAUUUCAUCUUCAAACAUCAAAGAACACAUAGAUUAAACAAUGGAAACUCUCAAAGUCUUUUACAGUUUUUAAAUUAAAGGUACGGGCUAGCUAGAUUGAGCUGCAACAAUUACAAAAAUAUAGAAAUCAUCAAAAAUCGAGCUAAAGUGGACUUACAAUUGAAUUAUUAAAUGGCCAAAUAUCACAAGCCCUAAAAUGGUUUUCUUCUUUUCUAUUCAUGGUUGAAUAUGAUGAUAUUAGAUAAUGGUCUCAUUUUUUUUAUUAAUAAUAUUAUUAUUAAUCAAAAACCAAUAUUAACCUUAAAUAAAAACCACCAAAUUUCAUGAUAUUAUGCCCAUAAAUGUUCACUCAAUUUAAUUAUGGUCUAAUUAAACCAUAAGGGCCUCUAUUUUAAUAUUCCAUAGCUAUUUAACACCUUUAACAAAUAGAACAACACUUUUACAUUUUACGCGAUUUAGUCAUUUUUCUCAAAUUGACUAUUCAAAUGAUAAAAUUAACUCACAAAAUUUUCACAUAUAUCAAAUAACAUGUUGUAAAUACCAAAAAUAAUAUUCAAAUAAUUUUCCAACAUUGGAUUUGUGGUUCUGAAAUCACUGUUUCGAUUUGACCAAAAACAGGCUGUUAUAGUUCUUGUGUCCCUUAGGGUAGUGGCAUGUAUAUGUGGCUAUGUGGUUUGUUUUGGUACAAUAUGACAAUAUACUAAACUAAGUUGCUAGUUACUUUAUUAAUAUUGUAAAUAGGUAUCUUUUUGGUACAAUUAGUAUGGUAUGAAAUUAAACACUUGUGAUUUGUUCUGGCUCGUGAGUGAAUUAAGUGAUAUGCUAGAAAUGGAUCAAUGUUUACAUGUUUUAGUUGUUAAUGUUGGAUAUAAUUGUUGUGUCUAUGAAGGGCACAAUGGUUGGUUGUUUUUAGGACAUUAAAUGGUAUGUUAUGUUGAGUUACUUGUGGUCUCAAUUGUGGUAUGCUUUAAGAUGAUAUUAAAUUAGUUGUGUAUGUUUUAAAUGUGGUAAUGCAAAUGUUUAGAUAAGUUUGUUUGAUUGUGAUUGAGGUGCCUUAUACGGCAUAUUGGUUGAAUGCAUUUGGUCAUUUGAAUCGGUCAAUUUAAUCAUGUUUUGGUAUGUUUUUGAUGCCUUGGUCAUGGGGGUAAAUUGCUUGUAGGUACACAUUUGGCUUGGUAAUGGAAAUGGCUUGAUUUUGGCCUAUUUCAUGUCCACAUGGCCUAAGACAUGGGCCUGUGUCUUAGCCGUAUGUGACACACAGCCAUGCGACACAGCCGUGUGUCCCCUGUAGGUUUUAAAUGCAUUCAAGUCAGGUAAUUACACGGCCUGGCAUACGAGUGUGUAAGGCCAUUUCAAGUGUUAUACAGCCUAGCACACGGGCGUGUGGCUUGGUCGUGUGACUCAACUCAAAGAGGUACACUUGAGUCACACGGGCACGGACACGUGCUGGGACAUGACCGCGUGUCCCUAUUUCAAUUGUUACACAGCCUGAGACAUAGACAUGUGUCUCAGCCGUGUGAGUCACACGGCUUGGCUACACAGCCGUGUGACCCCUACAGUUCAAUUUUUCUAAAUUUUUCCUGAACUUUUCAAAUGUUUCCAAUUUAGUCCCGAAUUGUUUCUAAUGUAUUUCUAGGGCCUCGAGGGCUCAGUUAAGGGACAAUAUGCAUGUAUAUUAAUGGAUUAUGUUAUGUUUACAUUAAUGUUUGAAAUGUUUUUUUUUAUGUUACAUUUAUAUGGUAAUGCUCGGUAACCCCAUUCUAACGACGGAUACAAGUUAGGGAUGUUGCACUCAGGCACAUAUGGUUUCUCGUUCAACAAUUGCAAUUGUUAUUGGCAAGAUGUUUCAGUUACCGUCUUGUGCAACAACCAACAACAAAUGAUGCUCAUAUCUUCCAUAUACAGAUGUGUUCUCUAUUUGGAAAAAAGGUUUACAAUACCAAAAUGCAUUAUUGUAUAGCUUGAAUGUCAAAAAAAGAUGAUGAAGAUAUCUUUCUUCCUUGGAUUGUUCUAUCUCCAUGGUACGUAGGUGUUAUUUGCAAAUAGAUGAUGGCACCUUAAACGUGUUGCUUUAGUAUGGUCAACCAUUGCUAUAGCUUAUUAUAUGAUUUAUCCCAUUCAGUAUACAUUUUAUCCAUUGCCUUCUGUUUUGCAACCUAUGAUUUAUAAUAAGAUAUGGUGUAACCAUAUUUGCUAUGUAUAUAUUAGCAAUCAAAGUCACCACAAGAAACCUAAUAUUUGUUUUCACCAAAAGUAAGAUAAUGUUAGAGAUAAGGCCAUAAUCCAAUUUCAGAUGAACUUGUGAAAUACCUCAAAUAAUACAAGUAUGUAGAGUGAUAAGUCGUAAUUUAUACAUAUUUUUUAUCUCAUGCUUAGCACAUUUUUGGAUGAAUUAUCAUUAGAUUUUUGGAAUUUGAUGCUCCUAAUCCUUUAAUUUCAUGUUUUAUACUUAGGUGAGCAUAGGAGAGUAAAAAGAGCGAGAAAUGGUCCAAAAAAAGAGAAAAUGGGUCAAUGUGGGAAAUCAACACGGCCUAGACUUCCUCACAUGGGUAGACCACACACCCGUGUCUAUUUAGCAGACUUUAACAUGGCCUAAGCCACCCCACACGGGCGUGGCACAUGGUCGUGUCCCUAUUGAUCCCAAGUCUAGUUCUACUCAAAAAAAGGCCACUUUUGAGGGUUUUAAAGCAUUCUAAAGCCUAUAUAAACACCCAAGGAGGCGUCUAGAGAAAGACACACGAAGUAGGAGGCAAGGAAUUACUCGAAGAAAGCCAAUUAAUCCAUCUCAAAAGCCGGAUUCUCCUUCAAGACUAAAGAUCUCCCUUCAAUUUCCUUCAGGGUUUUUUUGGGUUUCUUUAUGUUUUGUUAUUAUUAUUAUUCUGAGAUGUUUUCUUUUACACAUAUGAACUAAAUUCCCUAAAUACCUAAGGGGGAUGAAACCUAAAACGGAUCUUGUUACUAUUUUCUAAAUUAUAUGAUAAAUACUUGAUUUGUUCUUAAUUAUGUGCUCUUAAUUCUUGCUUUAAUAUUCCAGGACAUUGAUUCAAGUAUUGAUGUGCUUAUUCAGAGGAGCAAAAGUCUCUGUUUAAGUGUAGAUCUAGCAUAAUUAAGCGGAGUUGAUUGCACCCCUAGACAUAGGGCGACAUAAAUCUGCCGGAUUAGGGUCAAACCUAAUAAGAGAAUCCAUAGAUCGAGUUAAUGCAACACUGGGGGUUUUAAUUAGAAAGAGAUUUCAAUUAAUCAACCUAGGGUUAGAUGUUGUUAAUCUCGAGAGAGAUAAUAAUAUAAAUUAAGGAUUUCUACGGAUCGAGUUAAGUGAAUAAAUCGUCUAGUUCAGGUCAAAUAACAAGUGAAGUCUAGGUGGAUUCUUCCUUGGGUAUUGUUUAAAUCAAUUAGUUUUCCCAAAAGUAUUUCCCCAAUUACUUCAUGUGCAUUCUUAAUUUAGUUAAUCAGUUUAGAUAAAGCAAAUCCCCUUAUUUUUAGGCUAAAGAAUAAAAAAAUGUUAAUACUAGUACUUUUAGUUCCUGUGGGUUCGACAUUCUGGUCUUACUAUAAGCUAUACUACUGUUCGAUAGGUGCGCUUGCCUUUAUCGUGAUAAUAGUUAGUUUUCAAGUACAAUCAAUCAUAAAUAUAAAACUUAUUACGCACAUCAUGGAGUGUUAUUUUUCUUUAUCGUCCACAACCGUAUCUUCUUCCUCAUUGAUGCCAUGAUUUUUUUAGGAACAUCCAUUGUCAGGUUUUCUGCGUUUCGCCUCAUAUUUAUUUGAUCAAGAUUUUUUAACUUGGAAAUUAAACUCAUUCUUAAUGUUGUAUUGCUUUACUACAAAAAUAAUAGCAUGUUUGCUGGAAAACCCCAUUUCUAAUUGCAAAUUGUCUAAAUUUGUAGAACUCGCAUGACCUGAUUUUCUAUGAGGUAGUUAUGGAAAUUCUAACAUAUGUUGAGAAUCAAUGUCAACAUUCAACACGUGGUAUGGAGGUUCAUAUGGCCUGAAAUCUUCUUAGGUUCUUCUUGCAUUGUUUGGAACUUCAUUAUUAGAACCACUCCCCUCUAGUACAGAAAGAACGACCUUUAGUUUAGAAAAUAAUACAAUUUCAGAACCAUCAGGGUCACACUCCCAGAUUAGGUCAUCAUUAGUUUCAUCACUUUGUGCUUCCUCUUCAUUAUCAACCCGAGUUGUUAAAUUAUCUAUUAGAUUGGAUGUCCUUCGUUAGUGUAGGGAGUAGAGAAAACAUCAUUCGUUUUUGGAAAGCCUACAUUAAAUUCAAAAUUACUUAUAGAAUGUCUUCCCAUAAAAUUUGAUGGCAUAUCCACAUAAGAGUUUGGAGCAUAGGACAUACACAUAUCUAUGUUGAAAUUAAAUGUGCUCAAAGAAUUUCGUGUUCGAAUCUUUGCAUUCAGGUUACCAACUACCCCCAAUAGUACACUAAAGCUGCAAUCGAAGACUACAACAAAUGAAUGUCUUCCUAUUGAUGAUUCUAACAUUCCUUGAUAUUAGCUUUGCAACAACCCAUGGAACUACCAUACAACUAUGUUGUUGGACUUUAUGCUUCAUGUUCUUGACCAAAAGCAAGAACUAUAUUAACUAGAGAUGCUGAUAAACUUGGACCACCUUUGGCUACUGUCAAAUUGGGCAUAAAACUCUACUAUAAUAUUCACAGUUGAGCAGUACACAUCAAUUAUUAACUUGACAUAUGCGUCGUCAUUUAGCUCAAAUGUAUCAUAUUUUACAGGGUUUAUUGAUGUUAGGUAUCUAUAUUUCAAGCUUGAAAUUCUCCUCCACUCGUACUUGAGACUUUUCUUCUAAUUCUUGACAGAAUUUAGUUCAAUUUGACGCUCUUAUUAAAAGCCAAAUCCAUAGGUCGAGUAUAUACAAAAAUGACCCCAAUUUUGGUAUCACGAAUUUGAUCGUCGUAAUAAAUAAUUUCUCUAAUUCUUUUACUCAUCUUUGGAAAAAAAACCUAUUUAACACACAACAGAAAAAAUAUACAUUAUAAUAUUAUACAAAAAUAAAUAUUUAUUAUUAUUUUGAUAUCUUGUUACAAUAUAAAUUACUAACACAUAAAUAUGUAGUUUAAAAAUUUUGAACCAAAUUUUAUAAAUAAAGUAACAACGACAAAUAAUUAUUUGCUUAUUUGAACUAAAUUAGUCUAUUAGGGUGAGUUUCCAAAUUAUGCUGCAGCAACUUCGAACUUUGUUCAAGCAAAUGAAUAUAACAAUUUCAAAUUUUAAACAACACUCUUUCUCCUCAACAUGCAAAUUUUCCCCUCGAUAUGUAUCUUAACUUUGAAAAACCUCUCUAUUUUAUAGGAAGACUCUACCACCAUAUAUGAAACAUAUUUCAAAAUGUUGAAAAAGAUUGAGCAUGACUACACAAAUCAAAAAAAUGCUUCUUUUUAUGUUUGGGAUUCUCGACUUCCAUUUUAUAGGAAGGCUCUACUAUUUGAUUUCUUAUAUGGAAAGGCUGAAUUAAAAAUGUUUGAUAGAGAAGAUAUCCCGAGAUUCUUGGGAAUAAAAUCAUUAAAUUUAUCUUUUGCUUCUUUUUGUUUCAUAUUUCAAUUCAACGGUUGUAUUUUUUUCAUCUAAAGGCUGAAUUUCAAAAAUUUAUGGGACUAUCAACAUGGCGUCCUACAAGGAAAAAGCAUGUCCUAUAGGACACGCUUUCCCUAAAAAAAAGUUACUUACAAGGUGCACUUUUACCUUGCAGGACGCCACGUCGACAGAAAUGUUCCCAACAAGACACACUUUUACCAUAUGUCACACAACCAACCAAAAAUAUUUAUUUAUCUAAAUAAUAUAAAACCCAAGCUAAACCCCUAAUUUUAUAUAAGUUAAAAAAGUAUACUUUUACCCUUUUGUCUACAAUAGUUAUAUAAAAUUAAUUUUAAAGGUAUUUUUGAACUUAAUCAAAUCAAUUCAUAUUAGAAGUAUACUUUUCUCUUUUUGGGGCCGACAAACCUUUUUUUUUUAUAUGACACAAUAUAAUUUAAAAAAUUAAAAUAUAAUAAAAAUACCAUCAAGAUGAUGAUGAUAAUAAUAAUAAUAAUAAUAUGACAUGAACACAUACAUUAUGAAGCUCUCUACAAGGUUUAAAAUCAAAUAUCAAAGAACUACUAGCAAUCAAUUGUACAGAUACAUAAUGAAGCAGCCAGACAUCGGAUCUUCACAAACACGUAUAACAUUACAACCACUGGAAAAUUAGCAAAAAGACCAUAUAUAAAAAUAGAAAAGAAAAUGUAUAGAACACAAUCUAAUUGGUCAGGCCUUCAGUGAACUUGACGCCGGUUGCCGGCAACCAUGAACGUCCGUUAAGGAACCUACCAACAGUGAAGGAAUUAGCAGUGGCAGCAUCUCGGAUAAUGUGGUAACCAGGCCAUUUAACCCGUCCAGAUAAUGAAGAACCAGGGCCAUAGUUCCUAUACUCACCAUACCAAAGUGUGUUCAAGGCGAAGUCGCCAUACCACUCAAGCCACCCUCUAGGGUGCACCAUACCACCCAUGUAAGUAUUCAUAAAAACUGUCCUCGAAUAUGGCUUCCAUGGCCUCCCUAAGUAAGUCGGUUGGGUGGCUAGAAUAUAGCUAUUCUGAAUCGAAAAGCCAGUGUUCUGAUUCGGGCUUUUCCGCCCCUGAGCGGUAACCGUCACCUUCUGAAGUGGCAAAGGAACUCGAGUGAAUAUCUUGCAGUUCUGGAGAACAGCUGCACCAUUGCCAAAAAUGAAGUCUAUGGUGCCAUAAAUGUUGCAUUCUCGAUAAAAUUGGCGGAGGGAGUGAACGUAGAGGGUAUCCUGAUACCCUUCGAUACUGCAACGAAAGAAAGCCGAUUGAUCGGAAUCCACUCGGAGAGCCACCGCCUGGUGGUUCUCUGGUCCGGCCGUGUUUCGGAACGUUAUGUCUCUUGCUAUAAAUCCCUUUCCAGAAACAGCUGCAAGAAUCAAGUUUCAGAGAAUUGUAUGAAAAGAUCAAAAGCGCAAGGAAUAUUACAAAACUUGGAAACUUUUAUAUUCCAGAAAAAAGCUUGAUGAAGCGUGUGCAAUCAUAAAUGGAAUUUCACUUUACAAAAGUAAUACUUCAUUCAGUCAUUCAUAUAAUUAGGCUAAUUGAAUGCUUAAGUUCCAUGAAAAUUUAAUCAGAAUUGAUAAUAUUUACCAACAGUGGCAGUUCGAAAUGUUGUCCAUCCUUGCAUGAAAUUCCGGUCCGCUGUGACUACAGUUUGUCCAAUUCCAUCACCGACAAGCAUAAUAUUGGUUUUCUUCUUCUUCAUGUCAAUGUUCUCCUUGUAAACUCCCUUCUUCACAUAAAUGACGUACCUCCUAUUAUUAUAACUUGGAGCUUCAUUAAUGGCAUCGGUUAUCGUCUGAUAACGUCCACUACCAUCUAACGACACAACGGCAUCUGCAUGCAUGCGACUUGAAUGAUUUCGUAGAAGCUCUUGAUCACCAUCGGUUAUCCAUUCCGGAAAUUUCGAGCUCGUAUACGUGGAAGUGCUAUUGCGGGGUGGUCGAAAAGGCAAGGUAUGCAAUUGAGUGUACAUAGCUAAAACAUUGCCGAUGAGUUGCGUAACUUGUUUCAGGCUGCCUCUGAUGAAGCUCUCAAGGUGUCGGUCGGUACCUUCGAAGCCUUCGAGGCAGGUAUCUUGGUUACUCAACGCAGCACUUAACCAAGCUUUGAGGUUGCCUUCAUAUUCAGCACUUGUAUCACCAUCACGAAUCUUUCUCAUCUCAGUUAAAGACCAGGCCAACUCGGAUACAGAGAAAUCAAGGAGUUCCUUGCAAUCUUCAAUGGCAAUUUGUUCACGAUAACUGACAGACAAACCAGUGAACCUUGUCAUCGUUUCAAUGGCCUGUCUGGCUUCAUUCAGCGUGGUCCUUAGUGCAGAAUGCAAAACAGAAGAUGGGGCGUGAGGCUCCAAGUUUUGAAGGUGAGUUUGAAUAUUUGAGAGGCAUAAAUCACGGUCAUCAAUGCCUUCACAAGCCUGCAUGAGCAAUGGUUGAGUGUUUAAGUUGUGUUGGACAUCAGAUAAAACUUGAGAUGAAGGUAAGAGUAAGAGAAUAAUAAGAAAAAAAUUGGGAAAGGCCAUUGUCUAAGGAGUUGAAGGAGAGAGGAAGGGAAUUGUGGGUUUUGUUUUUACAGAGAACGUAAAUAUUUUUAUAAUGCAAAGAACUAAGGUAUUGUUUGCUUUGAAAGAAAGGAAAUGAGGUUUGAGUUAUGAAAACAACUAGGUUUAUGCUUUUCCCCUCACCAAGUUAUGCUUUCUUUUAAGAUUCUAUCUUUAUAUUUUGUCUUGUACUGUUGCGGUGGGACGUUGGGUGAGGAAAGGCGGGGGGUAGGGGAGGGGCGGCGGUGAGGAGAGAAAAUGUAAUUUGAUUACAAUAUAUACAAAAAUAAUGUGUUCAUGAUUUCACCUUGAAUUAUUUUAAUGGAUUAGCAUGCACAUUCAACACCCUCUCAUGUUUUAUUAUAAUUUUUGAAUUAUCUACUAUCAAAUUCUUAGAAUUAUAUUUUUGAUGACUAAUAUAUUAUGGAUCUGCUCUCUUUUUUUUUAUUGUCUAAAAUACAAUGUACAUAAAUAUUUAUAAAAUAUCAUAAAUUUAAUUUUAACAAAUAACAAAAGAUAGUCCUAUUUUUAAUUUAUACGUAAUUUGUUUACAAUUUUUUUAAAAAAAAUUAAAAUACUUUUUUUGAUAAAUUUAUUUAGAGUUUCAUUUAUAAAUUUAUUUUUACUUUAAAUCAUGCAUUUAAAAUUAUUACACGAAAUUUGACUAACAAUGUAAUCAAUAACAAUUUUUAUUUUUAUUUUUAUUUUUUUGAAAAAUUCAUCAGACUAGGGUUUUAUAAAUCAAGCCAAAUAAAAAACCCAAGCGCAGGUUCCAGAAACAGAACAAAGGAAAAAACUAAAAACCAACAAAACUUAAAAGAGCGGCUGACGAAUAGCAGACAUCCUAAGACCCAAAAACAACAAAUAAAGAAAAAUCUAGAAGCAAAUUAAAUGAAACAAAGAAACCCUACUAAGAUUAGUACACACUCCUCAGUAUUAAACGCUAAUUUAGCAUUAUAUUUAAAAAAUACUUUUAAAAAGUAAUUUUUAGAAUUACUUUUAAAAAUUUUAAUUUAAAAUUUAAGUGUUUAGUAUUAGUGUCAAAAAAUACUUUUGAGAAAUAAAAUAUUCAUUUUAAACAUAGUAUUAUAAAGUAAUAAAUAUACAUUUAAAUACUAUUCAAAUUAGUUAAUAUUAUGAUAUCUUACUAAGAAUAUAAAAAAUCAUUUAUUAUGACUUAUUGUUAAUAUUGUAAUAUAUGAAAUAAUAAUUUUAAAUAUUUUUAAGUAAUUAAUAUUAAUUAUUUAUAAAUAUUAAUAUAAUUGUAUUACUUUAAAAAAAUAUUUUUUAAAAAUUUUUAAUUAAUAAUUUUAACACAUUUGUAUUAUUUUAAUUUGAAUAUAUAACCAAUAUCAAAUAUUAGCAUAACAGAGAAAACAUAGACCUAACAAAUUAAAAUAUUACAUGCAUUUGAAUUAAAGUUUCAAAGAGGGGUAAUAUUUAUAUACCAAAUACAUCAUCAAAAAUUUUACAUUAACAUUUACAAUUUAAAGUGAAUUCAUUAAACUAGAAGCUAUAACAUCUCUUAUUAAUUCCAUUUCAAAACCACUUGAAUUUGUUGAUUCACCACCACCAUCAUCAAGAUGAUCACUUGGCAAAGAAAGGUAACUUGCCUGUAAAACAAUAAAAGAAAUAGAGAUCAUAACUUGCCUGUGAGUCAAAGCCUUGGCAAGUUAAUAAUAUUCUAGUAUUUCCUAGCCCCUGUCAUAAAAUAUCAAGAAAGUGAAGAGGUAAGGAUGAUUUCCUGUUUCCCGCAAUUCAUAACCUUUUUUGCUACAAGUUAGAAACUAUCCAGAGAGGUAUGCAAUAAAGACAGAGCAAUAAAUAAUUUGUCCCACAUCAUGCAAAAGCAAUCUUGGAUGCAAGCACAUCAAUUUUCAGAUUUCUAUCUCCCAAACCAAAAGGAAAUAAUGGAGUGAUAUAGGUCUCGGGAACUAGAAAUUUCAAGAAAUGAACUCAACAUGGCUAUGACGUGUUCCAAAGGUUUCGAUCAGAUUCAGUCUCAUCUUAUGCCUUGACUGUAGUCUCACCACACCUCUCCCAAUCAUUGCCUCCAGUAAAUGCCAUCUUACAGGAAGAAGGACAAGUUAUUAAGUGCAAUACCAAUUAAACAACACAUCUAUCUGAAUUUGUUUUUACUUUUUUUGCUCACCAGUCCUCUUACUUUAUCUACAUAUCACUCAUGUUGCGUUCCAAGUUAAAAUACUUAAAAAGAAAAGAAAAAUCUGCAGUUAGAAGAAGCCAUAGGACCAAAUCAUUCACCUACUUCCUCACGAGAGAAAUAGGUAAAUUUGAAUGCAUAAAAUUGAUAAACCAUCAUGAAACAAUCCACAAAUUUAUAUGACUAUAUCAUACAACAAGUUAAGUAGGAAAAUUCUAAUGACAUUACGCAAAAUAAAUUCAUAUUAUACGUACAAAAGAGUAUUCCACUAAAAACGAUUUAGAAUGAGCUAACUCAAAUUUAAAAUUUAACCCUGUCCAUAUUUGUAAUAAUUAAUUCAAUGGUUAACUCAUAUUUUUAAACUAUUUAUAUUAUUUAAUAAUUAUAUAUUUUAUUUAUUAAAAUUUUAUAUAUAAUUAUUUUAACAAUUGUUUAAAAGUUUAUAUUAUAUAGAUUUAAUUUUUGUAGUAUAAAUUAAGUAAUAUAUAAAAAUAACUAAUAUAAAAAAUUACAAAUUUCAAAAUGGAUUGAAUUAAGCCCAGGCUUUGAAUGUUUAAAUUUAAACUUGGCUCAUAUUUUAAUCAGGUUUAAUUUGGGCAUAAUAUUUUUGCAAAGAGUAAAGUUUUCAAACUUAGAUAGAUAAUCUAAAUGUAUAUACUAAAAUAGAAAAAAUUGACUCAAACUAUACUCUUUUAUAAUCUAAAUUACUAUAAUUGUAUUACGAGUUUUAGUUCGGGUACGGGUUAUGUUAUUGCCACUUCCAUCUCUUCAACAGUUGAUUGAUUGAAAGUAAAGAGAAAUGUAACAUUAAUAAGGAAUCAAAAGGUUUGGGUUGAAAGUAUAGGUGUAGUUGGGGUUUUGGGCUGAUUGUAAGUUGUGAGGGGAUAUCUCUAUUGGUUUGUUACAUGCUUUACUUAUCUGAAAAGUUGACAUAUCUUAAUGUAAUGCAACCCUAGGUGCAACUACUUUCAUAAACCCGUUUUUGCUGAAUAUAACAUAUGACAAGUAUAUCAUUUUAAUAUUUUUCAAUUUUUUUCCUUCUUUAAAAAUCGAAUAAAUUAAAAUUACCAAGAUUUUUCAUUUGCUUUCUUUUGAUGCUUCAAUUCUUUCCUUAAUUCUUUAUAAUUUUUUCUAGUCUUUAUCUUACUAAAAUAUAACCCUAAUCGCAGCCCAAAGCCACCACCUCAGUUUGCCACCCCAAAACCUCCCCGUUAUCUCCGAAAUCUUAGAUUUUCAAGAACCGAACUACAACUUUUGGAAACCCCAAUUAGAAAAUCUCGAUCAAUUAUUCCUUUUUUAGCUUCACUAGUAUAAAAAGAUAGUGCAAAAAAUUGUUCAAAAGUCUCAACCUUUACCAACUACAAAAACUUUACAAAAUUCUGUGUAAUUUUAUAAAAAUAAUUUAUUAUCAAAUAACAUAUUAAAUAUUUAAGCAUUAUACUCCUAGAAAAUUAAGCAAUUAAAAGAUUAUUUCAUCAUCAUUUGAAUCUAUCUGUGAUUUUUCUACUACAUGCACGCCUUUCUUCAAAUGUUUAAAAAUAAAACCAUAUAUAAAACACAAUUCAGAUGCUCAAGGGAAGAACUAAAAUUUGACACCAGAAAACUUGGUUUGUUUCAAAAUAGAUAAAGAAAGCCAUGGCAACAGUUAAUAAGCUUGCAAAUAAAUAACCCCCCCACCUGAACAGAAAACUUCUAAAAAGAAGAGAGAAAUUUUAGUUCCCUCAGAUCAGAAUGAAUCCAAAAGAUAUUUUAAUCACUGGAUUAUCAGCAUUAGCAUGGUUUAAAAGCUAUCAUAGGGAACAUUUUUAACACCAACACACAUAAAUAUUAAAAAUGAAAAAUAGAGGAAAUUUUCAAACUAAAAAAGAGGGCUCAGAUAAAUGUUGGAUUAUGAUUCAAUUCCCAGACCUUUUCAAAAGGUCUCAUAGAGCUGGGAUUAGACAUUCAUCAUCAUCGACGACAUAUAGAUAAAAAAAACCGGGUAAACAAAAGGCGAAUUAAACAAUCAAAACAAUUCUUUUUUCCUCUUUGAAGAAAAUUCAUAAAACCAGAAAAAUAGAUAGAAGAGAUGAACAAGAGAAGGCGGCGUCUAUCGGUUGAGAGAGCCAGAUAUUUAAAGGGGAAGAAAUGAGAAGGUAUAGGGUUUAAUUUUAGGUAUUAUGACAAAUUUAACCUUUUACAUCUUCUAUCAAUGGUAGGCGGCGGCCAACGGUUAAGAUAGCCAGAUAUUUAAAGGGGAAGAAAUGAGAAGGUAUAGGGUUUAAUAUUAGGUGCAAUGACAAAUUUAACCUUUAAUUUUUAUAUUUUUAUUAAUUUGGUAUUUAUUUUUUAUUGAAUUUUAUUCUCAAUUUCUUUAAAAAAAAGUUAAAUUUUACUAUCAAUUUUUUAAAAACAGUUUAAAUGUUUUUUAAUGAAAAUGUUGACUAGUGUUAAAUUUUUAAAUAUGACCGUUCGUAUUCACGUGUACUUAAUAUUUUUCUUAAAUUUAUGAUGUAUAUAUAAAAAAUAGUAUUAUGUUAAUAUAUUACACAUAUAUUGUCACACUAAUAUCGUUAAAAUUUUUAAUUAAAAUUUUAUUAAAAACUAGUUUAACUUUUUGUGAAAGAAAAACAGUUAAAUUUAGUUCAAAAAUAAUAAAAUCGAAAUUCUAAAAAAGUUAAAUCUUUUUAUUUUAAUGAUGGUUGUAGCCAAGUAUUGGAUUCCCAAAGGCUAGAAUGAUUUUUGAGUAAAUAAAGGGGUCCAAUAGCCCGGAUCUAUAUUCUGUUUUAUGGUACAUAGAGUUUAUAAAUGAUAGAUUUGAUAAUGGGUCGGGUCAUUCAAUCCGGCCUAAAAGUUCGUUAAAAAAGUGAGAGAGUUCAGGCAAAAGUUUAAGUUCGAAAGAUGAGUUUAGGCAAAAAAUGAGACUCGUUUUUAAAACGGGUUGGACCUCGAUUACAAAUUUUUUUUUUGGGCUCGACCUGGACCGACCUGGAUUUGUAAUACUAAUUUUUUAAUAUUAUUUUUAAUAUUCAUACUAAGUUACUGAGAUUAAUUUUUUAAUAGUUGAUUGGUUAAUUUAUAAAUAUUUUUUAAUAUCAUUUUUGUAAUUUUUAUAAAUAAAGUUUUAAAUAAAUAUUAAUAUUAAUAUUUUAAAAUUUUUUAUUUAAAUAAAGUAUAAAACUACUUAAAUUUAAUAUACAAAAUAUAAUUAUUUGUAAUUUGUUUAAAAGACUGUUUAUAUAGAUUUUUAAUUUAUAAAUAAAAAUAAAAAUUAAAAGAUUGAAACGAAAAACAUUGAGAUAAACUGUUUGAGAUUCCUUUUAAUAUUUUACCAUAAAGAAACUAAUUAAAUGUGGUCUGAAACAGCAUUAGUUAAAAUUAGGGCCGGAACCAUCAUCAACAAUCAAAGUUGAGGCAGAGGAGUCAUAUGGCAAAUCAAACCCAUCCAUUUUCAAGCCUGAAACAGCAGAAAACCCGAAUCCUGGAUUUCCAUGGGCACGAGGGCUGCGAAUAUCACCCACCUCUUCCCCUAAAAACAUCCUGCGGCAUGUUGAUUGUAGCAAAAACAUGUUCCAUGAAACUAAAUUUUCUUUUAAUGAUAAAUCAGUAUUGUAACUGAAACAAACUGUAAUCAACUAAAAUGGAUGAUAUAUUGCAUGAAUAACGCACAAGUUGACUAGAAAGAAAGAAAGAAAGACUCCUUAUGAACAGCAUUCCUCGACGUUAUUGCUGUCACAUAUGAUUGGUGGUUGUCUGUUGCUUUGGCCUAAGCUCAAUCCCCUCCACAACUAGCCCUCCUUUAAGGUGCGUUCCUGUGACUUCCUUUAGUGACAUCUUUACUUCUAAAUCAUCACCUCCAUUAUUAUAAAAACUUCCCAAUUCAAUCUCAAUCCAUCCAUCUUCACGUUUGCAAGCAACCCUUUCUUCCAUUAUCCCUCUAAAGGCCAUUGAUCUUAGAACUAAUUCCAUCCGGUUCGAAUACCAGAGUGUUUCUAAACAUUGUUUCUUACUUUCGUAUUGCCGUAGAUAAACAUUCCCUUCUGAUUUCGCAUUUCCAAUUUCCACUGUAACUUUUGAUGGCAAAAAAUCUAACCCAUAUGCACGAUCCACAAAUUUCACAAUAACAUAACACUCGUAGGUUGUUUUUGGAGACAGCAUACCAGAAUUGAUCUUGCCUUGGAUUUCCAACCACCAUAUGGUUCGAAGUUCUACUGCUACAACAAACCUGGGAAUGAAAAAGUAGUUUAAACGGUUGGGACAAUGAAAGGGAGAGGUUUAAGAUAAAAGAAAUUGAAUAAAUGUGAGAGACCUUGAUGCUGGGAAAGGUUUCCAGGACCAGAAGAGAGGGUUGUCGGCCCAUGCUAUGUUCAACUCCCUUGCACUCAACAUAUAUUGUUUUUUACCUGUUGUCUUCUCUAAUGAAAACGUCUGUCAAAUAUUGCAAAAUUAUAUCUCUCUCAUGGGUUGCCAAGUUUUCAUGGUGUUAUUGAACAAUAGCCAUCCAAGUUGAGAAAUCAUGGAUCUCUUAUUUGACCUGGCUAUUGGAAGGGGGGCAGUUUACCAGGGUCAUGUUUUGCAUCCACAGGCGGGUGGAACAAAUAUGAAUUUUUACAUUAAAGAACUCAUAUUUGAUCCACCACCUGUCAACAGAAAAACAACCUUGGUCAAACUGUUUUUGUUUUGUUUUUUGCAUUAAUUCCUCCGAACUCAGAAUUUAUGAAUUAAAAAGCAGAUUGCAUAUUUGCAUUUGCUGGCACCUGCUUUCUAUGGAUCAAUGAUAGCUCUCCAUUGAUACAUGAAUGAAUGGUGGGAGCAGACAUAUAGUAAGCCUUCAUAUACUUUUUCAGAAGGUGGUAAAUAGUUUUAAAAAAAAAAUUCUUAAUAAAAUAACUACUUUAGUAAACUAAUGAAUAAUGUCGCAUUAACUUGUUAGUUUUGAAAAAAAAAAAAAAACCCUGAAAUUAAAAUUGCUUUACCUUAAGGCCUCCAUCAAUUAGAUGUGGGUUACAUAACCUGAAGAACAAGUGUUUUUUGGAGGAGAAAAUUAAAGGAUGGCAUAGCCUGGUGAGAAUUUGUUGAUAAUCUGGUGGCAGGAAUUUUUCCCAAACACUGUCGGAAUUAGCUGAAAUCCGAAUGGAGGAAGAAACAAGCGAGAUUCGACAGGCAUCAAUGGGAGAUGUGAGGGAAAGAAUAUGUGCAAAGCAAUCAUCAGGUAAAAGAUCUAAAUUCAUGAUUCAAAAGCAAGAAGAAAGGUAUGAGGUUUGAGGGGAUGGAUGUUUGUAUAUAUGCGAUAUAGUGAAGGACUGAAAUGCAUCGUUAAUAUGACAACAUAUUCUUUGUUGGAGUUUGCUUUACAUGACGACAUGACCACAACAUAUGAGCACAUCAUGUAAUACAAUAUUGUAGGAUAUCGGCCAUCUAAUAUUGAAAUUUGAAAUGAUCCCAAUUUGGGUUUUAACAUAUACUGUCAAAUUCAUCAAAUUGUGGGGUAGUUUUUUAUGUCAAAGUUGAGCUGCCAAGAAUUCUGCUCUUUGGAACCAUUUCAUCACAUUUAGUCGACACCAUCAAAAUUGGAGAAAAAGUUGGAACAUAUAAAAUCUUGACUUAAUAUUCAAAAUAAAAUAAAAGUAUAAAUUAAUUUUGGUUGGAAUUAUUAAAGAUAUUGUCCAAAUCGAUAUGAAUGGUAGGAUACUGGUCUGGUCCUUUUCUAGAUACAUCCAAUUGUUGUUCAAUCAAAAUUUCUGUCAUUGACAUCCGAGUGGAGAGACCAAAAAUUUACUCCUAUCCCAAUAUCUUUCUUUAAUUCUAAGAUAGUUCAUUGUCUCCAUCUCCAAAAAUGCGUGUGAAAAGUGAAUUUGAGGGUAAUCUUUGGGAAGAACUCAACCCAAACUUCUUCCACAAAUAUGUGGGGACUAGUAUUAAAGGAAAGUUUAAAUAAAUAAUGUGUUUAUUUGUAGUUAGCAUAAAUAUAAUGGUAAUAAUAAUAUUACAUAUUGUAACAAUAUUAUAACGUAAAAUAAAAAAUAAAUUAAACACAUCACACUAUACUCUACCAUCCAUUCAAAUCCAUCCUAAAUAAUUUAAGUUUAAUUAUGAAUAAACCAUUUCAAUGUGUCAUAACACAUUGGUUUGCCAUUUGUUGGACUUUCAUGUAGAAAUUAAUAUGUUGUAAUAAGUGUUACAACGGAACUUUGAAGCAAAAUAUUAUAAUAAAAGAAUUAAAGUGUAAAAUGGGAUUAAGAUUAUUUAAGCAGUUUGAAAAGUAAUUUUAUCACUUCAAAGUUUUAACUUUAAGAAUGAAUCUAUUAAUUUUUUUUUAAAUACAACUAAUGAUUAAAGCCUUAGUUAGUGGCAAAUUUUGAUGCUAAGUUUCGGGAGACUAAUAAAACUUUUAAAAAUGUUAAGAUUUUAAUGAGAAUUUUUUCUUUAAAAAAAAUAAGGGGUUUAAUUGAAUUUUUUUUGUAAGAUUAAUGAAAAUUAAAAUUUUUUAAAAAUUUCAAAAAAAGAAAUCAAAAUUUUGUAUACCAAGACCUUCAAGAGAAUCCACCUUUGGCCCUAACUUGCUUAAAACUAGACUUGUCCAUGGGUCGGACCAUUCGGCUCGGUCUAAAAGUUCUCUCGAAAAAUGAGAGUGUUUGGGUAAAAAUAUAGGCCCGAAAAAUGGGAUUGGGAAAACAAUAAGGCCCGUUUAGAAUACAGAUCGAGCCUCCAGCAAGGCGUUUUUGGCCUGGCUCUAAUAUGCAAAAAAAAUUGAUGUUCUUUUUUACUGCUUUCUUGUUGUUUUUUUAUUGUUUUUUUUCUACUAUUUUGCUACUAUUUUACUAUUAUGUUGCUACUAUUUUGUUGUUAUUAUUUAGAUAUUGUAUUACUCUUAUUUUAUUGUUAAUUUUGUUACUAUUUUAGAGGUAUUUGCUUAUUAAGUUGCACCUAUUUUAGUGUUAUUUAAGUAUACAUAUUAUUUUUUAAUUUGUUGGGAAACAUUUAUUUUAAUGUUUUUAGUAUUUUUGAUGUAUUAUAUUUUUUAAAAAAUUAUAUAAAAAAAUUAAUAUGACCGAGUCGAGCCCAGGUUUUAGUAUUUUAGACCCAUUUUUUGGACCAAACCAAACCCGAACCUAACAAAUAAGUCUAAAACUUUAAUUAAACCCGACCUAUGAACACCUCUACUUAUAACACGAAUACAAAAAUAGCCUCACUAAUAUACAAUUGCUUGCACCAACUUUACCUAGAUAACUUACAAGUGAAUGAAAACUCUCCACUAAAGCUUAAGCUAUCAAAAAUUAAACUACCCUAAAAAUGUUCUCAAAAUGAAUUGAAUAAAGCUCUUAAAAACCAUUGCUAAGUAUAAGUCCACGGUGGUACAUGUGACAUUUAAACUUAUACAAUAUCAUCUUAGCUUGUAUUUUAAACUUGGUUAAUUAAUAUUUGUGGCUUGCACUCAAUUAUUAUUUUGGUAUCUAUAAUUUUUUUUUUGAUAUUUAAAUUUUUUAAUUAUGUAUCACUUUAUCCUAGCUGUUAACGCUGUUAAAAAAAUGAUAUGGCACGUCACUCAGUUUAUAUUUUUUAUUUUGAAUAAAUUAGAAAAUAGAAAAAAUAAUAAGAAAAAAAUCUCAAAUUUUAAAAAAAAAAAGAAAACUAUUAAAAAUGUUCCAAAAUUUUAAAUAUAUAUUUUAUUUUAAAAAUAUAUAAAAUAGAAAAGAAACACAAAAAAUCCAAAAAAUAAAAAAAGUCAUAAAAAUCUCAAAAAAAAAUUUUGAAAAAUAAAAAAAUAUAUAUAGAAAAUUUCCAAAAAAAUUAAAAUAUGAUUUAGUGACUGUUAUUCAGGAAGACAGCUUGCAGUGAAAUUAUGAUUAUGUGGUAAACAGUGACAAAAAUUUGUUAAUGAGUUGCUUAUUGAUUUCUUAUAAGCUUACUAUGAUCUGUAGGUGUGGUUGGCCGAAUAUUAUAAGGGGUUAAUACGUAGUUUGUAUUUGAAUAGUUAGAUUAACGUGUUAGUAAUCCAAUUGUAGGCGGUUCGUGUGUGGAUCUCGUCAGCAUAUCGUCGCAAACAGGUGUGUAACUAACACCCUCUUUCUUAGUCUGGUUCGGCAAAAGUUGAAAAGCCGAAAUACCGAAAACCGGUAUUUUGUAGAUUUGCGAGUGUGCGAAUGCUCAUGAGGUAAACCGAUUAAUGUUUUUGGUAAGCUGCAAAAUUUGGACUGCAAAGUGCAUGAUUUCUGUGCCCUCGAUAUUUUUGGGCUUAAUGGGCCAAAAUUGGAAUGAUGGGCCAACGGGCCCAAUUCGGUAAGAACCCUCGGUACGUGAUUCUGUUAGUACGUGAAAAGUAGGAAUAUGCAUGAAAAACCCUAAAAUAAAUAAAUUACUGAAAUACCUUUAAAAGUGGAAAAUUUACAGUUUUACCCCUAGUAGAUAAAUUACCGAAAUAUCCCUAGGGUUAAAUUGACCUAAAUGCAUGUUUGACUGUUGUUAUUUACUGCAUGCCAUGUUGUUAUUAUCUGAUGCAUGGGAUUGGGAUAUUGACGGAGGAAGUACUGAAAGUGGCUUGUCCACGUACUGGAGACUUUGCCUCAAUUUACUGUUAACUGAGCAGCAAGGCUGCAACUGUGGAGUGUUGGGCUGGGUGGGUUGAGCUAUUCCCCACAUGGAGUGUAGAGCUGGUACGGGUGGAGUGUAGUGGUUGGUGGGUUGAGUAGUCUCCCCAAAUGGGCUUGCAUAUGUUAUUGAUGUUGCAUGUAUUUUAAAAUGGGCCUAUGGGCCAUACUGUUAUCUGAAUAAGGGGCUAAGGCCCAGUUUAUUGUAAUCUGAAAAGGGCUCUGGUCCAGUACCACUGUUACCUGAAUGGGCUUAGGCCCAAUAAGCUUGAGUUGGCUUGGGCUUUGAAUGGGUUUUCCUUACACACUGAGUUUCCCCAAACUCACCCCUUUUAUUUUCAUCCACGCAGGAAAUCCCCAACCAUAGUGGGCUUGGAGCUGUGAGGGAAUUCGGAGUGGCCAUCCGUUCUGAAAGUUUGGUUUUCUUUUGGUGAACUGGACAUCCUAUUAUUUACGUUGAGGUUUGGGUUUUUAAAUGUAAUAAGGCCGCUUAAUUAUUUUUGAUGGUUUUAAUAUGUAUUACUAAGAUAGAUAUUACUUAUUUUAACUGUUGAAAUUGGAUAGCUUUAGGGCGCGUUUUUAAAAAAAAAACAACAAUUGAUUUCAAAAUAACACGACAACAAGCAAAGCUUCCGCAAUGAAAGUAUUUUUCAAAAUUAAUCACUUUUCCUAAAAAUGACUUAAUCAAAUCAGUUUCCUAGAAAUAUACAUGACGUUAAGGUGUGGCAAUGGCGGUGUGCAUGUCUAGGAUUGGAUCCGAAGGGAGCUUGGUACUUAAGUAGUCCGAUAGACUCACCUCCUCUUUUCCGGUUUCCUACCUGGUGCACAGCUUCCAUUCACUUUAACCUAUAAUGAAAUUAUCUUUUAAAACACUAAGUAGGUUUUUCUGGAUCAACAAUAUAAAAUGUUUUGAACGCUUCGAUGUGGCAUGUCGGAUCUGGCCAUAACGUCUGGGCCAGGUUUGGGGUGUUACGUUUAGUGGUAUCAGAGCCUAGGUUGCAACAACUCGGCUGUGGAUCGGGUAAAAAAAAGGGUUUUCAAAACUUUAUUCCAAAAAAAAGAGAGGGUAUUUUUUUAAAAAAAAACCUGACUUUUGAAAAUAAAUUUCCUGUUUAAAGGAGAUAAUCUCUGAACUUGUUUUUUUUACACAAAUGUUUGGAAAAUGGAUUUCAAAAAGCCUAAAUCUUUUGAGUUUAUCUGAAAACUGAUGAGGUGGCACACUGAAUCCCCAGCACCAAGGCUGUAAGUACUAUUCUGUUUUAUAUACUGAACUGUACUGUAGUUAGUACUAAACCUUAGAGAUAGUACUAUAGAUAAUGUAGCGUAAAGGUUACAAAACUGAGACUAUAGGGUAAACUAAGCCCUUGGAAACUGAGACAGUAGCUAAAUUGUGGUUACGCGAGAACAACUCUGAAAUCUUAUCUGUUCUUAAGAUAUUCUAUAAUAAACAGUAGAAACAGUAAACUAACUGCAUAAAAUUUGUAAUCAAAUAAAUCGAUAUGAGUACGUGAGCUACUCGGGGAAGAGGCCGUGGUCGAGGCUGUGGUCGAGGCCGAGGUAGUACUCAAGCUGGAUCUUCGUCUUCUGAACACAUACCCGCUGGAGUAGCACAACCACCACUGGUGGAUGAGAAUCGGCUGUAUGAUCUGGCUGCGGGGGAUGACGCUCUGUUCCAGGCCAUGUUAAGAGUUUUGGAAAGGGUGGCCGGAGCUAAUAUCGGGCCUAUGAAUAGGGGGUCUAUUUCUGAGCGACUCCGGGCCAACGGAGCGAAAGUUUUUAGGGGUGUAUCUGGAGUAGCCCCAAAUGUGGCUGAGUACUGACUGGAAGCCACGGAGUGGAUUAUGGAUGACUUGGACUGCUCAGUGGAGCAAAAGUUAAAAGGAGCAGUAUCCUUACUACGGGAUGAGGCGUAUCAGUGGUGGAUCACUGUGAGAAAGGGUUCCCCAGCUGAGAGGGUAACUUGGGAGUUGUUUAAGCAGUCUUUCAAGGCGAAGUAUGUCGGAGCUAGUUAUGUGGAUGCGCGAAGGAAAGAAUUCCUGAACCUGACCCAAGAUGGUAAAACCGUUGCUGAAUAUGAGGCAGAGUUUCUGCGAUUGAGCCGGUAUGCUAAUGGUAUUAUCUCUACAGAAUACGAGCGCAAUGUUCGCUUUGAAGAUGGCCUCAGGGAUGAGCUAAGGGUGCUCAUAGCUCCGCAAAGAGAGCGCGAUUUUGCUGCACUGGUAGAAAAGGCUAAGAUAGCCGAAGAGGUGAAGGAAGCUGCACGAAGGAACCGUGACAGGGAUCGAAACCGGUUCAGGAGAGAUACUGGACCAACUGGUGCUGCAAACCGGAAUGUUAAGAGAGCUAGGAUGGAGGAACCAGUUCGAGAGGUUCCGGUAAACACUGUUAGACCACAAGCUUGUGGAGAUUGUGGUAAAAUGCAUCUGGGGGAAUGUUGGAAACAUUCUGGGGCUUGUCUUCGUUGUGGAUCAAAGGAACUUAAGAUCAGGGAUUGUCCUAAGAGGCCAGCUCUGGCUCAAGUGGUUGAACAAAGGGCUGUGCAACCCGUGCAACCAGCGCAAGGUGGACCGUCGCCGUCGAGAGGUCGUGGCCAAGGUCGCGGUGGCAAUGGCCAUGGACGUGGGGCACCUGGAAGGGGUAUUGUUAACACUGAGGCUCGUUAGCCAACUUUGGUAUAUGCUGCUCGUCACCGCGAGGAGGGUGACUCACCUGAUGUCAUAACUGGUACGUUUUUUAUCUCUGACGUACCCUAUACUGCUCUGAUAGAUGUGGGGUCAACUCAUUCAUAUGUUGCAUAUGAUAUUUCUGGGGCAUUGGGCGUUCACUUUGAGGAAACUGUGUGUGGGGUAACUAUGAUAAGUCCGUUAGGUCACUCAGUUAAAGUAGAGAAACUCUUUAGGGAGGUGCCUUUAGAAACUCAAGGUAGGAUUUUCUGUGGAGAUUUAAUGGAGUUAACAUUCUGAGAAUUCGAUUUGAUCUUAGGGAUGGAUUGGUUGACCAAGCAUAGGGCAACGCUGGUUGUGCAACUAAGAGGAUGGUGUUAAGGACUAUUGAGGAUGAGGAGGUAAUGAUUAUUGGGGAACAAAGAGAUUACUUGUCCAAUGUGGUAUCAACUUUAAGGGCUGAGAAACUAAUGCGUAAGAGAUGCGAGGCGAACUUGGCUUUUGUAAAUCAAGUUGAAACUGGGGAUCUAACUGUGGAUAUCGUCAGGACUGUUAGUGUGACAGCCCUAAAGUGACCCUAGUCGGAAAGCGGUUUCGGGACCGCUAAACCGAGUCACCAAAUUAUUUGAAUGUGAUAUUUAUUGUCUAAAAUAUGUGAUUAUGAAGGUGUGAAAGUUUUAGGCUUCGAUUUAGUAAAUUGUAUGUGAAUUUAGUCAAAAGGACUUAUGGGUCACAUUUUUGAAAUGUGAUAGGCUAAUCUACAAGGACCUAAUAGUGCAUGUAAUCAAAAGGGAGGACUUGCAUGUCAACUUUCCCCCUAAUAUGUAGUGGCCGGCCAUGAGCAUGGGUGGACAAGAUGUUAUGGCUAAAAACAUGUCAUAAACAUGUUGGGGUAAUGCAUUAUGUAAGGAUUAAUAAAAUAAAGAGCAUGAGCAAUAAAAUAUUAGUGUUAGUAGGAUGAUAAACAAAAAAAAAGGAUGUGUGUGAUUGUCCCCCCCAUUGCCGUGAGUUGAAGGAAAGAAAAACAAAAAAAAAAGUGUUCAUCCUUUGGUUCAUCCUUGGCCGAAAAUUUUAAGGAGGAAGGAAGAAGAAAGGUUGAAGAGGUUCGGCCAUGCAUGUAACUAGGCUAAGGUAUGUUUGAUGAUGUUCCAUGAGAUGCAUGCAUGUUUUAGUUGUUAGCUUGAGUUCUACCUAGCCCAUGGUCUAAAUCGUGCUAUGCGAUAGAAAUGACACUCGGCCAUGGAUGCAUCAUUCUUGCUUGGUGUUGAUGUUGUGUUGGUGAGAUAUCAAGUUAUUUUUGUGACCAAGUUGAGAUUUGAAUUUUUGGAAUGAGUAAGGUUUUCGGCUAUGGUAAAUAUAAGGGUGAUGGAUGUUGUGUCAUGCUAAAUCUAGAUGAAUAAUGUUAGUGCUUAUAUCUCGAUAUUCAUGAGUUUCUUUCUUGGUUUUACCUCAAACCCAUGAAGUAUUUUAAUUGGUGUUGUUAGAGGUUUCCGUCAUGGGAUUAUAAGCUUGUUAGUUUUGAUGAUGAAAUUUAUGCCUUACAAGGGUAAAUGGUGUCUUGAUGCAUUCGGCCAUGGUAGAAAGUAGAUGUGAAAUGGUAGUAAGAUAAAAUGCAAAAUGUUAGUAUUUGAUUACUAGUGUAUAAAUGCGUAUUAGCCGAGUUUUGAAUUUGAAACGAAACGGUAUAUAACCAAUACAAGUAACCAUACUUGUGGGAAGUAUUAAGCAUAUAAUUGGCCUCAACAUAUACAUGCAUACUCAGCUGUGGAUCGGGUAAAAAAAGGGUUUUCAAAACUUUAUGCCAAAAAAAAAGAGAGAGGGUAUUUUUUAAAAAAAACCUGACUUUUGAAAAUAAAUUUCAUGUUUAAAGGAGAUAAUCUCCGAACUUGUUUUUUUUUUACACAAAUGUUUGGAAACUGGAUUUCAAAAAGCCUAAAUCUUUUGAGUUUAUUUGAAAACUGAUGAGGUGGCACACUGAAUCCCCGGCACCAAGGCUAUAAAUCUAUUCUGUUUUAUAUACUGAACUGUACUGUAGUUAGUACUAAACCUUAGAUAUAGUACUAUAGAUAAUGUAGCGUAAAGGCCACAAAACUGAGACUAUAGGGUAAACUAAGCCCUUGGAAACUGAGACAGUAGCUAAACUGUGAUUACGCGAGAACAACUCUGAAACCUUAUUUGUUCAUAAGAUAUUCUAUAAUAAACAGUAGAAACAGUAAACUAACUGCAUAAAAUUCGUAAUCAAAUAAAUCGAUAUGAGUACGUGAGCUACUCGGGGAAGAGGCCGUGGUCGAGGCCGUGGUCGAGGCCGAGGUAGUACUCAAGCUGGAUCUUCGUCUUCUGAACACAUACCCGCUGGAGUAGCACAACCACCACUGGUGGAUGAGAAUCGGCUGUAUGAUCUGGCCGCGGGGGAUGACGCUCUGUCCCAAGCCAUGUUAAGAGUUUUGGAAAUGGUGGCCGGAGCUAAUAUCGGGCCUAUGAAAAGGGGUUUAUUUUUGAGCGACUCUGGGCUAACGGAGCGGAAGUUUUUAGGGGUGUAUCUGGAGUAGCCCCAAAUGUGGCUGAGUACUAACUGGAAGCCACGGAGUGGAUUAUGGAUGACUUGGACUGCUCAGUGGAGCAAAAGUUAAAAGGAGCAGUAUCCUUACUACGAGAAGAGGCGUAUCAAUGGUGGAUCACUGUGAGAGAGGGUACCCCAGCUGAGAGGGUAACUUGGGAGUUGUUUAAGCAGUCCUUCAAGGCGAAGUAUGUCGGAGCAAGCUAUGUGGAUGCACGAAGGAAGGAAUUCCUGAACCUGACCCAGGGUGGUAAGACCGUUGCUGAAUAUGAGGCAGAGGUUUGGGUUUUUAAAUGUAAUAAGGCCGCUUAAUUAUUUUUGAUGGUUUUAAUAUGUAUUACUAAGAUAGGUAUUACUUAUUUUAACUGUUGAAAUUGGAUAGCUUUAGGGCGCGUUUUCAGAAAAAAAACAACAAUUGAUUUCAAAAUAACACGACAACAAGCAAAGCUUCCGCAAUGAAAGUAUUUUCCAAAAUUAAUCACUUUUCCUAAAAAUGACUUAAUCAAAUCGGUUUCCUAGAAAUAUACAUGAUGUUAAGGUGUGGCAAUGGCGGUGUGCAUGUCUAGGAUUGGAUCCGAAGGGAGCUUGGUACUUAAGUAGUCCGAUAGACUCACCUCCUCUUUUUCGGUUUCCUACCUGGUGCACAGCUUCCAUUCACUUUAACUUAUAAUGAAAUUAUCUUUUAAAACACUAAGUAGGUUUUUCUGGAUCAACAAUAUAAAAUGUUUUGAACGCUUUGAUGUGGCAUGUCGAAUCCGGCCAUAACGUUUGGGCCGGGUUUGGGGUAUUACACAAAUCCCCUUAUUUUUAGGCUAGAGAAUAAAAAAAAGGUUAAUACUAGUACUUUUAGUUCCUGUGGGUUCGACAUUCUGGUCUUUCUAUAAGCUAUACUAUUGUUCGAUAGGUGUGCUUGCCUUUAUCGUGAUAAUAGUUAGUUUUCAAGUACGAUCAAUCAUAAAUAUAAAACUUAUUAUGCACGUCAUGGAGUGUUAUUUUUCUUUAUCGUCCACAACCGUAUCUUCUUCCUCAUUAAUGCCAUGAUUUUUUUAGGAACAUCCAUUGUCAGGUUUUCUGCGCUUCGCCUCAUAUUUAUUUGAUCAAGAUUUCUUAACUUGGAAAUUAAACCCCCCACACUUAAGAUGUACAUUGUCCUCAAUGUACAAAGAUAGAUAUAUAGAAAAGAAUAUAAACAUAAGAUAGGGAGAGAAGUGAAACUUCCUGAGUGAUGAAUGAAUUCUUUGAGCUGGAGUUUUGGAAAAUAAUCGGCGUGAGGAUGGAGGAGGAUACUGCAGUGGUGGUAGAGGUUCAUUAGUCCAUAAGUUCUGCACCAAAGAAUAUUAUAUCUGGUGGUAGCUAUGGUCGUGGUCGAGCAGGACAUGGCAGUCGUGGAGAACCUUUCCCGGUGGAGUUUUUAGUUCCUAUGUGAUGAUGAGCUGAGGAGCUCUUUAUAACUGUGAUAGAAUUAGGAACUCUUUUAGAAAAUAUAUAAGGAAGAAUAAUUACUCGAUAGUAAAUAGCCAAAAUACAAAAUUGUUAAAUAAAAAUUAUAAAACCUAAUAAAAAUAAGCUUAAUGAAAAACAAAAAGUAUUCUUAAAGUAGAAUAAAAGUAAAAACAUAAAAUAAUAAAUAUAAGUUUUUAAACAUCUUCAUCGCUAGAUGGUUCACGAGGUGGGAGUGGCGAUGAGAUGUGGAAGUGCUGAAAAAUCUGGUGUAGUGUAGCAUCAAUGUGAUGGAAGUGCUGAAAAUACUACUGCUCGAAUCGAGUUAGGCGCUCAGAGAUGUCAGCGUAUGAAGCCGCCGCAUGAACUGGACGAGAGGGUGGUGGUGGCUAAAACAGUGGGUCCUCAUGACAUUGAGGGACAUCAUCGGUAAUGUCCUCGAGGUCCUCCUCCUCGGUGGAUUGGGCGAGACAGUACUGAAGAGGGAAGGUGCCAUGUCGCUUCUCGAUCAUCCUCAUACUUAGCAUGCUCGAGAUGCCCUGUGGGUACAUUUGGCCCAUGAGAGUGAGGGAGGAUGAUUGGGUUGCUAUGUUGAGAAGCCCGAAGUGCCGAGCCAACCGCGUCACAUAGGGCCCAAUGGAGAUGACCCCCUUCCUAUGCCGCUCCAUCUAAUGUUGAAUGACGGGGGCAAUGAAAUAAGCAAGGUCUAUGACAUGCCCGUGUGACAUACACCAUAGAAAGUAGGCGUCGUGAGUGUUGACGACGCCAGUGCUCUCUCGCCUUCCUGUUAACGUGUGAGCCAAAAUGGCGUGUAAGUACCUCAAAGAUGGAGGGAGAGCUGAUGCCUUGGAGCGGCUAGGAUUGUAAAAGGCAGCGCCAGGGGUAAGGGCGUUCCAACACCGUGAAGGAGAGUGAUGGAUGUGGCAAUUAAGAGCGUGGAGUUCAGUCUCCUCCAUGAACAAUUUCAGUUAUAAGAAGAUCAAUUACCAAGUGUUGGUAAUUAUCUUGAGUAAUUAUCCUACAAAAUAUGUCAUAAACAAGUGUCAUUAUAACUUCAAAUACUCUAAUCAAGAUAAUGAUAAUGAUAUGGAUAAGAAUCUUCAGCAAAUCAAACCUUAACCUUCUUUUUCAUGUUAGUCGAAUGGAUGAGGAUAAUUAAUUCAUAUUCUAGCAUGGAAUUCUCCUCAUUUGCUAGUUAACUAUAUGCAAUCAAGACUCAUGAAAUAGUUAAACAUGCCAACCAAAGAAUUUUGACUACACCAUAAAUGUUGUUAUAUCUGUCGUUUGGAUAAGAAAUGGAAGUUUCCAACACUUGGAUUUUCCAAAGUUGAUGAUAAGGAAAGUACAUAGAUGUUCCUUUGUUGCAUCAUUGGGUCACGAAGGAUGCGUAUGGUUAUAUUAUCAGUUAGGUGAAGGAUAAGCUAGCUGGAUGAAAAUCACGUACACUUUAGCUAAUAGGAAGGAAUAUGCUUGCGAAGUUAGUUUUUGCUGCCAUUCCAUUUUAUACCAUGCGGACAAUGAAUUUCAAAAGGCAUGUGUGUGGAUAUUGAUAGUGUCGAAACCAUUUUUUUGAAAACGGGCAUCGAAUUUGUUCGAAAGAGAAGAUUAAAACGGGAGUCGCCACCGAUCUUUAUUUGGUGUGAUCGGAUCACCUUUGUUUUAAAAAAAACAAUUUUAGUUCACUAAAACGGCAUUUUGGUCUACGAAAUUCAAGAGAACAAGUUCGGGAGUCGGUUAUGUACGAGGAAGGAUUAGUACCCUCGACAUGCCCAAAAAUUGGUACCGAACUGAUUAAUUAGUGUCUUAAUGUCGAAAAUUAAAAAUCGGGAAUAGAUUUGUAAUACGAUCCUUUUUUAUUAACAUCGAUUUUAAAAUUCUUGAAUUAGCUCAAAACGAUUGUUAAAGAUUUCCUUAUCUCGAGAUAUCGGAGAAUCACAUCUCGUAAGUUAGGACGCAAUACCAUGAAUUCCCGAGCGUAAGGUCGUCUUUAAAUUAAAUUGGAACCCCGUGUAUUUUAAAACUCAAAAGGAUAUUUAGCUAUUUAGAAUCAAUAAGAGAACCGAAACCCCGUAUGUUAGGGCACAAUUCUUCGAUAUUCCAAAACGCGAAAUAUUGCCUCAUUUUGAAAUUUCAUUUUUUGAAUAGUAGUGAAUACGGUAUUUAAACGACGUAUGUUAUUUGUUUAGGUUAAAAUAAAGCGUUUUAUUGGAUAAAUGUAUUGGGGUUUAAUUCAUGAGGCGAUGAUAUGAAAAAAUAUAGUAAUGAAUGUGAGACAAAUACACAUGGACACAACAUUAUACAAAUGAAUAACAAUAAUGCAAACUUACGAAAUAAACGAAUCAACAUUCACAUUAUGGCAAUAAUCACACAAGCUACAUUAUUUAAAUAUUAACACUAACAAUUAAAGACAAAUGAAUUUAAUAAUAAUUUAAAAGGUAUAAAGCAAAUAAAAAUGAAUAAGAUGUAAAGCAAUUUUAAAAUGAUAAUAGAUGAGAUUAAAAUAAUGUGAAAAAAAGGAGAUUUAAAAUCGACAAUAUACAAAACAAUUUAAAAUAGAGGAUAUGUAUAUAUAUAAUAUUAAAAUAGGUAAUAUAUAUAUAAAUAUAUAUAAUAAAUACUUAAAAAAACUAAAAUGAACAAUAAUACAAUUUAAAACAAAUAAGAGAGUUUAAAAUAAAUAUUAAGAGGCUCAAAAUAAUAAUAUGUAAAAAGAAAUUUAAAAUAAAUAAUAUAUAAAAAAUUUUAAGUAAAUAACAUAUAAAACAAUUUAAAUUAAAUAUUAUACAUGAAAAUUUAGAAUAGAACAUAUAUAAAAUAAUCUAAAGUAAAGAAUAUGUUAAAAUAAAUAAUACGUGAGAAAUAAAAAAAUGAAUUUUAAACGAUUAGAGUAGUGUAGACGAAUAAAGUAUGAAAGGAAACUUAAAAUGGAUAAUACAUAUACAACCGUUUAAAACAAAUAACGUAUAAAAAUAUUUAAAAAUAACUAAUAUGUAUAGUAGUUAAAACAAAUAAUAUAUGUAAAAAUAUUUAAAAUCUAUAACAAUUUACAAUACAUAAGACGUAAAAAGGAUUACGAUAACUAAUAAUAAAAUGUUCUAAUAUAAAUAAUGUAAGAUAAACAAACUUAAAAUAACUAACAAUAAAACAGCUCCUAAAAAGUUGAAAUAAUAAAUAAAUGAACAAAUUAAAUAGAUUAGGACUAAGUUGAAAUUUAAUUAAAAUUUAAGAUGCAAAUUGUAAAAAAAUAGGCCACUAAGGACCGAAGUGAAAUGUGCAUAAAGAACGAGGGACUGAUUGGGAAAAUAUUCCCGCCCUCCAUGCGCAGUGUUUCAAACGGGACCAAAUUGAGAUGAGAGCAAAGAACACGGGAUCAAAAUUAAAAAAAAAAACGCAAAAGAAAGAAUAAAAUGGGGCAAAUUGAAAACAAGAGGCAAAACAGAAGGACCCACAGCGCAAAUAUCCCAUUUGAGCUUUAAAAACACGCGGAUCGCCCCAUUAAUCGGGUCGGGUCGCGGGUUCCCUCUCUAAAACGACCCCGUUUUGAGGCGUGUGGGGAAGGUAGUAAAACGCUGUCGUUUUACUCUGCUAUUAAAGCCCAUUUUUAUUUUAUUUUUUUUAAUUUUAGCAACAUCUAAAAAAAAAGUUAAUAAAGAGUUCUCAUUGCUCUCCCUUCACUCCUAUGACCGGCGAUAGGGUUUCCUGGUGUCCAUUGCGCCGCCGUUGUGGGCCAAUGGCCGGCGUUGCGCGAAUGGGAUUUUUUCAGCUCCGAGGAGGCCAACGGAGGUGAGUACCCUCCCUUUUCUACUCUUUCGUUUUAUUUUUUAUUCCAAAAAAAUAUAAAAAAAAAAACAAAAGCAACAGAUAUUUAAGAGCAAAAAUGAAAUAGAAGAGGAAUCACCUUCUAAAGUUUUGGUUUUUAUUGAUUUUUUGUAUUAGAUUUUCUUUGUUUUUUUUUUGUGUUAAAAACUGAUUUUACAAAAAAGAAUAAAAAAUAAAGGAUAAAAAAAAUAAAGAAACGGAGAUAAAAAGACGAGAGAAUGAAGUUCAACCUUUUUGUUUUUUGAUUGCUUAAAUUGUGUCCUUUACAAUAUUUCGUGUUUGUGGCUAUAUAGCUGAAUACAAAAAUGCUUUAGUAUAUUCAUUGCUAUUGUUUUGCUUCGUUUCUGCUUUUUGCUUUCUUUUUGUUUCUGUUUUUGCAGACUUAGAGGGUCAACGAGGGUGAAAACAUGCCAUUUUGAUGCGAGGAAGCAGCCAUUGAGAGGAUGGUAUGCUGUCAGAGGCACGUGGGGUGCGGGGCAACCGAGGCUGCGGCGAUGGAGUGGAUGGGAACCCUAGGGUUUCCUGAAAAUUUCAAAUAUUUUGGGCCAAUCGGGCCUUGUGAUGUUGGGCUCAAGAUUUUGGGUUGUGUUUUGGGUCUUAAUUGGGCUGAUGGUUUAGGUUAGGUGUUGGGUCUUUUAAUUGAACUAUAAACAUUUUGGGCCCGGGCAAAAUUUGGGUCCUACAGCUGCCCCUCUUUGCUCAUUGUCGUGUAAUGGGAAUGGAGCAAAGACUAUAAGAGGGCCAAUUUUGCCUGGAUCCACUGAGUGGCGCUUUUUUUUCUUUGAGUAGCUUCAAUAUGCCCUACUCCAAUCAGCUCUACUGCAACUCCAGGGAGAUAAGACUUGUUAUUUCAACCUGUUUCACUGCAACUUUAGGGAGGCAAAGGUUUGUGAUCUAUAGCUUCGAUUUACUCCACUGCAACUUCAGGGGGUAAGAUUUGUAACUUCAACCUGCUUCGCUGCAACUUCAGGGAGACAAGGUUUGUUUUGAUUUGUUCUACUGCAACUUCAGAGAGAUAAGAUCUGUAAUUUAUGGCUUCAAUCUGUUCCACUGCAACAUCAGAGAGGCAAAGGUUUGUGAUCUAUAGCUUCGAUGUACUCCACUACAACUUCAGGGGGUAAGAUUUGUAACUUCAACAUGCUCCGCUGCAACUUCAGGAAGACAAGGUUUGUUUUGAUUUGUUCUACUGCAAUUUCAGAGAGAUAAGAUCUGUAAUUUAUGGCUUCAAUCUGUUCCACUGCAACUUCAUAGAGAUAAGACUUGUUUUGAUCUACUCUACUGCAACUUCAGGGAAAUAAGAUUUGCUAUCUCCAGUCUGCUCCACUGCGACUUUAGGGAGAUAAGACUUGUAACUUCAACCUACUCCGCUACAUCUUCAAGGAGAUAAGGUUAGUGGCCUCGAUCUGCUUCACUGCAACUUCAGGAAGAUAAGAUUUUCCAUCUUCGUAGCUUCAAUCGAUCUUGUUACGUUGUCCUCUGAGGGAUAUGACUCGUAAAAUUGAUUUCUUGAGCCUAUGCUUAUGCCAAAUGAUUAGGAUGUCAUGAAUGAAUCAAAUUCCCCAACCAGAUGUGUAUAGGUGAUGUUUGAAUGAAAGCAAAAAUGUUAUUUUCUUUUAAUGCUUAAUUUGAUAUUACUCGUUGUUCAUCGAGGUUUUAUCACUGACGUAUUACUCUCCCCUUUUUCUUUAGCUGGUAUCUUUUUAAGAAUAAUCACAAUUUGGGCUAUUCUUUUCCAAUGUCUCCUUGAAUUUGGGUAAUUCAAAUUAAUUAGUCCCGUUUCAAGUCCUUAUUUCAUUUAAAAUCAUUUCAGAGUAAUAUGCAGAACUCAUUUUGGAUGUCAUUAGUCCAUUAAUCGUUAUUUCAAUGAAAAGUGCUUGAAAAAGAUUAUCGCAAUGGACAAGACGGAAUUUUAUUGAGAAAGAGCUUGAAAUGAAUAAUAUAAUCAAGAUAGCAAAUUCGCUAAGAUACAAACUGAAUAAAAAAUAAAAAAAAUAGGUGCCUCGGAUAUCGUAACAUGAGCUUCUCUGCCCAAAACUUCUUGAGGACCCUUUAAAUUUGAUAUGUGUUUAGAAGACCAAGAGUACUUUGUUCAUGCCCCAAGAUGUAGCAUCCCUCCUUCUUGUUAAUUUAGAGAAGACAAAAUUACUGUAUGCCCCAUUUCAAUCAAAACUUGAAUUGCCCAUUCCUGGGUUUUUAACUCAAAAACCUUUUGGUCUCAAAGUGCCCUUUUUGCGGGUUUUCGCCUUAGCCUUUCCUUUUUUUAGGUAAAGUACCUCUUGACUGAAUCUGAAUUCACGGGGUUAGGCAAGCUUUUGCCAUCCAUCUCAGUCAAGAUCAGAACUCCUUCAGAGAAAGCUUUCUUCACCAUAUAAGGUUCCUCCCAAUUUAGCAUCCAUUUUCCUUUGAAGUCCUUUUGUAUGGGAAAAAUCUUUUUUAGAACAAGGUCUCCUUUACAGAAUUCUCUAGGGAUAACCUUCUUGUUAUAAGCCAGCAUCAUUCACUUUUGGUACAUUUGACCAUGACGAAUAGCUUUCAACCUCUUUUCUUCAAUUAAGUUCAACUGGUCGUACUGCGAUUGGAUCUAUUCUUCUUCAUCUAACUUUAGUUCUGAUAGGACUCGUAGAGAAUGAAUUUCAACCUCAAUAGGCAAGACCGCCUCCAUUUCAUAAACCAAAAAGAAAGGUGUUGCCCCGGUGGAGGUUCUGACUGACGUUCGGUAGGCGUAGAGGGUGAAUGGUAAUUUCUCGUGCCAAUCUUUAUAAGUCUCAGUCAUUUUUCCCAUGAUUUUCUUGAUAUUCUUAUUGGAUGCUUCCACCGCACCAUUCAUCUUUGAGCGAUACGGUAACGAGUUAUGGUGUUUGAUCUUGAAUUGGCUACAGACCUCUGCUAUCGUGUUGUUGUUCAAGUUCAGUGCAUUGUCGGAUAUGAUCCUCUCAGGCAUCCCAUAUUGACAUAUAAUCUCCUUUUUUAAGAACUUGUUGACUACCGAUUUCGUGACGUUGGCAUAAGAAGUGGCUUCUACCCACUUGGUGAAGUAAUCGAUGACCACAAAGAUGAAUCGAUACCCGUUAGACACUUUUGGCAAGAUUGGCGCGAUGACGUCCAUGCUCCACAUGAAGAAAGGCUAUGGAGAAGUCAUGACAUGAAGAGGUGAAGGAGGUACAUGAAUCUUAUCUCCGUAGAUUUGGCACUUAUGACACUUUUUUUCACAAUUGAUGCAAUCCCCUUCUAUAGUGGACCAAUAACAUCCAAAUCUCAUGAUUUGUCUGGCCAUUGUAAAACCAUUAGCGUGUGUUCCGUAGACACCCUCAUGGACCUCUUCCAAUAUCUGCUUAGCUUCGAGAGGGUCCACAUAUCUUAAGAGUACCUGAUCCUUCCUUCUUUUAUAUAGGAUCUCUCCGUCCAAGACAUAGUCACUGGCUAGCCUUCUCAAUGUCCUUUUAUCAGUUUCUGUCGCUUGGUCUGGGUAUUCACGAUUCCUCACGUAUCGUAAUAUAUCCUGAUACCAAGGGUGAUCGUCCUUUUCUUCUUCUUUUUCGAUGUUGUAAUAAUGAGCCAGAGCCUCAUAGAUACUCAUUUGGAUAGGCUUCACAUCCUCCUGUUUAUUUACUUCGAUCAUUGAAGCUAAAGUUGCCAAUGCAUCAACCAUCUAGUUUUCAUCUCGUGGGAGGUAACAGAAAGUGAUAUCGUCAAACCCCUCAAUUAACUCUAGAACCAGCCUUCGGUAAUUGAUCAACUUAGGGUCUCUUGUCUCCCAUUCACCUUUGAGCUGAUAGAUCACUAAUGCCGAAUCCCCGUAUACUUCUAACAUAUUGAUUUUACGUUCAAUGGCCACACAGAUUCCCAUGAAGGCAUGCCUCGUAUUCUGCCAUAUUAUUUGUGUAAUCAAAAUCCAAUUUACUAGUAAAGGGAUAAUGAUCUCUAUUUGGGGAUACCAUAACUGCCCCGAUUCCAUUACCCACAGCAUUUGAGGCUCCGUCAAAAUUCAGUCUCCAAGGAUGAUCUUCUUUAGAGUAUUCUUCCGUGGUCACAACGUACAUUAAGUCUUCAUUUAGAAAAUCAAAACUCAAAGGCUCAUAAUCUUCUAGAGCCCUAUUGGUAAAAAAAUCUGCUAUCGCACUCCCUUUUAUAGCCUUCUGGUUCACAUAGACUAUGUCGAAUUCAGAAAGCAAAAUUUUCCAAUGAGCCAUUCUUCCGUUCAAAACAUUUGACUAAAUCAUGUACUUCAGAGGGUCUAGUUUUGAGAUAAGCCAAGUUUAUGGUACAACAUGUACUGUCUCAGUCUUCGGGUUGUCCAGAUCAAAACACAACACAAUUUCUCGAUCGGCGAAUAUCUUGUCUCGCAUUCAGUGAACUUCUUGCUAAGAUAGUAUAUCACCUUUUCUUUUCUUCCUGACUCAUCAUGUUGGCCUAACACGCAUCCCAUGGAGUUCUCGAACACUGCCAAAUAUAGUAUCAGUAGUUUAUCUAGGCAAGGUGGCAUCAGCACCGGGGCAUUAGACAAGUAAUGCUUGACUUUAUCAAAAGUUCUUUGGCACUCUUCAUCCCAUACACCUGGGUUGUGUUUCCUAAGGAGGUAGAAUAUCGGGUCACAUUUCUCCGUUAGUUGUGAAAUGAACCGGGCAAUGUAAUUUAGCCUUCUUAGGAAACCUCGAACUUCUUUUUGAGUGCUUGGCAGAGGUAAUUCUUGUAUGGCUUUGACUUUAUCUAGGUUGAUUUCGAUCCCCUUUUCACUGACUACGAAUCCUAAUAGCUUUCCUGACUUGGCGCCAAAGGUACAUUUCGUAGGAUUGAGCUUUAACUGGAACUUUCUUAAUCUUAAAAAUAGUUUCUUCAAGACUUUUACGUGCUCCUUUUCUGUUUUGGAUUUCGCAAUCAUAUCAUCGACGUAAACUUCGAUUUCCUUAUGCAUCAUGUCAUGGAACAGAGUUACCAUGGCUCUCUGAUAUGUUGCUCCUCCGUUCUUUAGUCCCAGUGGCAUCACCUUAUAACAGAACGUUCCCCACAUGGUCAUGAAUGUGGUCUUUUCUAUGUUUGUAGAAUGCAUCUUUAUCUGGUUGUAUCCCGAGAAUCCAUCCAUGAAGGAGAAAAGUGAGUAACCUGCCGUGUUAUCCACUAAUGUAUCAAUGUGAGGUAACGAAAAAUUGUCUUUUGGGUUGGCUUUGCUCAGAUCUCGAUAGUCCACGCACAUCCGUACUUUUCUAUCUCAGAUCUCGAUAGUCCACGCACAUCCGUACUUUUCUAUCUUCCUUAGGAACUGGGACUAUAUUGGCUACCCAUUCUGAGUAUUUAACCACUUGUAAGAAACCGGCGUCGAAUUGUUUCUUGACCUCCUCCUUUAUCUUCAACAAAACAUUAGGUCUCAUUCUUCGGAGUUUCUAUUGGACUGGCUUGCACCCUUCCUUUAAGGGAAGUCAAUGUACCACGAUAUCGGUAUUCAACCCGGUCAUGUCUUGAUAUGACCAUGCGAAGACAUCCUUAAAUUCUUGUAGUAACUCAACGAGGUCUCACCUUGUUUCUGCGGUGAUAAAUUCCAAUCUUCACCUCUCUUCCCUCUCCUAAGCUCACAAUUUCCAUUGACUCCUUGUGAGGUAAGAUUUGUUUCUCAUCUUGUUCUACCAUUCUUAACAAAUCCGGAGAUAAGUUAUAGUUUUGGUCAUCUUCAAAAUCUUGAGAAUCUUCUGUACACAUAUCUUACUCAAAAGGAGACUUUGAGUCAGGAGCAGUAUUACUCAUAUCGUUGAUAUCUGGAGACCUGUUAUAGAGAUGAAGAAAAGUCCAAAGAACGAAAGAAUCUAAGAAUAUUUAUUGGUGGUAUGAUUAUGAAUGAAAUGGAAAGAAUAAAAGAAUAUUUGCUCAAGAUAAUACGCAAAGAUGCAUUCUUAUUAAAAUAACGAUAUUGGAUAAGAGCCUAUUUUACAAAAGGAUUCUUAUUGCCCCUAGGCUUAGAGCAAUAAGCUUGUUUUGGACAUUACUCUGAAUUAAUUUUAAAAGUUACAGGGAUCUCCUCCGCGGUCCAAUUGUUUAAGACGCUCCCAGGCGCAUAUGGGCAAAUGCCUACUUGAUUCUCUUCUCUCGUUUCUUCCUCGGAUAUGGCAUUAAUGCUCAAAGUAGCCUCUUUCCCUGUCGAUUUUCCUUCAGAGUAAAUGGUCCCUCCCGACACGAAUGUUCUAGAUAUAUGAGGAAAGAUCAUGGGCUCCCAUUUGACCUCCUCUCCGUUUAAACGCACUCUUCUUCUCUCUUGCCUUUUCUCUAUUUCCUUUUUCUUUUACCUUGCAUCUGGUUUGUACCCUAAGCUAAAAAGGUCUCGUUUAUCCGUAAGCAUAGGUGUCUUGAUCCUUCCUUGUAAGCUUCUUCCAAGCCCCUUUCCAGGUAAAGCCCCUUUCCAGGUAAAGCUCCUUUCCUAACCGUCAGUUGUAAGCCCAUCCUGGUAGUUUUGGAGAUUUUUGGGCACCGGGACCUUGUUCCCUUCGACGACGAAAGUUGCAUUCACAAAUUCUAGUGAUCAGAAAGAACAUUCUAUUACUUCACAUAUGUCCCCACAUAUGGUGCCUCACUGUAAUGGAGGUAAUGAUAUCCUCUUCCGCGUUUACAGUCACCAGUCGGCCUUCUGUUAUAAAUUUGAGCUUUUGAUGUAAAGAUGAUGGCACUGCCCCCACUGAGUGAAUCUAGGGCCUCCCCAAUAAGCAAUUGUAAGAAGUUUGAAGUCCAUUACUAAGAAAUCCACCUCAUACGUGCUUGGACCGAUCAAAAGGGGUAUUUCAAUCCUUCCUAUUACUUUUCUCUCGGUGCCAUCAAACACCCUUACUAUAUUUUGGCAUGUCUUGAUAUGAGAACUAUCUACUGGCAACCUAUUCAGUGUGGAUAGGGGUAAGACAUUUAGUGUAGACCCAUUGUCAAUCAUACUCCUGGUAGUGUAUGUCCUUUACAGCGGGUGGUGAUGUGUAGCGCCUUUGUUAACCCCAUUCCCCCUAGCGGUAUUUCAUCAUUAUUGAAAAAUAUGAAAUUAUCGGUGCUUAUAUUAUUGACGAGUUGGUCCAGCUUGUUAACAGAGAUAUCAUCUGUGACGUAAGUUUCGUUUAGUACCUUCAUUAACGUGCUCCGAUGUGUCUCUGAACUCAAGAGUAAAGCUAGCACCGAGAUGCGAGCCAAUUGCUUAUGUAACUGUUCAACCACGCUGUACUCACUAUGCUUAAAGAACUUUAGGAAUUCUUUAGCUUCAUUCUCGGUUAUUGGCUCGUUGAUUGGCGAUUCGAGCCUGACCGUCUUUUCCUUCCUUUGUUCGACCACUAGGGUCUUUCCUUUAACAGUUUCAGUUCCUGUACGCGCGGGAUCAUAACGUCUCCUGCUGCGUGUAUAGAAACCUACAUCUUGGUUCUCCCUUGAAGCGCUAGCCGGGUUCUCCCUACCCGGGAUCGUCACGUUGCAGUCGUAAUUCUAGGGAACCCUUUUACUAUCCUUGUAAGGGAAGGAUACCGGAUUCUGGAUUAUGACUCUCGACGCCAUUUGUACUUCUGCUUCAUUGUUCUUUGGUCGCGAAAUUAUCACCACAGGAUGAUUAUCUCUUUAAACCCAUUUUGUUGUUAUUUUCUAUGAGGCAAAACCUCUCAUUCUUCUGGUCAUUCGAUUUCUUCGCAAAAUUCCAUAUCCUUAUUAUCCAUCAGAUUUUGCACUAUAGACCUGAACUUAUUGCACUCUUGGAUGUCAUGGCCUUCAUCAUCAUGAACCUCACAGUAUCUUCUUGCUUCUCUGAGCCUUGAAUCUUGUGUGACUAAACCUUUUUCCACCAUCAUCUUCCAAACCCAUUUCAACAGGAUUUUUACCUUUGAUACAUCUAUCUUGGUUUUCCUCCUUCCCUUUUCAAUUUCGCGUUUACCCCUUUGUCUGAAUGACUAGGUAGCGGAUUCCCUGCCAUAUUAGGUCCUAUGGGCUCAUCGAAUUUCACAACGCCUAUUCCUAUGAGCCUUUCGACUACCUUUUUGAAGGCAGUGUAAUUCUCAAUCGUGUGUCCUGAGAUUCCGGCAUGGUAUUCUCAUUGAGCGUUUGCGUCAUACCACUUAGGGAAUGGAGGUUGCAGGGGUUUCAAGUAGUAAGGUGACACCAUAUGGGCAUCGAAUAAACUCUGAUACAACUCCCCGUAUGACAUUUGGAUAGGCGUAAACUAGACUCUUUCUGUGUUAGGCCUCGGGUUUGAAUCUUGUCUUGUAGAUCCUUGAUGGCUGGUAGUCACUGUCUUUGGUUGGCUCACAGUGACUGGCUUGGAAUAACUCUUAUUGUAUACGCUCGCGUUGUUCACCUCAUUUUCUUUCCUUUUCGAAGCUGAUCUUUUGGCAUUUUCCCCUGUUUCGAUCUUUCUGCAUCUUAUCGCGUUUUCUAUCAUCUCUCUUGACAUUACUAUGUCUGAGAAACUCUUAUUAGCGCUUCCCAACAUGUGGUUGAUAAAUGGAGCUUUCAGAGUGUGGAUAAAGAGUAUAGUCGUUUCUUUCUCCAGAAGAGGUGGUUGGACUUGCAUCGCCACCUCUCUCCAUCUUUGGGCGUACUGCCUGAAGCUCUCAUUUUGUUUCUUCUCCAUGUUUUAUAACGUGAUUCGAUCGGGUGCUAUGUCUGUCACGUAGCCAUAUUGCUUCAUGAAAGCUUGUGCCAAGUCAUUCCAUGAGUGGAUUUGCGCGAGACUUAGUUUGUUGUACCAUUUGGCCGCAGACCCGACCAAACUGUCUUGGAAGGAGUGGAUCAAUAAUUGAUCAUUAUGAACAUACCCUGCCAUUCUUCGACAAAACAUGGUGAUGUGGGCCUCUAGAUAACUAGUUCCAUUGUAUUUUUCAAAGUCUGGGAUUUUGAACUUAGGAGGGAGGACUAGGUCUGGGACCAAGCUCAAAUCUUUAGCAUCGAUCCCACAAUGAUAAUCAGCACUUUCCAUCACUCUGAACUUUUCCUCUAACCACUUGCAUCAGUCUUUCAAAUCUUUUGAGAGCCCCGUACUCACUCUUUCUUCUUCUACCAUGUUAUCUAGAUCAGAGAUUAUAGGAUUAACAGGGUUAUCCCCGAGAUUAGAGCCUGAGCCCGUUUGAUAAUUGAUUGGCAUCGAGGUAUCAGCCUGAAAUUACUGAGGCCUGAUCGUAACGGAUGGUCUUUGCAUGUGUAGCUCGGGUUACGUUUAAGCAUUCAUCGGGGUGAAACCAGGAGGUAGAGGGGAUCUUCAGUAAUGGAUGGCCUCUGCGUGCGUGUUUCAUGCUGUGUUUGGGCAUUUGCCGGGGUAAAACCAGGGGGUAGGGGAAUCUCCAUUUUUAUUUCCCAUAUCGGCCAUAGGGCCCUUUCUUUUGUCUGGCCUACUAGUCAGUAGUCGGGUUAGCUCUUCCAUCAUAUUUCUUUGGGAUUCCAGCAUCUGGUCUCUCAUUUCCUGCUGGAUUUUUGCUAACUAUUCUUGCACUUGUGCUUGCAUCUACUCCUGCAUCUCUUUCUGCAUUUGCUCUAGUCUCUCUAGUUUUUUAUCCGUUGCUUUAGUUUUUCUUCUUGUACUGUAGGGAUGUGUAUUUGGGAGAUUUUCGUCAGUUUCCAGAUUACUGAAAAAUUUUAAUUAAUUAAGGUCUUUUCAUGAAAUUUAAUGCAUAUGAUGAAAUGUAAUGCAAAUGAAUGAAUGCAAAAAGAGGUGUUGAUUCUAAUUCAAUUUAAUUAGAACAACUUUACUAGAAGAAAAUUUUCUUUACAUAGAACGGAUGGUUACAUAUACGACUUUGCCCUAAUGCCCAAAGCCUUAACCUUCCUAAGAAGCCAAGCUAAGUUUCGGCCUCGAUCUGAUUCUGACUCAUAUUUUAGGCUUAAUACAUCAGCCUGAACUGCCAAGGUUUGCAAAUGAUAGGCUAUCUCUCGAAUUUGAGCCACAGCUUCACCCAUGACAUAAUCUCUACUUCUGAUUUGAUCUUGAGAGUGGUGAAGUUGUUCUUUGCAAUGUUCAUUGUUUGCCACAAGGAAUUCCACUCGACAUUUACUAUCUUGUAGUGCCGCAUCGAGUUCCUCUAUCCAUCCUUUCAACUCCUCGAUUUUGCUUAAGUUGGUCUUUAACUCAAUUAUGGAGUUACGGUUACGAUGCAUAUGUAGCGAUUUUUCCAGUUCGACUAUCCGAGCUUGUAAUUUCUAUUUUUCGCUUUGGCUUUCUGACGAACUCUUUUUCAAAACAUCUUCCCGCAUUUGAACAUCUUGAAACAUCUUGAAACUUCUUCUCCCAGUGAUCAGCUCUAGCCUUUUCUCUUUCAAUUUCUUGACGCCACUGAUCCGACGUCUUACCCAAAUCGGCAGUUCUUAUUGACGUACGCAGCUUCUUAUAAUCAGUCUUCAGACUAUCCAAGUCCUCUUCAGCUUUAUUUUUCCCUUUCCUUAGCUUCUCAGCCUCUAGCUUGUGGAUGUCGACAUCUAAUCCUAGCCGCAUCUUUUCCUCCUCUAAUUGCUCUAUCUUCUUUCCCAAUUCUGAGCUCUUUUUCUCAAAGUCUUGCUUGAUGAUUUCUAGCUCGGAUGGGACUACUUGUAAAUACUCUUCUAUUGGUCGGGCAUUUUCCUGACUUAGCAUUGGGAUGUUGUUGUUGACUCUUUUACCCCACCACCGGUCAUACUCAGGGGUCGUCAUUGGACCUGCCGUGAAUCCUUUCAUUCUUCGUGUUUGGUUCCAAGCAUCUGAUAUCUCACGAACCUUCUUCUUAUAAUUGUUGUCUUUAUAGGAGAACUCACAUUGUUCCAACCCUUGUAUCGUUAGUCUAAACUGUCUUGAUCGAUAUUGCCGUAACACGAGUAAUGGAGCGUAUCCAACGGCUCCCUAUAUUCUAGCCAGAGGGACCCAGUCAAAAUCACCGCACCGAUAUAAGAUCCCGUCGGGGAUCAACCAUGGAGCCCUCCAUUCAACAUCUUCGACUCGUAAAUUCUGGAGAAUAGUUAUCCAUUUCCUUUCUGAGAUGUUGUCUCGCCUCGAUGUAGCCACUAACUCUCUUAAUGGGGAAUAGUCCUUGGAGAAAACCCGAUAAGAGACUUUUUCUACCUUCCAAAAAUGGCUAUGGAACCAAGCCAAUAGAAGCUGUGCACAACCAAUAAAUCUUCCUUCGUCUGCUCUCCGACAUGCAUUCAAGGAUCUGAAAGUUUCUGCUAGGAUUACCGGGACGGGUGUGGUCCCUUUAUUAAGGCGAUCGAAUAAAUCCGAGACGACUUCCUCUACAUGUCCUAAUGCCUUAGGAAAGAUAAUCAAACCGUAAAGGCUUAAGGCGAAAACGUCAACCCUCUUUUUCAUAUCCGGAUGUACUAAGAUUAAGUCCAUCAAAUUCCUCCAAUACUAUCCAUUUUUUUCUUGAUCCGAGUUGCAACCCAUUGUUCGCUCAUCCCCGUGGUAUUCAUCAAUUUCUUCAAAAAAUUCAGGACAUUAACAGGUCUUGAAUAGGCCCUGUCGGCCUGAAUCUUCGGGCAAUUAAGUAACGCCAUGUAUUCUUUUACAGUAGGUACUAAAUCGACUCCUCCGAAGGUGAAGCAACUGUAGGCGGAAUUCCAGAACUGCACGAGGGCUCGAAACAAGUAUUUGUCCACCUUUACAUCGAGCAGAUAGGGUAGGUCACCGUAAUUACAGUAAAAGAGUUGCUUGACCUUAUUAUUCCAACUAUUCCAUAUAUCCUUUAAUUCUUACAGGUCGUUCUAAGUCACACUGAUGCGAGUGAAAUCCCACAACUCCGAUUCAUAUCCGCCGGUCAAACUAUCUCCUUUCUCUUGUUGCGUUAUCUCAAACCACACUUGGACGGCCACAUUAUCCUCCACUCUAUCAAGAAAUCUUUUUUCCAUGCUAAACUUUUCUAUCUAGUAACCGAAUGUGAAUCAACACCUUUUUAUGAUGAGAUGCCAUGCAAUAAUAGCAAAAUACAACAAGUCAGUAUUAAAACAAAGAAUAAAACUCAAAGCAAACAGGAAAUAAUUAAGCACCUAAUCAGGUAACCACUAGGGUUUAGUGUGUUUCUAGGGUAGGCUCUUAGGGCUCAUUACAUGUGGUUCGAUUCUAAAGUAAAGGUACCUGAACCAGCAGAUUCUUCGAUCCUCACCCAUUAUAGGCUCAUAUGGGCCGAGUUCGAUUUAGAGGAAUACAUUUCCCUACGGCUAUACGGAGAUGAAAAUCUCACGAAGACGCAAGUACGGAUGUAUCCAGAAAGCGAUCCACUAUCCUAUACGGAGGUGAAGACCUCACGAAGGAGUAGUUUCUCACUUCCACUUAAGAGGUAAAAUUGACUGAUUAUGCAGUAUGAUGCGCAAAAGUAUACUUAAAAGAGUUAAACAGAAAGCCAAUCAUAAAAAAAAACAAAAACCACAAAGGGGAAAUGCCAUGAAAUGAUCGCAAGUUUAAAACGAAUUUUUAAUUUUUGACAAAGGACAAAAACUAAUCAAUUUAUGGCUCGACCUUUAGCAGAGUCGCCAGCUGUCAAACCAUUUUUUUGAAAACGGGUAUCGACUUUGUUCGAAAGUGAAGAUUAAAACAGGAGUCGCCACCGAUCUUUAUUUGGUGUGAUCGGAUCACCUUUAUUUAAAAAAAACAAUUUUAGUUUACUAAAACAACAUUUUGGUCUACGAAAUUCAAGAGAACAAGUUCGGGAGUCGGUUACGUGCGAGGAAGGAUUAGCACCCUCGACACGCCCAAAAAUUGGUACCGAACUGAUUAAUUAGUGUCUUAAUGUCGAAAAUUGAAAAUCAGGAAUAGAUUUGUAAUACGAUCCUUUUUUAUUUACAUCGAUUUUAAAAUUCUUGAAUUAGCUCAAAACGAUUGUUAAAGAUUUCCUUAUCUCGAGAUAUCGGAGAAUCACAUCCCGUAAGUUAGGACACAAUACCAUGAAUUCCCGAGCGUAAGGUCGUCUUUAAUUUAAAUUGGAACCCCGUGUAUUUUAAAACUCAAAAGGAUAUUUAGCUAUUUAGAAUCAACAAGAGAACCGAAACCCCGUAAGUUAGGGCACAAUUCUUCGAUAUUCCAAAACGCGAAACAUUGCCUCAUUUUGAAAUUUCAUUUUUUGAAUAGUAGUGAAUACGGUAUUUAAACGACAUAUAUUAUUUGUUUAGGUUAAAAUAAAACGUUUUAUUGGAUAAAUGUAUUGGGGUUUAAUUCAUGAGGCGAUGAUAUGAAAAAAUAUAGUAAUGAAUAUGAGACAAAUUAAAUAUUAUACAUGAAAAUUUAGAAUAGAACAUAUAUAAAAUAAUCUAAAGUAAAGAAUAUAUUAAAAUAAAUAAUACGUGAGAAAUAAAAAAAUGAAUUUUAAACGAUUAGAGUAGUGUAAACGAAUAAAGUAUGAAAGGAAACUUAAAAUGGAUAAUACAUAUACAACCGUUUAAAACAAAUAACGUAUAAAAAUAUUUAAAAAUAAGUGAUAUGUAUAGUAGUUAAAACAAAUAAUAUAUGUAAAAAUAUUUAAAAUCUAUAACAAUUUACAAUACAUAAGACGUAAAAAGGAUUACGAUAACUAAUAAUAAAAUGUUCUAAUAUAAAUAAUGUAAGAUAAACAAACUUAAAAUAACUAACAAUAAAACAGCUCCUAAAAAGUUGAAAUAAUAAAUAAAUGAACAAAUUAAAUAGAUUAGGGCUAAGCUGAAAUUUAAUUAAAAUUUAAGAUGCAAAUUGUAAAAAAAUAGGCCACUAAGGACCGAAGUGAAACGCGCAUAAAGAACGAGGGACUGGUUGGGAAAAUAUUCCCGCCCUCCAUGCGCAGUGUUUCAAACGGGACAAAAUUGAGAUGAGAGCAAAGAACACGGGAUCAAAAUUUAAAAAAAAACGCAAAAGAAAGAAUAAAAGGGGGCAAAUUGAAAACAAGAGGCAAAACAGAAGGACCCACAGCGCAAAUAUCCCAUUUGAGCUUUAAAAACAUGCGGAUCGCCCCAUUAAUCGGGUCGGGUCGCGGGUUCCCUCCCCAAAACGACCUCGUUUUGAGGCGUGUGGGGAGGGUAGUAAAACGCUGUCGUUUUACUCUGCUAUUAAAGCCCAUUUUUUUUUUUUUUAAUUUCAGCAACAUCUAAAAAAAAAUAAAGAGUUCUCAUUGCUCUCCCUUCACUCCCAUGUCUGGCGAUAGGGUUUCCCGGUGUCCAUUGCGCCGCCGUUGUGGGCUAGUGGCCGGCGUUGCGCGAAUGGGAUUUUUCCGGCUCCGAGGAGGCCAACGGAGAAGAGUAACCUCCCUUUUCUACUCUUUCGUUUUAUUUUUUUAUUCCAAAAAAAUAUAAAAGAAAACAAAAGCUACAGAUAUUUAAGAGCAAAAAUGAAAUAAAAGAGGAAUCACCUUCUAAAGUUUUGGUUUUUGAUUGAUUUUUUGUAUUAGAUUCUCUUUGUUUUUUUGUGUUUCAAAACUGACUUAAGAAAAAAGAAUAAAAAAUAAAGGAUAAAAAAAAUAAGAAACGGAGAUAAAAAGACGAGAGAAUGAAGUUCAACCUUUUUAUUUUUUGAUUGCUUAAAUCGUGUCCUUUACAAUAUUUCGUGUUUGUGGCUAUAUAGCCGAAUACAAAAAUGCUUUAGGCUAUUCCUUGCUACUGUUUUGCUUCGUUUCUGCUUUUUGCUUUCUUUUUGUUUCUGUUUUUGUAGGCUUAGAGGGUCAAUGAGGGCGAAAACAUGCCAUUUUGGUGCGAGGAAACAGCCAUCGGGCGGAGGGUACGCUGACGGAGGCACGUGGGGUGCGGCGCAACCAAGGCUGCGGCGCUGGAGUGGAUGGGAACCUUAGGGUUUCCUGAAAAUUUCAAAUAUUUUGGGCCAAUCGGGCCUUGUGAUGUUGGGCUCAGGAUUUUGGGUUGUGUUUUGGGUCUUAAUUGGGCUGAUGGUUUAGGUUAGGUGUUGGGUCUUGUAAUUGAACUGUAAAUAUUUUGGGCCUGAGCAAAAUUUGGGUCCUACAGAUAAAAUUAUUAGAAAUUUUAUUUUGAGUCAUUAUGAUGCUAAACGAUGCAUUAAUUUAAUCCAGUGGGAUGCUAAGUCUUAGGAUUGGUUUGCACACAAUAUAUUUUAUUAACAAGUAUUUUCUUAUUAAAUUCGGAUUCCAAUUGAUCUAAAAUUAAUAUAAUGCUUUUCGAGUUUUAAAGUCAACUUAUAAGUGGAAGGAAAACAUUAUGUUUUGUCGAUAUUUGAAUAGUUUCUCUAGAUUAUGGAAAGGUAUCUCUACAAUUUGUGGAGCAGUUUAAGAUGGCAUAAUUUGGAAUUUAGGAAUGGGAAAACCAUUGACUUUUAGAGGGAUAAAUGUGACAUGAGUCUCAAUGCCAAUUUUAGGCUCAUAGAUGUGAUGGGCUUACACUACCUCAAGGCCCAACAAUAAGGUUAAAUGCCAAGCAAAUCAAACCAAGAUUCCACCAAAGCCAGUAUGUGAGGAUUAAUCUUUUCAAGGAAACCAAGAAUGAUACAUGCACGGAAUGGGUGAAAUGUAUUAAAGUCAAUUCAACCAAGCUGUCAAUUUUCAACCUGAAAAGAUUACUCAACUUUUGACAAAUUUUUGGAUGGGAUCUAGGCAUUUCUGGAUUAAAAUGUCUUCAUAGCGUUUGAAGAUCUAUCUCUUAGAUUCGAAACGCACUUUGAAUCACUUCAUUUUAAGUUUGAGAACUCAAGUUAUGACCGUUUUAGUGAAGACCAUGUGAACAGAAUUUCUGGACAGGAUUAUGAUAAGAAUUACAAGUUUCAAGCUUUUUAUUUGAGUUGAAAUCAUAUUGGGUUCAAGUUUUAGGCUUAAUUUUUAUUAUAUAUGAGUCUAAUAUUUUAUUUAUCAGCUCUUAUUAUUUUAUUAUUUUUUAUUCCAAAUUUUUUUAUAAUUAUUAAGUAUUUUAAGUUAUUUAGGAGUUUUAUGCCAACAAGAAAGUUUAGUUUAAAACUACUUCUUGUUUUGGUUAAUUAGAGUUCUAGUAUACUUAAGAGUUUUAUUUAUAUUUAUUUAGCUAGCCUAUAUAAAGGACUUUGCAUUGUACACAAAGGAAUCAAUUUAUUAUUAUUUAACAACUUCUAUUUUGAGUUUUUUUUUCAAGAAUUUUUCUUGAGUUUUUUUUAGAAGAGUUUUAAAAAUCUUUUCCAUGGGGAUCAUCUUCAAAUUUUUUCUUGCUAAAUUUUCUUUCUUUGAGGGGAAAUUAGAGUCACUUGAAGGAGGUUGUGGAUUCUUCUAUUUCCAAGGCUCUUAGGACUUCUACACGUCACGUUCUAUCUUUUCCAUCUAUCUUCUUUACUUUCAUCUUUAUUGUUCUAAUCUUUGAUUUAUUGAUCUACUUUAUUUAUCUUAGUUAUUUAUUUUAAUUGUUUUAUCUGACUUGGAUUCAGUUACGUUUCAGGUUGUGUCAAAAUCCAAGUUUUUUUCUGAACGUCUAGAGCUCUAAGUUAAAUCUGCAACUUGGACAAACUUUACGAUCCGGUUCCACACACUCAUCCAUCCAUUUCAUCCAUAUCAAAAUGGAUAGAAGUUGAGUACCCAUUUUUCAUUAUGUUCAGUAGGUAGAGAACUUGUCUAGUUCACUUACAUCAGUUAUGUCUAUGAUAGUAGAUGAUUGUUCAUAGGACUAGAGUAAAUUUGGAUACUUAGUUCUCAAGGAUGUUGUUUUGAAAAUUGCUACUUCCUUGCCCCUAAUAGAAUAUGAGAUUGAUGAUACACCAAGCUGGUGUUGGGAUGAAAAGAGAAGUUCCACAAUAAAGUUUGCUUACAGAUCUUUAAUUUACCAAAUAAGGAUCCACGAUGGUAUUAAUUGAAAAUAUUUAGGAUCUCUGUGAGUUAAAGCUUCCUUAUGAAUUGUUUGUAAAGGUAAAAUCCUCACGAAUUUUGAGAGGUGUAGAAGAAAACUCAAUGAUAAUAUGAAUUGCCCUUUUUUGUUACAAUUGUGUUGAAGAUAUUGAUCAAGUCUUAGAACAUGUUUGUAUGCCUCUAGCAUUUGGUCUAAGUUAGUUAAGCAUGAGAAAUUAAAUGAAUUUCUUAGCUGGGGUAUCAUAAGUUGUGCUUUUAGGAACCUAAAGAGGCUAGAUUAUUGCUUGGAGAACCCAAUUUGGAUUUUGUUGUUGGGGACUGUGGAAAUGUAGAUGUCAGUGUACUUUUUACCAGAAUUUUGUAGAGAAAGAAGGGGUCUGAUAGUGAACUGUAUGCCUUUUUUAUGAACUAAUGGAUUUUGUGCUUUUCAAUGUUAAAAUUUUAAUGGUUCUAAUGGAAUGUGAUUCAUUGAAAUGUGAUUGAUGAGAAUAUUCUUACUAGGAAAGUUAUUUUACAAGGUUUAGUAUACACUAGAAAGUAUUAAUUAAAAUCCUAGGAAAGUUACAUUAACAUGUUUAGUACAUCUAACACAUCCUUGAGAAUGUAAGGUUACUUUACAAAAUUACCCUUAUUAAGUAAAAAAUAAUAUUAAUGUAUUUUAACAUUUUUAUUAUUAAUAAAUAUUUGAAUAAAAUAUUUAAUAAUAUUUACUAUUAACAAAUAUUUAAAUUAAUCUACAAGAUAUGAUUUUUUUGAUAUUUUGAUCGAAUCCAUUAUAUGAAUACAUUAAAAAAAAAACUUGCAUAUUAACUCAAGAUUGUGAAUAUGUACGACUAACAAUUUUUUCUUGUAUUACAUUCAAGGUAUAAAUUCAAGUAUAUAGCUUGAAACUAUUUUGGUACUAAUUCUUUUAAAUUGGUAGUUUGAUUUUGAUGUAUGACAUUUUUUCAAUAGCCAUUAGAUUUUCAAUUUUUAACACAAAGGAAUUAUCAUGUGAGUUUUGUUAGGGUCACAUGUCAUAGAUCUUUCUUGAUGAGAAAAUUAGGCAAUGAACUAAUUUAAGAUUUGAAUUUGAGAUUAGGUGAUACCAAUAUUAUUGUUGGAGUAAUGAGAUAUCAUCUGCGAAUAGGCUUGGUGUGCACACAAAUACUUAAUUCUACAUGUCUUAAAGUUUUUUAUGCUAGAAAACAUAAUGUACUUAUAACAUAAUAAAAUAUAAAUAUUUACUUUUAAAAACUUUGAAAUAAUGAAUUGAAGCUGUAUAGAUGAAUAAGAGACAACUACCUUUUUUUCUUUUUAUGUUGGAUAAAUUAAUUAGUACCCUAAGCAUAAAGAAAAUAAAAGUUAAUUGUCUAAAUAUUUUCUUUUUAUUUCUCAUCUAGAGGAAAAGUAAUUUUCGCACCAAUUAUCAAAGUAACCAUUUUUCAUUUUUUUUAGGAAAAUAACUCCCAAGACAAUACUAUAUUCCUUGGAGAUGAUCAAGUAGGAUGGAUACAAGGUUUUGGAGGAUGGCAUUGGGGUGCUUUUGAGGGGCUUGGACAAGCUUGGGACGUCAGGAUUGAAAAAGUGGUUUUGGAGAUUGAGAAAUUUUCAGUAGUAAAAUGUUACGCAUCAAGAAGGAAAGGAGUUGGCUCAUAUUGUCCAAUUAAAGUUGAACAUAUUUAUAGGAGGGCAAUCUCGAUAGUUUGGCGUCAAGGACUCUCUCCUUUGGGUGUUUGGAUUUGUACAAACCUCCUUCUAGUGUUGGAACUACUAGAUGAUAUUAGUCAAAUAGUUUGACAAAGGUUAUGCUAUAUGUUUAAUGUUAUUUAUUUUUUAAUUUCUGUUGAUCCAAGUUUUCAUUUUUCUUUGAAAGUUAUAUGAAUUUUGAAAUCCUAAAAAUGGGAUUCAUACAUUUCCAUGGAUGGAAAUAAUAAAGUUCAACCUAAUUGCACUGCGUAAAGUAAGAUUAGACUAAUGGAAAACAGAAAAUGCUUUAUGCUUUACUACAAACAAAUAGUAUCCCCUCUUCUCAUCAUUUAUAAAAAGGCAGGGUAUCCAAAGAUCCGACUUAAGAUUUAAUAUUAACUAAAAGUUACACUUUUAACAGUAUGACUCUGCCCAUUGUUUUAGUAAUACUGGGAGUCCAACUAGCAGCAAACACCACAAGGUCUUAUUAUCUUUGAUAGGUAGCGCCAGCAUUUUGGUAAAUAAAUAAGUGGAGCUUUUUAGCGGGUGGGGGCAGAUUUAGGGCAUUUGAGACCUUGCUUCCCUUCUCAGCACUCCGCAGCGAACAGACCAGGCGGAUAUUUGCCGUAAAGGUUGAUGUAGCUGAACAUGGUGGAAGCACAAUCGGUUCUAAAAUCAUUGAUCUGUUUUGCAUAAGGGCAUGCGAAUUUCUUGAACGUUGCACAACAGCAACGAUUUGCUGGGUAUUAUAAUUCAGGAAUUCAAACUUAAUAGAUCAAGCUGCACAAGAUUAAAUAAAUAAAUAUCAAAUUUACACGAGUUGUAAUCUAAUAUAUAUGCAAUUGUACUCAUUUAAAGAAAUGAAAAUAUUUAUUUUCAUAUCAUAUUAACAUAAUUGUUUGUGUAUGUAGUAUAUCAAUAUAAAAUAAUAUUAAUUUGAUAACGUCAUUAAUAAUUUAUGAAAAUUGAAUUAAAUAAAAAUUUCAUGUUCAAAAUCAAUGUUCAUAAAAAUUCAUGUACAGUUAUAAUAUUUAUCCCUAAAAAUACAAUAAAUCAUGUUAAAUGAUCUUCCAAAACAUGAGCGAAUCAAAUCUAAGAAUUUAACAUUAUGUUCGGGUAUAUCAUUGUAAAGGAAAAGAAAGGUAAAAGGAAGAUUUUAUUUUGUGUAGAUAGUUUGAAAUUAAUAAAGGAAAGUUUUGUUUGGUGAAGAGAAUGAUUAUAUGUAAUAAUUGUAUUUGUAAAAGAUUAGUAGCAUAACUUGAGUAUUUUACAGAAACAUCACUUUCUUUUUUCCAAUUUUUGUAGAAAGUAAAGGAUAUUCCUUUGCUUAAAUGAAAAAAAUCCAAAUAUUAAAUUGUUGGGAUAGAAAGAAAAGGUUAAAAGUAGAAAGGAAGACCUUUCUUUACCUGAAGCAGAUGGCUGGUUGUAGAAGCGAGAGAAGCGGAGCCACUAUCUGCAUCAGAACAUUAAGACAAAACUAAAACAUCACACCAUCUAAUGUAUCUGAUACAAGUUGAGAUGAAUACCAGAAAUGGAAGUAGACGCAGCAGCCAUAACUAUGAUAAUUGCCAAAUAAGACAACAACCAAUUUCUCUCCAUUCUUUCUUCUUCUUCUUCUUCUUCUUCUUCUUAGCCAAACUAGUUCAAUACUAUGUGGUUGCUAGUUAGAGAUGGUUAAAUGCGGAUAACACUGCUUUGAUGACUGAAAAGCAACGCCUUCAUUUGAUGGAAGACUUGACACAAUCAACAUGAUCUAAGUCUUUGCAUACAAGUGGCUGUCACAUUUAAGUUAGAUUGUUUUACCAAUUUUUUUGUGUUCAAUAGAAAAUAAUUUAUUGAUUAACGAAAAAUAAUUUCAUUUUACUGUAAAUUGAUUUCUCAUUUUUCGAAAAAUAAUUCUCUACUUAGAAAUUUUAUUUUUAUAUAAAAAUUCAAUUGAAUCAAGUAUAAUAUUAUUAUAUUAAUAAUAAAUUUUUAUUUUUAUUUUAAAAAUACUAAAAUAUUAAUAUAAAAUAUUAUAAUGUUCAAUAUUUUUAAAAAUUCAUACUUAAUUAGUUAUAUUUAAUAAUAUAAAUAUUAAUAAAUUAUUUAAUAUUACAAUUUUAUUUUAAUAAUAGAUUUUAACAAUAAUAAUUUUAAAAUUUAAAUAAUAUUAUAAUAUAUUAUUGAAAACUAUUUAUAUUAAUAUUUAAAUAACAAAAAUAUAUUAUAAUUUAUAAAUAUUUAAUAAUAAAUAUUUUAUAUAAAUUUUCAUUGUCAAAAAGAGGUGUUUCUAUAAUACUUUCUAACAAAUAUAUUUAUGUGGUACUUAUUUUACAUCUAUCCAUGAGUCGGGUGGUUGACCUAGUUUAACUUGAGCGAGUUUGGGCAAAGAUUUUAUGCCCUCAGAUUGGUCCACCCCAAUUUAAAAUUAAAUGUUUUUAUUUUAAAUUUAGUUAUAGUAUAUAAAUAUUAAUUUCACAUAAUAUAUUUUUACAAUUUUAUCAUUUUUCUAAAUAGCGAUAUGGGCAAGUUGAGUAUGAAUUUUUUUUAAAAAAAAAUUUUGAGCAUUGGUUCGGCCCGACCUAUAAAUAUGUCUAAACUUGUUUCACUAAGAACAACUUUUAGAUCAUGAUUUUAGGAAAAUAUGCUAAACAAUGAAAAAUAUUUUAUCCAAAAUCUUUCAAACACCAAAAAAUAUCAAAAUUUUUCAGAAAAUUAAUUCAUCUUUCAAAAAUUAUUUUCCAAAAGCUGUUUUUAAUUUUUUUAAAAAAAUAGAAAUAUUUAUUAAAUACAAAUGUAAAACAUAAAUAUAUUUGGAGUAAGCAGUGGGAGAGCAUAGUUUUCCAUUACCAUCUUACACAUCCUUGUUUUCUUUUCUUCUGGCGCACAGCAGGUUGGCAGUCCACCACCACUUCUUAUAAUAAUCAGAAAUUUGGAUUGUUUUUCCUAUUCAACUUAUAUAACUGAAUAUCAAAUCCUGAUUCUAACUUAGUAGUUCUAUCUCGUAUUCACAAUCAUAGUGGAUAGAGAUAUUGUUAUUAGAGUAGGGAGAAAAAUGGCAUGAGCAGAACAAGAUAUGGACAUGAUAAACUACAUUGAACUUGGAAAUUAAUACAAUACAUGACAGCAUUUUGAAGUUGUAACAAUAUUAACUUCAUGCUAAGAUAAGGGAGAAGAGUGGAAGAAGAGGCAGAUGGCUGAAAUAUCAUCCAUUGCAAUAUCCUUCCUCUUCUUUUUCCAAGCCCGGACUGCAUACUCCACUAGCCGCUUAGCUGCCUUCUGCUUGUCCGGUGUCGAAGAUACUAUUUGAACUGCUUCCUGAUUGGAUACAACAUCCCAUACCUGCAGAACAAAGCUUUAGUCACGAUCAACAGCAUUGUCAUUUUAUCAACUUUGAUCAAACCCUUAGUUAUAUAUGCAUACCCCGUCGGUAGCCAGCACCACGAAUUGGUCUCUGCUGGUUAUAUGUCUUUGUGUGACUUCUGGAACCGAAAUAAGACCGUAAUCUUUUAUGCAGUAGUCCCCGAAAGCUCUCGACAUUGCCAGCCCUGGUGACUCCUCAUCAGGUAGCCAAACCCUGUGCACCCCUGGCUCAUCAUGCAGGCAGAAAACUCGACCUUUGCACUGAACUAUUCGCUCGGCCUCCUCUGCAAGCAACAUCAACCAAAAACAUAAGGAUUCUUAAUGGCUUCUCUUUCCAACAGUUUUAGAGAGUGUGGCGAGAACUCACGAGGUAAAUUUGGAUUGAAAUCGAUGGUAAGCUGAACGGGAACCAAGUUUCCAUCAUCUGAUGUAGUAGCCAGAACAGCCCGUGAAUCACCAAUGUUGGCUACAUAUAUGAGGUCACCCUGUCCAAUAUAAAUGUCAAAUUAUUCUCAAAUAUCAUAAUAGUUGAAGCAAAUACCCAGAGUAUUCCAUAAUAAGAGCUUAGUUUACCUGUCUGACAAUUGUUAAGGCAGUUGUUCCACUGUAAAAGGAAUCGAUCUUCCUAUGUUGCUCGAGCUCGUGAUCAACUGCUGCACAAGUCCUCAGAUAAGAAUGCUUCCAUAUAUGAAACCUCUGAUGCUUUUUAUCAGACUCUAAAUCGAUCUCCGGGUCAAGGGAUGCCUGAGCUAGAGUUUCUUGCCAAUUGCAAAGCAACGAUGAAGGCAUUGAUUCUCGAACCUUUUUGGCUACAAAAUGACCCCAUGGACCAUGCCCAUCAAAUAUCCCGCAAAACAACAUGUCUGCUUGACAUCCAAAUUCCUAUUCCGAGUAAACAAAAGCCACAUUUAUGAAUCAUAAAAGGGAGUCAAUUUACAAGGUAUACAAAGUACAUACUCAAUGUUUUAUACCUCCCAUACAAUGGCACAAUCCUGGUUCACUCCUUUCCUGCCUCUCUUGGAGAAAACUGAGGCCAAAUUGUUGGAACCAUCGACAUUUACAGAACCGGAAGACCUCAAAAUCAGGUAAUUUUUCUUUGCAUUCUUUGCCAUUGCCUCAGCAGCUUCUCUUCCAUCACCAUUCCCUGAAAUUUUCCCACUUAUUGACCUUGCUAACCCAUUGAACAUGGAAGAAAAUUGCCUCAUUGUCUCUACCAUUCAAUACCCACCACCAAAAAAAAAAAGAGAGCCUGCUUUCCUCAUUGUAGAUCCAGAGUCUGCCCACAGAAAACAAAUAAAUAGUCACACAAAGUUACAGACAAGUAAAAGAAGCCUUGGGAAUACUUCCUUUUUCUAGUUUUUGUUUUGUUUAAAUCCUUGCUCCAGACAUGGUAGGUAGAAGGUUAAAAGAACAUUGAACUUGAGUAAUACAGUUAGCCAAGAAAAGACAUAAUCCGACUCAGAAAGGUAGGAAUCUAACAAUUUAAUAACAGUAAAAAAAUUAGAACCUGUUGUUAAUGUGAAACACUUUACAGAGAAUAUUCAUCAUGACAUGGAACUCUAAUAGAAAUUUGAAAGAGGCUAAACAAGUGCCGGCUAGUAAAUAGAUAAACUCAACACUUGAGGCUUAGCUGGCUAUACCCCAUCAACAGGUCUGUUUGGUUGCUGAGAAAGGAUACUGGGAACAAAAGGGCAAACUAGAAAUUGCAAAGUUUUAGUAUGUUCAAGGACAGGUGAGUGGCUACUUGAAAAGUAAAUAAAAAAAAAAAAAGAGGGGAAAUCUAGAGUUCACUAGAACUUCAACUUAGUUGAAAUUUCCCUUUAUGGUAAAGGCAAAAACUAAAAGGAAGAGCUUUCUGUUUUUCCUUAGAUAAUAUGAUAUAUUAUUCCUUUACUCCCUACCCUUUUAUUCGAUUUUCCUGAAAAUCAAAGAAAAAUAAAAUUUAACGUGCAAAGUUGCUGGAGUAACACGACUUUAAAAUUUGCACAUUAAAUCUCAGUACUAGUUUUUCUCUGAUGAUACCUAUAAAUUAAUCUCGAGUACUAAGAUUUGAUCAUAUUUUCCUUCUCUCUCACACAAAUCCAGAAACCAGGCUUUUCUUUCACUUUCUCAGCAAUCAAUCAAGCCAGUCCAACCAGAGGGAAAAAAUGCACCAAGAUCAAACCCAGAAAAAUGGAAAAGAGAAGCUGUAAUUAGACUGGGAAGCUAAUGCAAGCAACCAGAAUGUGAUGACUUGAUCUUCACGAGAAAAGCUAAGAAACUGAGAGAUAGAAGAUGGAGAAGGAUGUGAAAAGAUAGGCAUACUUAAAAAGAAAGAAAAAUUCCUUCGUUUGGUUCUGGGUUUUUAAGCUCCAAUUCUUAUCAGUGAAGAAGAAUAAAGAAACAAAAGAAGCAGUAAGCUUUGUACAUGCAAAAUUGCAAGCACAAGCACUUCCAUUUUUCUGUUCUAAGAACGUUAAACUUAAAAACCCAGACUUCCUUUUUUGCCUUCGUUAUCCAACAACAUUUUUCUCUUUGCCCUGCCCAUUUUCGUUAAACCUUUUAUAAGCUCCUUUAGCUUUCUUUUCGUUUCCCUUUUUAUAAUAUAAGGGUUGAAUUUGGUUUAUUUAGAUACAGCUCAUGAUUUGGUGUGUUUUAUAAUUUAGCAUUAAUUCUUGAAUAAAAAGAUUACUAGAAUUUAAUUGUAGAUUCAUGUGGAGUUCAAUAAUACUUUUUUUACAUAUAUAUUAUAAAAAUAGGAGGAAAAAUGAGAACGACAAAUUUUGAAUUUUAGUGUUGCUCUGUACAACAUUAAUCAUAUCUUGUAUCAAUUAAUGUACUAAUUUCAGUAGCAUAAAUAUGAUUAGGAUAAAUUAUAAAAAUAGUAACUUUUAUUUGUCUCAUAUUAUAUUUUAGUUACUUAUGUUUGAAAUGUUACGUUUUAGUCAUUUACGUUAUCGUUUUGUUACGAAGUGGUCACACUAUUAUUAAACUCUGUUACCUCCCUAAUGACGAUCCUACAUGGCAGUCCAAAUGAGUUUUAAAUGCCAACUUGGAUGUCUAGUUGUUGGGAUGAAAAUAAGUUUUUAAUUAAAUAAAUUUAAUUUGGACUGUGUUAAGGAUUGGAAACAAUUAUAGUAGUUAGUAGUUAGAGCUUAGUAGUUAUGUAGUUAUAGUUAGUUAACUGUUAAUACUUUGUGUUAUAAAUGCUGUGCUUUGUAUUCUGUAAUUCAUGUUCUUUUGUUAAUCAUUUUCACUUUUCUUGAUUCGAUUCUAUAGAUCUCAUUAUGGCAUCUGAGCCUUAAAUUUUUUUCGCCUUCUCUGCAUUUCUUCUUUUUGCUUCUACCAUGGCGAAAAAAGCAGUUUCUAGCAAUGAUGAAGACAAUCGCCACUCAAUCAACACGGCUACACCUAUAGCUGGCUCUUCUCCCGAUCCUGGUUGUAAUUCUUUGAGAAAGAUUCAACAGUUUUCUAAACAUGAUACGAUGAAACUAAGUGAGCUUAACUUUCUUUUAUGGAAACAGCAGGUUCUGUUAAUUCUUGAGGGGUAUGGGUUGCAUGAUUUUGUUCUUAGAACUAUUAAUGUUCCUCCACAGUCUUUUGUUGAAAGAAAUGGCAACCUUGUUGCUAACCCUGACUUCUUGUUUCAUAAGCAACAAGAUAAGCUGUUAGCCUCAUGGUUAUUGUCCACUAUCUGUGAUGAGAUCUUGGUGUAUCUUACUAGUGCUUAAUCGAGCUUUGAUGUAUGGCAAACAGUUUUUCGGCGAUUUGCUACCAAGUCCACUAUGACAGUUUCCACUCUAAGGCAUUCUUUAUAUUCCCACAAGAAAAGACAGUUAACUGUUAAAGAGUACUUGGCCAAGAUCAAAGGUUUGUGUGACACUUUGAUGAUUGCAGGCAGUUUUAUUUCUGAGCAGGAACAGAUUAGCAUCAUUCUUGCUGGUCUGUCAGUGGAAUAUGAGUCAAUUCGUAUUGUGGCUUCAGCAAUGAGUGUUCCUAUUGAUCUUCUUGUUGAAAUGCUGACUGAUUGUGAAGCUCGACAACAAGACUUUGUUUCGAGUAUGCCCUUACAGGCUAAUGUUGCUUAACACAGUGGUACUGUUGAAAGAAAUGCUGGGCAGUUUGACAGAGGCUCUAGACCACCUUAAAAAGGAAGUGGCUCUAGGACGUUUCGAGGCAGAGGCCAAGGGAGGAGGUUUGCUCAUAACAAACCUCAAUGCCAGUUGUGUGGUCGAAUUGGACACACAAUUUAAAAAUGUUACUACUGAUUUGAUGAAUCAUUUGAAGGUGUGUCUAAUCAGCCAAUGCAAGUACAUUGUCAUCAGUUUCAGGAUUCUUCUAAUUCACAGUAUGGAGGUUCUUAUUGUUGUUCUCAAAGGCCCAUUGUACAACACUCUGGCUUGCAAGUUAAUGCUGCCUCCACCAAAGAACAGUUUCCCACAGGCUUCCUGAACACAAAAGUCUGGUAUCCAAACUCGGGAGCGUCCAACCAUGUUACAAAUGACUUGGAUAAUUUCCAUGAGGCAACACAAUAUACAAGUAACAACAGGCUUUUCAUGGGAAAUGGUGUGUCUGUACUAGUGGCUCACAUUGGCUCCUCCUCUUUUACAAGUUCAAACAGAAUUUUUCAUUUGAAAAAUGUGUUGCAUGUUCCAAAAAUUUGCAAAAACUUAUUGUCUAUUGCCCAAUUUGCUAAUAAUAAUCAGGUUCAUUUUGAAUUUCACCUUUUCUAUUGCUUUUUGAAGGAUAUCAAGACAGGGACCAUAUUGUUGGUGGGCCGCAUUCAUGAUGGCCUGUACCAGUUCGAUUUGUUAGGCACUCAGAGAUUUAACACUGCUUCAAAUCCUUCAGGUAUUGCUCACACCACUCAUCUGGGAUCUCCUGUUUCUAUUAGUUCAAUAUUUUAUUUGUGGCACAAACGCCUUGGUCAUCCUUGUAAUAAAACUGUUAUGACAGUUCUUUAAAAGUGUAAUGUUGUUUCAAAGAUUAUAGGUUGAAUUCAGUUUGUUCAGCAUGUCAACUUAGAAAGUUUCAUAAGCUUUCAUUUUCUCCCUCAACUACUGUUUAUACAGCUCCUUUUGAACUUAUUGUAUCCGAUCUCUUGGGUCCUACUCCUGUGGCAUCUGACGGUCACUUUUAUUAUGUCUCAUUUGUUGAUGCCUAUUCUAGGUACACUUGGAUGUAUCUUAUCAAAUGCAAGUCUAAGGCAUUGGACAGUUUUCUUAAUCUACAGAAAUUUAUUGAAGUUCAGUUUGGAUGUAAAAUAAAGAUUCUUCAAACUAAUUGAGGAGGAGAAUUUUGUUCUUUUCCAAAGGUCCUAUCUCAGUUGGGGAUUCAUCACCAACUCUCUUAUCCUCAUACUUCUGAACAAAAUGGCUUGGUAGAGAGGAAACAUAAGCAUAUAAUCAAUACUGGUCUAACUUUGUUGGCUCAGGCUAAUAUGCCUAUGCAUCUUUGGGCUCAUGCUUUCAUCAGUGUUGUAUACCUUAUCAACAGACUUCCCACAUCAUUUCUCACUGGCAGAUCACCCUAUGAGGUGUUACAUAAAACUAUGUCUAGCUACAUGCAUUUAAAAGUAUUUGGCUGCAGGUGCUAUCCUUAUCCUAGACCUUUUAAUUCUCAUAAACUCUAAUAUCUUUCCUGGCCUUGUGUGUUCUUUGGCUACAACCCUAUUCAUAAAGGAUAUAAAUGUCUCGAUGCUACCAGUAGGAUUUUUAUCUCUAGGUAUGUGGUGUUUGAUGAAACCUGCUUUCUUUUUGCCAGUUCUGCCGGCUCUAGAGGUGAUUCUGUCCCUUCUUGCACUUAACCUAAGUUCCAACAUUAGCAGUCUCAUAUUCUAGUUGUGGUGCCCCCUGUGGAUCAACCUCGAUUUGAUGCUCCAAAUUUGUCUAUCAUUUUAGACCAGCAAAUUCCAGGACUUGUGUCAGGAUCUGCUAUUUCACCCACUGGUCCUCUUCUUUUAGAGUCUCCUGCCUUCGAGGUAAGGCCAAAUGCCAGCUUCUCAGCAAGGCAUGAAACUUCCAAUAGUCAUUCCACUCAUCCUUCAAAUUCAUCUCCUCCUGAUGUUUUUCCUUCAGUCCCUUCCAAUCAGGAUCCUUCCUCAUCCUUACCUGUCAACCUUCAUCCUAUACAAACCAGGUCCAAAAAUGGCAUUUUUAAGCCCAAGGUUUUCUCUGCUGCAUUAAGUCAGAUUGAACCUGUCAUAAUUGGAAAAGCCUUUGCUAGCAAAGAAUGGACACUAACAGCUCAGCAAGAGUAUGAUGCUCAGUUGAAAAAUAACACAUGGGAUUUGGUUUAUUUACCUGUAAAUCAAAAAGCUGUGGGUUGUAAGUGGGUGUUUAAACUGAAACGACAUGACACUAUUGCUCGCUACAAGGGUCACCUGGUUGUUAAGGGCUAUCUUUAGGAGGCAGGCAUUGACUUUCAAUGUAACAACGCUAAAGUUACGGGUAAUCGAAAAGUGUAUUUUCAGGUAUCCGCUUUCGUAAAAUGGAUUCAUAAAUAUUAUUAAAAAUAUUUACGAAGUUAGUUGUGUGGUUAAUUAGGUUUUGACUAGGUGAAUUAGUUUGAAUUAAGGAUAAUUAGUUGUAAGGAUUAAAUUGAAUAAAGGGUGAAAGUUUAAUUAUUAAUUAAAUAAAAAGUGAAGGAUUAAAUGAGCAAUUAAUCUUUAUAUAACAAGUGUAUGGUGAAAAUAAUUCCAUAUGUGUAAAUAAUAUACAUAUAUUUAAUAAUAAAUUAAACUUACUAAUUAUUUAAGUAAAUAUAUUAAUAUUAUUAUAUUAUAUUAUAUUAUUAUAAUUAAAAAUAAUAAUAAAAGAAACCAAAAAGAAAAAGAAAGAACAUAAUUGAAAAUGAAAUAGGGGAGAAAAAGGAAGAAAAGAAAGAGGGAAAGAAAGAAAGGAGAAAAUUAGGGUUUUAAGUUCAAAGCUUAAUUGGUAAGUCAAUUUAGUCAUUUUCUUGUAAUUUUUAUGUUUUUAGAAUUCUAGUAUUAAAUACUACCUAACCUAUGUUGAAAUUUUGGAAAAUAUUGAAUUUUUAGAUGUUGUCCAUGUUGAAUAAUUUAAGUAAUAGGGACUAAAUUGAUAGGAUUUUAAGUUAGAAUUGACAAAGGGAUUGAAUUGUAAAAUAAAUUAUAAGUUUUGAGUAAUAAGGAUUAAAUUGAGAAAAUUUUAAAAUAUAGGGAUUUAAGUGAAAUUAGAGAGUUGAAAUUAGUCUAAAGUGGAUGUACAUACCCAAUUUUGCCAAGCCAUUCCUAAAUACUAACCCAAACCCCAAAUAUUAAUAACCAAAACCCAAUUACAAAAAACCAACCCACCAAACUAAACCUACCCAACAGCCAUUAAACCCAAAACCCAUUUAGCCCAACACCAAAAAAACAAACAAACUAAAAAACCCUAAAAUCAGAAACCCUAGCCCCCUAACACCUAGGUGCGCCGCACCUAGGUCAACCACCCUCCCUUCUGCCAAGGCCACCAACUGCAACCAGCACCGGUCACCUGCCCUCUGCCACCGGACUGCCCCACCUGCACAACAAAGCAAACAUGCAAGGUAGAAGAAAGACAGUAGAAACAAUAAAAAAAUCAUGUAAAUGGCUUUAAAAAGCCAAGCAAAAACCGACUUAGGGGAUUUUUUUAACAAAAAAGAAGAAAAACUGAUUGUAUUUUAAAAGGUUUUUACUUCUGAAAUUUGGAGGAUAGAAAAACGAAAAGAUAUAAGCUUUAAGGUGAUUUUCGUGUUAUUCAUUUUAUCUUUUAUUAUCUUUAGUUUAUUUUUUUGUUUAUUUUUUUUAUAAAUACGAAAAUAAAAAGAAAAAUGAGAGGGUUUACUAGAGUUACCUUGCGACCGCGUCGACGCUCCAUGAUCUCAUCGUCGGAGGCUUCUUCCUCGUGGCCGGAAUUGUACCAAAAUAGGGUAAAAAGGGGCCUUUCUCCUUUCGAUUUUGCGGAUUUGGAGGCUUCCACCUUUGGGCCCACUCAAAAAGGGAUCGACAAACCCCAUCUUUGCGCUUCGUCAGUCACCGGAUACGGAGGUGGUACGACGGGCGGUGGAAAGCCAAGGGUUGGCCAUGGGGAACUAAGGAGAGAAAUGAGAAGGGAGGGAGAGCAGAGUGGCUCUCUGAUUUUUUCUCUAAAACAGGGGUUGAAAGUGAAAAAAAAGGGUUUUGGUUUAGGUAAUAGAGGCAAAACAGCGUCGCUUGGAUGAUUAGGGUUCAGAGGCCAAAACGACGUCGUUUUGGACCUCUGACCCACGUGACCCGACCGCGCCCGUGGAGGAUCCGCGCAUUUUGACCGAAUGGUCUAUUUGCGCAUGGGAUCCCUCUACUUUCUUGGCGUGUUCCACUGUGGUCCUCCCUUUCCUUUUUAUUUCGAAUUCGCCUAAAAAACUUCAUUCUUAAUUCAAUUUUAUCCUUUUUUUUUUACUUUUUCUCAUUAUUUUAUUUUAAUUUUAAUACUAUAUACUAUUAUAUUUUAUUACUAUCAUUAUUAUGUUUAUUAUUUAUUAGCAUUAGUAUUAUUUUCACUUAAUACUUACAUAUAUACAUAUAUUAUAUAGUAUUAUUAAUAGUUUUCUUUUUAUCUAUUAUUAUUAUUAUUAUUCUUAACUCUAUAUUAUGUAUAUAUUCUUUAGAUAUAUUAAGUAUUUUUUAAAUUCUAUAUUACGUACAUAUGUAUUUAUACUAUAUUAUGUGUAUAUUCUUAAAUAUUGUUAGUUAUAUUCUUAUAUUAUCAUAUAUAUAUUUUAAAUGCUAUAUUAAGUACGCAUAUAUUAUAUAUGGCUUUUCCUUAAAUAUUAUAUUAUACGUAUUUAAAUACUAAUACUAUGUAUAUAUUAUUUCAUUUAUUUUUAUCCCUAUUAUGUUCAUUAUUAAUAUUAGUACAUAUAUUUUAUUAUGUAUGUAUAUAUAUAAUUUGUAUAUAGUAUUAUCAUUUCUAUUAUCAUAUUUAUUAUUAUAUUUAUUAUUUUCACUAUUAUUUUUAUUAUGCGUAUAUACAUAGAUGUUUUUAAGUACUUAUUAUAAAUAUAUAAUUUUCUUACUGUAUUAUUAUGUAUAUCAUUUUUACUCAUUUCUUCAUUAUUUUUUAUUUAUUAUUUUAACAUUCUUAUAUUAUGUAUAUUAUUAUUAUUAUUUUUUUAUUAUAUUUUCAUAUAUUGUGUAUAUAUUUUUUAAAACAUCAUAUUAUUCAUAUACUUUAUUAUAUAGGUAUAUCUUUAUGUAAUAUUAAUAUUGUUAUUAACAUUAGUAUGUGUUUUCAACAUUAUUAUUAUUUAUGUAUAUGUUAUGUAAAUAUUUUAACAUUAUAUUAUAUAUGCAUUUUUCUAGAUUACGUAUACAUAUACUGUAACGUCCCCUAACCCUAUACCGUCACCGGAACAGGGUUACGAGACAUUACCAGUCAGUACAGUCCAAUUUCGGUCAUUAAUUAAAAUAAAUAUUCACACACAUCCUAGUUUUAAGAUGUCGUCCCUUUAAUGGGCCCUCGCGGUCCAAUAUGAAUAGUAAAUUUAAUUCGGGACUAAUUUAGAAUCACUACGAAUUUUUAGUAAAUUUCAAAAUUCAUACUACAUACCGUUGCCAACCAUAAUUUACUCAUUUCAUCAAUACUUUUACAACCUAAAUGACUCUCAUUAAACAUCCUGGGUACAUGCCAUUAUUAAUACUCAACAUACUUUACCUUAAUGAAUUCGGGAUCAUCUUGGGAUGCUGAUUCAACGUACUAUCUUUACUUAACCUGCGCACGGAAACAAACCGUACGCUGAGUAUGGUAUACUCAGUGGUAUUUCUAUAAUCCGAACAAUUAAUAAUAUAACAAAUACUUAAGAUCAUAAUAACAAUUACAAUUAUUCAAUUAUUUAUUCAUAGAUAAAUUUUAACUACUUACCAUAUAAAUUUUAUACAAAUCAUAUAAUAAACACAAUAACAUAAUUGUUCAAUUCUUAACUAAAUCCAUUAUUAUUUACUCCUUUCUUUCACUUACUACUCGGUAUAGCUUUCCUUAAUUUACUCACAAUUCAAUAUCAUUAAACUAUAUUCAACUAUACACUUAUCAAUCAUAUUCCAUUUUAAUUCAUUUCAAUAACUGUCAAUUUCAUUUAUAUCAUAUCAACUUACUAUCCCUGAUAGCUUUCAGUAUAUACAUACGAUUCAUAUAUCUCAAAUCACAUUUCAAUUCAUCAAGUGGCAUCAUAUAUCAUAAAUUCGAACUCCAAUCAUUUCAUGAACCUUUGGUUCAUAUUUUCAAUUUCAUAUCUAAAUUUUCAAUUCUUAAUUCAAUUUCUCGUUUCAUUUCAAUAGCUUGAUCAAUCAAAUUUAUUCGAUUUAUCUUUCACUUAUUUACCCCUAUUAACAAACCCGGACUUUGAUGGAUACACGGAUUCCAACCCAAACACACCAGUACGACACAUUGUGCCUAAAACGGUACAUAGUACCUGAUCAGUAUAUGACACAUAAAGUGCCUAAAACGACACACAAGGUGCCUGAUAAGACACACGAGGUGCCUGACAUACGACACAUAAAGUGCCUGAUCGAUAAAGCCGGCAAAUCCCGUACAUUUCCAGAUCCUAUGGCAUGCCAAUUAUAUCCGACUCAGCCCGACUAGUUAAUAGGGUAUUUCAUUCACUUUCUCAAUUUAAUAAUUCUUUCAUCAAUAUACCAUUCUGAUAAUCACAUAUAUUCACCCAUUUUCACAAUUCAUACAAUUUCAUUCAAUUCAACAAUAUAUUUCAAUUAUUUACAUUACUUCAUAAUUCAAUGCAAUUCAAUUCACUUUUCAAUAUCAAAUAUUCAAAUAUCACAAUCUCAUAUAUUCAUAUCAAUUUCCUCAUAUUUCCAAUCAAUAUAUUUUUCAAUAUAGCAUUCAUUCAAUAUUCAAAUUUCUACAUAAAUCAUGUAUAUUAUAUAAUUCAAUCAAUAUAAAUUCAAUCAAAAUAAUUUCAAUCAAUAUAAAUUCAAUAAAUUCAUCGCAUACCAAAAUCAAUCCAUUCCAAUUGUAAAACAUCAUAAUUCUAACACUAACAAUUGCCAUAUGUAUAUAAAUAUAAAAAAUAAUAACUAAGUUCGGAUUAUAGAAAUACAAACCGUAAUUUUCGAGCUAACUCCCGUUGACUUUGUCUUGUCCUUUCUUAGCCGAGAUUUCUGGUACCACAUUGACUACGAAAUUAAUACAAUUCAUAAUCAUUAAUACAUUACUAAUUCAUAUCUUGAGUUACAGAAUUCUAAAUUAAGAUCCGCUAAUUUUUCCUGAAACUAGACUCACAAAUCUUCUUACAAUAAAAUUUUUCAGAAUUUUUAGUUUAGCCAUUAAGUACAGUUUAUUCUUUAAAUUCACCCUUAUUCUGCUGUCUGACAGUUCAUCCCUUCUUCACUAAAAAUUAAUUAUCUCAUAGUACAGAACUCAGAUAAUAUUCCCGUUGAUUUUUCAUGAAAAUAGACUCAUUAGGGAUUCUAAACAUAUAACUUUAAGCCUCUAAUUAUUUUUAUUCAAUUUUUGGUGAUUUUCUAAAGUCAGAACAGGGGAACCCGAAUUCAUUCUGACCUUGUCUCACAAAAUUCAUUAUAUCUCAUAAUUUAUAAUUCAAUUGCUUAUAUCGUUUCUUCUAUAAGAAACUAGACUCAAUAAUAUUUAAUUCCAUAUUUUAUUCAUCCUCUAAUUCGAUUUAUACAAUUUUUAGUGAUUUUUCAAACUUAGACUACUGCUGCUGUCCAAAAUAGUCUUAGUACAAAAUGUUGAUUUACUUUAAUUUCAAUUUAAUUCUAACUAAAUUCACUUACUUUUCUAUCUUAAUUCAUACUUUAUUUCUACUCAAUUUUUAACCAAACUUAGACAUAAUUAUCUAUUUUUCAUCAUAAAACCAUAAUUUCGAAAUUCUUUCAAUUUAGUCCUUAAAGCAUAAAACUUAUGAAUCACUUUACAAUUCAAUCAUUGUAUCAUUUUUAACAUGAAUUUCUAUCAAUUUAGCCCUUAAUUCAUCAUUUUAUUUAACAUGGACAAUAUCUAGAAAUCUAAUAACUAUCAAAAUAUCAACUUAAUUUCAUCAAAACUUUGUUCUAAAACAUCAAAAUUAAGUAAAAAGGGCUUGAUUGACUUACCUAUUAAAGCUUAAAGCUUUAAACCUUCAAUUUUCCCUUUUCUCCCCUUCUUUCUUUCUUUUUCUCCCCUGCUCUCUGUUUCAUUUCAUUCUGUUUCUAUUUUCUUUCAUUUGCUUCUUUAGUUUAUAUAUAUAAUAUAAUAUAAUAUAAUUAAAACAUAAAGUAUCUUUAUUAUAUAAUAAUAUAAUAAUAUAAUAAUAUACUAAAAAAAUCUUAGAUUUUCUUCACGAUAAAUCACCUCAAUUUAUACUUUUUGUAUAAUUGCCUUUUUAGUCCUUUUUAUUUUCUUUUAAUCUACAAUUCAACGUUUAUCCUUUAUUCAAUUUAGUCAUUUUCUUAAUUACUCUUAAUUAAGCUAAAUUCAUUUAAUUAAACUCUAAUUAACCACUCUACUAACUUCAUAAAUAUAUAUAUUUAAAUAUUUACUAAUUAAUUUUUUUAAAAACGGAGACCCGAAAAUACAUUUUUCGAUAACCUUAAAGUUCGGGUCGUUACAUAUACCUUGUUAAUAUUGUGUUUUAUAUAUCGUGUAUACAUUACUACAUCAUUUUUUUUCUUACAUAUUAUUUUUAUAACUAUAUGUUAUGUAUGUAUUUUUAGCAUUAUACUAUGAAUAUGUUUUUAUACUAUGUAUAUAAUUUGUAAUACUAUUAUUAUAUUCAUAUUUUAAAUAUAUACGUAGGUAUGUAGGUAACAUUAUUAGUAUUUUUAAUAUUACACUUACGGCACUUCGCUCGUUAUCAUAUGUUUGUAUAUACGUUCACCUCUAUUUUGUGUUUAAUACUAUUUUUAUCCUGUUUAAUAUCGCAUACAUUGUUCUCGUUUUAAUGUUAUUGUCAUAUUUAUUAUUUGCUUCGAUGUAUUUAUAACUCUUUUAUUUUUGUUUCCCGCCCCUUUUAUAUCAUUUUGCUGUUCAUUACUUUAAAGAUUUUUAUUCAUGCUUUUAAUUAAUUUCAAUAAAUAAGGCAACGUGCCGAUUUAACAUUAAGUUGUUGAUUUCAUCACUAUGUUGGGUGAAUAUCAUUGGCUCGUGUUAAAAAGGAAUGUUCUUCUCAAAGGAAAUCGAAAUUAUAAAAAGUUUCUCAUGUUUUGGUCGGAUCAUGAUUAAGAUUUAAAUUGAACUCAUAUUUUUGAGAAUUAAGACAACACGUGUUUUACAAGAUACCAAUUUUGGGCGUUGCGAGGGUGCUAAUACCUUCCUCGCGCGUAACUGACUCCCGAACCCUACUUUACUCUGAUUUUCACGUAGACCUAAAUUUAGCCUUCAUUUUUAUUCGAGAAUAAAUUUUCUUUUCAAAAAGAUGAUUUAUUAGGUGUCCGAUCACACCUAAAGAAAAGGGAUCGGUGGCGACUCCUUUUUUUAUAAAAUCGAAAGUCAGUUUUCAAAUUUGCAAGAAAUCGCCACAAUUAGCGACCAAGCUAAAUUUUUACGUUGCUACAGCUGGCAACUCCACUAGGGACCCAUUUUUGAGAGUCGAGUCGAAUUAAACGCGUGUUGUCAAAAUUUUCAAAAUUCAUUGUUCAAAUUAAUAUUUAGUUGUGAUCCCAAAAUUGUGUUUUCAAAAAAUUCAUGCAUUUGCAUCAUGCUGUAAAUAUUCUUCUAAGUUGUUUUAUCUUGUUGAUUUUCAGCUCUCAGUUUUUUUAGUUUUGGUUUAGUUUUUAAAUAAAACGUAAAGGUUUGUGAGUUUCUCCCCACACACCGCGCACUUGCAUUUUGCAUAACAUGAGCUCUCUACCCGGGCUCCGUCCGUUUAAGUGAAAGUAAACGCUAUGCCUUCGUGAGUUAACUUGUCCCUCCGCACAGGCUAGUGAAUACUUUCGGGUUACAUAUGACUUAUGCUUUCGUGAGUUAACUUGUCCCUCCGCAUAGGCAUAAGUAAAUGUGAUCCCUCAAAUUGAACUCGUGAGCCUGUAAUGGGCUACGACCGAGGCUUCGUACUAGUCUUAGAAGACGAUAGUGAGAACAAUUCGAGUACCUGUCUAGAACCAAAACCGCAUAUAGUGAACCGUACGAGCCACCUAAUUAGAGCCAUGCCAAACCUCUGUCCGUUUAGUAGUCACCAAAAUAAGUGCACGGGAGAAACGCCUCUUACCUUUUGCACUUUCACUUUCUAUACGAGGAGAUUAGGUCUGUUUAAUAAACUAGAUUUGGGUAGUUUGAUUUGUUAAAUUUUCCAUGUUUUUCUACCUGUAUUUAAUUACUAAUCAAGGUUGUUUGUCUUUGCCUUAUUUUUUUAUCAUGCCUUAUAGGCAUUAUAUUAGGAAGGUGUUGACUAGAGAUCAGUUUCCAAAAAAUGGGUUUCUAAUGGAAGAGUCAAUUAUACAAACAACCGAGAAAAAUGCCGUGGUUCGGGACUGGUCUCUAAAAACUUAGAAAGAAAAAGGGGAUAGUCUAGUGGAGAGAUGUAUUGCCAAUCUACCCGAGCACGUAACUGUGAAUGUUCACCAGAAUAACCUUGAAGAUUUGGUUCGGGUUUGGAAUCAGUGGGACUCGGACACUAGGGGUAUCUUCACUGAAAGAUAUUGGGACAUAGCCAAUUUGAUUGCUGUCAACGUAGACGAACGAUUGAUCCAAGCCAUGGUCAGAUUUUGGGAUCCGGCUUACCAAUAUUUUACCUUCAAUCGAGAAGAUAUGACUCCGACUAUAGAGGAGUACGUUGCUUUACUUUGUGUUGAAAGUGCACAAUUCUAUAAAGUAUAUGUGAAGGAGCCUAAGCCGAUGACCUUCAAGAAAAAGUUAGUGAGAUUGUUAGACAUGACUGACGCGUGGGCCAAAAAACAAAUAAAGAAGAAGAAUGAAACCAUUUGCAUUCCAUGGUCUUCCCUACGAGAUUUGGUUCUGAACCAUCCUGACAUGUUGAAAAGGGUAAAUCUAUUCGUUUUGGCUAUUUACGGUUUGAUCAUCUUCCUGAAAGUCCUUGGACACAUAAAAGUUGCGGUGGUGGAUUUCUUCAAAAGAUUAAAACAAAGAAUCAACCCUGUCCUGACUACCCUAGCCGAGACCUUCAGAUCCUUGAGUAGUUGUCAGAGGAAAGGGGAAGGACAAUUUAUUGGAUGCGCGCAGUUGCUCAAUGUUUGGAUCUUGAGCCACUUCUGGAAAGUAGAGCGCAUACUGUUCCAUAUGUUUUCAAAAACAUUUGCCCCAUUGGAAGCUUAUCUCAAGAAAGAAUGGCCAGAAGAAGUCACUGAACAACAUUGGGUCUCAGUUUUUCAGAACCUUCGCGCUGAAGAUAUAACGUGGAGAGCACCGUGGAUACGCCCUUCGGUUCUGCUAUACAAAGUCGGAGAUCAAGACUGGGUGCCACUACUUGGAUUAUGGGGAGGAGUUGGAUAUGCCCCGCUAUUAGUCCAAAUGCAAUUUUCUUCGCGACAAUUCGUACCCGCCAUUGGAGGAUUAGCACAGUCCGAGUUUGCUUUUACGGGUGAGGGAUAUAUGAAGAGGGUUCGAGAUAUCGCAAAGUCUUGGAAGACAAUUCAUCUCAUGGAAUUAGCUCUAUACGCUGACACUCUCACCCAAGAUUACGACAUAUGGAGGAAGCAACGGGUGAACAGUCAACAAAUCUCGUCAACAAACUAUACCGUCCAGAAUCCUUUCUCGGAAGAAGUGCCAUCUGAGCUAGAAAUGGCAAGACAAGAAUUUGAACGAGAAAAGGCCAAAAUGUCUCGGGACCGUAGUGCUCUUCAAGAGGAAAACUACCAACUGAAGAUCGACGUUCAGAUUGAAAGAUCCAAAACCGAGAAAGCGCAAAAGGAAGCUGAAGUCAUAAGAAAUGACUUAAGGGACCUCCAUCUGGAAAAUAAAAAAUUAAGAAGCACUAUAAAGAAUAGCGGGCUGGGAAAAUCAUCAGUGGAAUGGAAAGAAGAAUUAAGCAAUAUCAAAGGCGGGAUGGAAUUCUGGAAAGGAAAAGUGAAGAAAGAAGAAGAAAAAACUGCGCGGGCUAUGAUGGAGCUAAGGAAGAAGAACGCCGAAUAUGAAGCUGUAUCUGCCGAGGUAAUGACUAGUCGAUCUAAAUGUCAAGAACUAAAAGAGAGGAUACGAGAUUUAGAAGACAUGCUGCAAGAUCGUCAACAACAGCUAGAUACUCUCUUGAAGGCUUUGAAAGAAAAGAAUAAUCAGUACGAUAGAGACAUUCAUGCCUAUGAAGAGGGCCUCCAAGAAAAAGAAAUGCAACUUAGCUAUUUGAUCAAUAAAGUUCGUGGGGUAACCUUGCACGUGGUACAAUUAUCGGAAGAAGUUGAAAUUCUCAUUUGCCAAUUCCCUCAAAGUCGAAGAUCAAACAUAUUAGAAUUCUUAGCACGAGUAAAGAAAUAUGGCGAUAUAGCUAGGAAGUUUGUGUAAUGGCUGAAUCGAAAAUGGUAAAAUAUUUUAUAAUGGACUCUUUUGAUAAAUAAAAUACCUAAAUAGGGGCCGUCUUAAAAUCAACACUAAAUUCUUGCAUUUUCAUGCAUAACUAAAAUUCAUUUGACAUUUAUGCGUUCAUUCAUUCAUUCAUUCAUUGCAUAUCCCAUAAUCAUUCGCUGAAGUUAAAACAUACAACUCGCAGUUGUAAUACCACAAGACUGGAACCACGUCAUUCGUAUAGAAUGCGCCGACAAGCUAGAGUAAUAGAGGCCGAAUUCAAUGAAAGGAUUGAAAGGAUGGAAAGAAUUUAAAGGGAAUUACAAGAGCAGUUGGCCAAGUCACAACAAGAGACAAGAGACUUAAUGGUGAGAUCUCGAGAAGAAUUGCUCGAACAAAGGGACAAAAUGGCCAAGAUGAUGGAAAUAAUGUCAGCUCUAGUAAAAGGAAAGGGACCUAUGAACCUUGACGUUAUGGAACCACAGUCAAGGGUUAAUCACGAUCAGAAUCUGCCCCAUCCGCCAGGAUUACUCCACCACACACCCACGCAACACAAAGAGGGUACGCUCAAUGGGAACCUACAGGCCUGGAGCAACGACCUGCGCCACCUGCUAAUCUAGGGCAAGGAAUGUUCGUAUCAAACCCGAGGGCUAGUCCUGCUGAUCCACUCGUUCCAGAUUUGGACGAUCCAGUAGAGAUAGCCAGGUUGAAAUUGGAUAAUCACGAUACAAAUGAGAAAUAUAUGAGCCUAGAGGAAAGACUCAAAGUGAUAGAAGGCACUGAAGUCUUCUCCGCACUAGGUGCUAAAGAACUCAGUUUGGUGCCCGAUCUAAUUCUGCCUCCGAAGUUCAAGGUGCCUGAUUUUAAAAAGUACGAUGGGACAAUAUGCCCAAAAGCGUAUCUCAUCAUGUUCCGCCGGAAGAUGACCAGCUAUGUGAACGAAAAUAAGCUACUCAUACAUUUUUUUAAAGAUAGUCUAGUAGGAUCGGCUCUUCGGUGGUACAACCAGCUUAGUAGGGAAAAGAUUCGAUCCUGGAAGGACUUGGCAUUAGCAUUCUGUGAGCAGUACAAGCAUGUAUCGGAUAUGGUGCUAGACCGAAUGACUUUGCAAAUGAUGGAGAAAAAGCUAUCGGAAACUUUUAGACAGUAUGCACAGAGAUGGAGGGACGUCUCGGCCCAAGUGAAACCCCCACUAGCAAAAACAGAGAUAACCGUUCUCUUUAUCAACACUUUAAAGGCCCCAUUUUAUGACAAACUAGUGGGAAUUGCCACGAAGGACUUUGCAGAUAUUGUAAUAUCCGGUGAGCUUAUAGAGAAUGCCGUCAAGAGCUGUAGAAUGGAAGGUCAAGAAAGUUCAAGAAGGGUAGCGCCCAUGAAUAAGAAUGAACCAGAAGCCCAUAUGGUGGGAAUGGGAAGCCGUUAUACCCCUAAUUCAUAUCCAAACCCACCCCGACCUCGAAAUUAUCCACCUCCGAAUUUCUAUUAUCCCCCUCAAACCCCUUAUUACCAAGCACCACUUCCUUCCUACCCCGUAUACGCCGCGAACAACCAAAGACCCGUCACCACAUUCCCACAAAACACUGUACCCGCUCAAAGCCAACCCAGAAACGAACCAAGACCCGCAAGGUCCAAUCCUAAGAGACCGCAAUUUACUCUUAUCUCUGUGUCGUAUGGGGAAUUAUACCCAAAAAUUUUGGAGAAACAACUAAUAUCUCCCCAUUACAUGGCACCCCUUAAACCUCCAUACCCGAAAUGGUACGAUCCAAACGUUAGUUGUGCAUACCAUGCUGGGAACCAAGGGCAUUCCAUGGAGAAUUGCCUAGCUUUUAAGAGGAGAGUUCAAGGACUCAUUGAUGCGGGCAUCCUACGAUUCGAUAGUGCCAGUAAUGCAACUGGGAACCCGUUCCCUAACCAUACCGAAGGGAAUGUGAGCGCAGUGGGGAAAGAGGACGAAUGGCAAGUCAGAAGAUAUGUUUCGAAAAUAAGGACGCCUCUGCAGAAAAUCUAGGAGGUACUGAUUAAGAAAGGAUUGCUCUGUCACCCCGAUAGAAUUUUCGGAGAAGAAGGUCAAAGUUUUUUCGAUUUUCAUGAAAUUGUAGGACACGACAUUCAAUCGUGUGAGGAAUUUAAAAGGUUGCUUCAAGACCGGAUGGAUAAUAAGGAGAUUAAGGUCCUUAACAAAAGGGAAGAGGCCAACGAAAGAGAAGUAUGCGCCUCUGACAGCCAAUCAUCAGGUCUCCCUUGUAGCGCUGAUCGGUCGUUAGUAAUUUAUUACAACGCGAAGAAGGAGUCGGUGAAACCAAAAGUGAUAAUCGAAGUACCAUCUCCUUUCCCUUACAAGGACGACAAGGUAGUGCCGUGGAAAGAUGACGUCAACAUCGUCACACCUAAAGUUGAAAAGUCCGAAGCCACAACUGGAGAUGUUGGGGAGGUAGGCCAUUUUACCCGCAGUGGGCGGUGCUAUUCUAACGAAGUCGAGCCGGCAAAGAAGAAUAGUGACUUGAAGCACCAAUGCAUGUGAUCGAAGAUGAGCAUGAAACUGUGCCUGAACAAGAAGCUAAAAAACCUGUGGACGAGGAGGAAGCACAGGAAUUCUUAAAAUUUAUCAAGCACAGUGAGUACAACGUGGUGGAACAAUUGAGUAAGCAGCCAGCACGGAUCUCGGUAUUAUCUCUACUGUUAAAUUCAGAGCCACACCGGAACUCCUUGUUAAAGGUGUUGAAUCAAGCUUAUGUGGCAAACAAUAUAUUCGUUGAGAAGCUUGACAGAUGGGUGAAUAACAUAAACGCGGAUAAUUUCAUUUCUUUUAGUGAUGAUGAAAUACCACCCAAUGGUAAAGGCUCCGUGAAAGCAUUGCAUAUCACAACCCGCUGCAAGGGUUAUAGAAUACCGAACGUGCUCAUCGAUAAUGGAUCGGCACUCAACGUCAUGCCUUUGGCCACACUUUCCAGGAUUCCGAUGGAUUUGUCCUAUCUAAGGCCUUGCCAUUCCACAGUAAGGGCAUUCGAUAGAAAAAGAUGAGAAGUCAUGGGAAAAAUCGAGAUCCCUCUAGAAGUGGGUCCCUAUAUAUAUGAUGUUGAGUUCCAAGUCAUGGAUAUUACACCAUUAUAUAAAUUCUUUUUGGGAAGACCCUGGAUCCAUUCCGCUGGAACGAUCCCAUCAUCCCUCUAUCAAAAGGUGAAAUUUUUCAUGAAUGGCUGUUUGGUCACUGUCGAGGGAGAAGAAGACAUUGUAGCAUCUAUUUCUACCGACGCACCAUACAUUGAAGUGAGUAAAGAUGCUAUAGAAUGUUCCUUCCGAUCUCUUGAAUUUGUCAAUACCACUUUUGUCGCUGAGGGAAACAGAAUUCCGGUGCCAAAACUGUCGAGAAAUACCAGAAUGGGUGUCAAGUUGACUGUAGAAAGGGGAGCUCGAGCGAGAAGAGGUUUAGGGAGAUAUCUGCAAGGAACAAUCAGGGCUUUAAAGCCAGUACACCACAAGGCCCGAUACGGUUUGGGAUUCCAGCCGGACAUGCGUCAAAGAAGAAAACAAUGGAAGAAAUAUCAGGAAAGAAAGAUCGCAAGAACCUUAGGCCGAGAAAUAGAAUGGGAGCCCAUAACGUACCCUCCUUUGUCAAAAACAUUUACAUCUGCAGGAAUGAUAUACCCCGGGCAAGAUAAUCCACGAAGUACGCUGUUAUUGAUUGAAAGGGGUCUUCAGAAUGUCAGUAUAAAUGUCAUUGACAAAGGAAGUGAUGCAAUUAAGGAUGUCUCAACGAUAUGCCCUUGUCCUCCUGGAUUCGUUUGGAAUAAUUGGACUGUUGUGGAUCUCUUUGUAGUUUCUAAGUCUUCUCCAGAGUAAUGCUCAAUGUCAACACUUUUCUUUUUGUGUGCCCCUAAGUAACAAGUAGGGAUUCUUUUGUAAGAGCUUAUGAUUUGCUCUUUAUCAUUUAAAUGAACAUUAAUAGAGAUGCAGUUUGUCAUGAUCUUUUCAUUCUCAUUAAUUUCAUAAUUUUUUCCUUCUUCUCACAACCUGUCAUUACAUAUAUCCCACAUCAUGCCAUUAUGCUUGUUGGUCCCAAUACUUUGAUAUUCCUCUAUAGUUUUCUUUUCCAUUCAACUUUCAGGUGCUCAGAUGUCAACGAUAUGAACAAACCUGUUACAAAUCUUGAAAUUAAUUUUGAGAAGGCUGUUUGUUUAGGAGAAUUCGAAGCCGAAGAAAAUGCUGAAGACUAUGCCUCGUCUCCUGACUUGCUAAGAAUGGUGGAACAAGAGGAUAAACAGAUUUUGCCUCAUCAAGAAUCUGUUGAAACAAUAAAUUUGGGAAUUGAAGAAAGGAAGCAAGAAGUGAAGAUUGGCACCUCUAUUUCAGGGGGCACCAGGCAUAAUUUGAUUGCUUUGCUCCGUGAGUACGAAGAUGUAUUCGCAUGGUCAUAUCAGGACAUGCCAGGAUUGGAUGAAGAUGUAGUGGUCUAUAAUCUCCCAUUGAAGCCAGAAUGCAAACCCAUUCAACAAAAGCUAAGACGGAUGAGACCUGAGAUGUUGUUGAAAAUAAAAGAGGAAGUCAAGAAGCAAUUUGAUGCUGGCUUCUUACAAGCAUCCAAAUAUCCAGAGUGGGUGGCUAACAUAGUCCCGGUACCAAAGAAAGACGGUAAAGUAUGAAUGUGCGUGGAUUAUCGUGACCUGAAUCGAGCAAGUCCUAAAGAUAAUUUUCUUUUGCCACACAUCGAUACAUUGGUGGAUAAUACAGCCAGGCAUUUAUUGUUUUCGUUCAUAGAUGGAUUCUCGGGUUAUAAUCAGAUCAAGAUGGCCCUUGAGGAUAUGGAGAAAACUACUUUCAUAAUUAUGUGGGGAACAUUCUGCUACAAGGUAAUGCCGUUCGGAUUGAAGAAUGCCGGGGCAACAUGUCAGUGGGCUGUGGUGACAUUAUUUAAUGACAUGAUGCAUAAAGAAAUAGAGGCCUACGUCGACGAUAUGAUUGCUAAAUCCCGAGGGGAAGAAGAGCAUGUAGUGAACCUGAAGAAGUUGUUCGACAGACUGAGAAAGUUCCAGCUAAAGCUCAAUCCGGCCAAAUGUACGUUUGGGGCUACCUCAGGAAAAUUGCUAGGCUUCAUUGUCAGCAAGAGAGGCAUUGAAGUUGAUCCAGGUAAGAGAAAAGCCAUACAAGAACUACCACCUCCGCGCACACAAAAGGAAGUCAGAGGAUUUUUAGGGAGGUUAAACUACAUCUCCCGAUUCAUCGCUCAACUUACCAACCAAUGCGACCCAAUAUUUUGGCUUCUUCGAAAGCAUAACCCGGGAGAAUGGAAUGAGGAAUGCCAGGUGGCCUUUGAUAAAAUAAAGCAAUAUUUGUCUAGUCCUCCAGUGCUAGUAUCGCCAACUCCGGGAAGACCAUUGAUUUUGUAUUUGACUGUGUUCGAAAAGUCAAUGGGUUGCAUAUUGGGGCAACAUGACGAGUCAGAGAAAAGAGAAAAGGCGAUUUACUACCUCAGUAAAAAGUUCAUUGAAUAUGAGGCAAGGUAUUCGUCCAUUGAAAAAUACUGUUGCGAUUUGGUUUGGGUAGCUUGGAGACUUAGGCAAUAUAUGUUGUAUCAUAGACAUGGCAAAUUUCAAAGCUGGACCUAAUAAAAUACAUGAUGGAAUCACCGGCACUCUCAGAAAGAAUGGUACGAUGGCAGAUCCUUUUAUCGGAAUACAACAUUGCCUAUGUAAGUCAAAAGUCGAUAAAAGGGAGCUCAAUAGCUGAUUUCUUAGCGACUCGAACAGCCGAUGAAUACGAGCCGUUGAGAUUUGAUUUCCCAGAUGAAGACUUGAUGUGCAUUACAGAAAAAGAGGGCGAGUCAUCAGAAGAGAAGUCAUAGAAGAUGAGCUUUGAUGGUCUUAGUGUCUUCAGAGGGGAACCAUUAUCCAUUCACUGCCAGAUUAAACUUCUUUUGUACUAAUAACAUAGCAGAAUAUGAGGCCUGUAUCAUGGGACUUCGUGCAGCUAUGGAACGAAACGUCAAAACUUUAGAGAUAUAUGGAGACUCAGCGUUGGUGAUUUACCAAAUCCGUGGAGAUUGGGAAGUGAGGGAUCCGAAAUUAAUUAAGUACAGUGAUCUAGUGGCUGAAUUGAUCAAAGAAUCCAAAGGAAUAACUUUUCAUUACUUCCCACGAGAAGAAAACCAAUUGGCUGAUGCACUGGCCACUUUGGCUUCAAUGUUCAAAGCAAACAGAGAAACAGAAAUAAUGUCUCUGUAAAUGAACAUAUAUGAAGUCCUUGCACAUUGUUUCAGCAUUGAAAAAGAGCCAGAUGGACGACCAUGGUUCUAUGAUGUCUUAGAAUAUAUCAAGAAUCAAAGGUAUCCCGAACAAGCCAGUGAGAAUGACAAAAGAACAAUUAGAAGAAUGGCAGCGGGAUUUGUUCUUGAUGGGGACAUCCUGUACAAAAGAGGAAAAGAUCAGGUGCUCUUGAGAUGCGUGGAUGCUGUUGAAGCCAGAAAAAUACUUGAAGAUGUCCAUGAGGGAAUCUGUGGGACACAUGCCAAUGGUUUCACUAUGGCCAGGAAUAAUAUGAGACUCGGUUAUUACUGGUUGACGAUGGAAAGCGACUGCGUUAGUAUUGCAAGAAAAUGCCAUAAAUGCCAAAUUUACGGCGAUAAAAUUCAUGCAGUCCCUUUGGCCCUUCAUGUCAUGACUUCUCCGUGGCCUUUUUCUAUAUGGGGCAUGGAUGUUAUAUGGCCAAUUUCCCCAAAAGCUUUUAAUGGACACCAGUUCAUUUUUAUGGUUAUUGAUUACUUCACAAAAUGGAUAGAAGCCGCUUCGUUUGCCAAUGUGACGGAGACUGCAGUUUGCAGGUUUUUGAAAAAGGAAAUCAUUUGUCGAUAUGGUUUGCCUGAAAGAAUCAUUUCAGAUAACGCCUUGAAUUUGAACAACAAGAAGAUGAAAGAAGUGUGUGGGCAAUUCCAAAUAAAGCAUCAUAACUCCUCGCCCUAUCGCCCAAAGAUGAACGGAGCUGUUGAAGUAGUGAACAAAAAUAUUAAGAAGAUCAUUGGGAAAAUGACCAAGACCUAUAAAGACUGGCACGAGAAGCUACCAUUUUCUUUGUAUGCAUAUCACAUAUCGGUACGGACAUCUACGGGAGCAACUCCUUUCUCUUUGGUUUAUGGAAUGGAAGCUGUGCUACCUAUCGAAGUUGAGAUCCCUUCUCUAUGAGUCUUAAUGGAGUCGAAAUUAGAGGAAGCAGAAUGGGUUCGAGCUCGAUAUGACCAGCUAAAUCUUAUCAAAGAAAAAUGCUUAAAGGCAAUCUGUCAUGGACAAAUGUACCAAAAGAGAAUGAUCGCGGCCAUGAAAAGAAAGUACGGCCAAGAGAAUUCCACGAAGGAGAACUCGUGUUGAGAAAGAUUCUCCCAAUACAAAAAGACCUACGAGGAAAAUGGGCACCAAAUUGGGAAGGACCAUACGUCGUAAAGAAGGCUUUCUCUGGUGGAGCUUUGAUUCUCACUGAGAUGGAUGGGAAGGAGUUACCUAAUCCAGUGAAUUCAGAUGCUGUGAAGAAAUAUUAUGCUUAAAAAAAGAAAAUCAAGAUGAAAACUCGAAAAAGGGCACUUAAAAAAAAGGAUCAAGGUGAAAACCCAAAAAGGGCGUCUUGAUUAACACAAAAGAUUAGGAUGAAAACCCGAAAGGGCGUUCUAAUGAAGCAAAUACUCAGCUUAAAAAAGCAAGGUGUUUUGGGUCAAACAGCAAGACUACAGUAUUUGAAGCAUUUCUGAAAGCUCGAAAUCUUCUAUGCAAGAAGCCUUGCUCGAAAAGAUUCUUGAUUGAAGAACGUGGAAGAGUUCAUGCGUUGAAUAUCUAGAGCAUUUGUAUACAUUGAAUGCGAUCUCUUUUCUCUUUAUGACAUUUUUUUACUAUCAUUGAUUAACUUUCUUUGUUUGCUACAUUUGAAAUAAAUAAAUGUGAGGUAUCCUUUUGUCCCUACCUAACCAUUUUCAGGCAUCUCAUUAUGUGUUUCAUUUACAUGAUAAAUGGUGAAUUGAUAUACUCUAAACAAAAGAAAUGUUGAUCAUUACAUGGAUAAUAAUUUGAUAAGUACAAGAGUCUCAAAGUAAGGACAAAGUUCAACCAGGGGCAAAAGAGUGAUAUUUGAGAAAUGUUGAUUACUCGUGAAACUUGAGGACGGGUACAGGGCCUAAACAGAAAGUCAAGAGUCGAAGUAAUGAAUGCAGAUCAUCACCAAAAAUCGUGACGAAAAAGGGUAUAUGACAAACAAGCUCGAGGCGCAUAGCAUAAUCAUAUAGGCAUAAAGGCAUUUAAGACCAACAUGUGCAUAUCAUGACAACAUCAUGCAUGACAUAUACAGGUACUCCAGUAGAGCAAGAGGAUGUGAUGAUAGUUGUACUGAAUCAAAGGAAAAGACACCUGAGUUCCACUAGAUGACAUGUUUUGGUAUUCUGAUGUUUUUAUCUCUAUUUUUUCAAAAAUCAACUCAUAUUGCAAGAGGUGAGUUGAGCCUCAGGGCACGCUGAGGUAUUCUCAAUUUCUGCUUGUCAAAAUCAACUCAUAUGGCGAGAGGUGAGUUGAGCCUCAAGGCACGCUGAGGUAUUUUCAAUUUCUGCUUUUCAAAAAAAUCAACCUACAUUGCGAGAGGUGAGUUAGGCCUCAGGACACGCUGAGGUAAUUUCAAUUUCUGUUUGUCAAAAAUCAACUCAUAUUGCGAGAGGUAAGUUGAACCUCAGGAUAUGCUGAGGUAUUUUUAAUUUUUGUUUUUUCAAAAUUUAUAUUUUUCAAAAAAAAUCAACUCAUAUUGCAAGAGGUGAGUUGAGCCUUGGGUUCACAUGUCGAGGUAUUUUCAAAAUCUACUUUUCAAAUUAAGUUUCAAAAACUAACUCAUAUUGCGAGAGGUGAGUUGAGCCUUGGCUCACGUGCUAAGCUAUUUUUGAUUUCUGUUUUUAAUAUCUGUUUUUAAAGAGUCAAUUCAUAUUGUGAGAAAUGAGUUGAGCUCAAGAUCACAUGCCGAGUAAAGAAUAAAGAUUAGAGUUGAUUGAAGACACCAGAACUUGUCUCCCUGAAGUUGCAGUGGAGCUGAUCAAGAAUAUCAGAUCUUGCCUUUCUAAAGGGGCAGAAGAGAAAACCAAAACCUUAUCUCACUGAAGCGGUAGAAGAGCAGAUUGAAGUUGUAGAUCUUAUCUUUCUGGAGUUACAGUGAAGCGGAUCGAAGCCACAAAUCUCAUAUCCUUGAAGUUACAUUGGAAUAGAUUAAAGCUACAAGGCAUAUGUUAGAAAAUGUAGUGGGUUGAACCAAAGCUACAAGAUGCGAUGGAUUGGAACAAGAUUACUUGAAGAAGAGAAGCACAAAGAGGUCAAAACUCAACGAGGCCAGGCAAAAUUGGUUUUUCUUAAAAGUCUUUGCUCUAUUCUCGUUACACGACAAUGAGCAAAGAGUGGCAGCUGUACAUACCCAAUUUUGCCAACCCAUUCUGAAAUACUAACCCAAACCCCAAAUAUUAAUAACCAAAACCCAAUUACAAAAAACCAACCCACCAAACUAAACCUACCCAACAGCCAUUAAACCCCAAACCUAUUUAGCCCAACACCAAAAAAACAAACAAACUAAAAAAACCCUAAAAUCAAAAACCCUAGCCCCCUAACACCUAGGUGCGCUGCACCUAGGUCAACCCCUCCCCUCUGCCAAGGCCACCAACCGCAACCAGCACCGGUCACCUGCCUUCUGCCACCGGACUGCCCCACUUGCACAACAAAGCAAACACGCAAGGCAGAGGAAAGACAGUAGAAACAAUAAAAAAAUCAUGUAAGUGGCUUUAAAAAGCCAAGCAAAAACUGAUUUAGGGGAUUUUUGUUACAAAAAAAAAAGAAAAACCGAUUGUAUUUUAAAAGGUUUUUACUUCUGAAAUUUGGAGGAUAGAAAAACGAAAAGAUAUAAGCUUUAAGGUGAUUUUCGUGUUAUUCAUUUUAUCUUUUAUUAUCUUUAGUUUAUUUUUUUGUUUAUUUUUUUAUAAAUAAAAAAAUAAAAAGAAAAAAGAGAGGGUUUACCAGAGUUACCUUGUGACCGCGUCGACGCUCGACGAUCUCAUCGUCGGAGGCUUCUUCCCCGUGGCCAGAAUCGUACCAAAACGGGGUAAAAAGGGGCCUUUCUCCUUUUGAUUUCGCAGAUUUGGAGGCUUCCACCUUUGGACACACUCAAAAAGGGAUCGACAAACCCCAUCUUUGCGCUUCGUUAGUCGCCGGAUACAGAGGUGGUACGACGGGCGGUGGAAAGCCAAGGGUCGGCCAUGGGGAAGACUAAGGAGAGAAAUGAGAAGGGAGGGAGAGCAGAGUGGCUCUCUGAUUUUUUCUCUAAAACAGGGGCUGAAAGUGGAAAAAAAGGGUUUCGAUUUAGGUAAUAGAGGCAAAACAGAGUCGCUUGGAUGAUUAGGGCUCAGAGGCCAAAACGACGUCGUUUUGGACCUCUAACCCGAGUGACCCGACCCGAGCCCGUGGAGGAUCCGCGCAUUUUGACUGAAUGGUCUAUUUGCGCAUGGGAUCCCUCUACUUUCUUGGCGUGUUCCACUGUGGUCCUCCCUUUCCUUUUUAUUUCGAAUUCGCCUCAAAAACUUCAUUCUUAAUUCAAUUUUAUUUUAAUUUUAAUACUAUAUACUAUUAUAUUUUAUUAGUAUCAUUAUUAUGUUUAUUAUUUAUUAGCAUUAGUAUUAUUUUCACUUAAUACUUACAUAUAUACAUAUAUUAUAUAGUAUUAUUAAUAGUUUUCUUUUUAUCUAUUAUUAUUAUUAUUAUUAUUUUUCUUAACUCUAUAUUAUGUGUAUAUUCUUUAGAUAUAUUAAGUAUUUUUUAAAUUCUAUAUUACGUACAUAUGUAUUUAUACUAUAUUAUGUGUAUAUUCUUAAAUAUUGUUAGUUAUAUUCUUAUAUUAUCAUAUAUAUAUUUUAAAUGCUAUAUUAAGUACGCAUAUAUUAUAUAUGGCUUUUCCUUAAAUAUUAUAUUAUACGUAUUUAAAUACUAAUACUAUGUAUAUAUUAUUUCAUUUAUUUCUAUCCCUAUUAUGUUCAUUAUUAAUAUUAGUACAUAUAUUUUAUUAUGUAUGUAUAUAUAUAAUUUGUAUAUAGUAUUAUCAUUUCUAUUAUCAUAUUUAUUAUUAUAUUUAUUAUUUUCACUAUUAUUUUUAUUAUGCGUAUAUACAUAGAUGUUUUUAAGUACUUAUUAUAAAUAUAUAAUUUUCUUACUGUAUUAUUAUGUAUAUCAUUUUUACUCAUUUCUUCAUUAAUUUUUAUUUAUUAUUUUAACAUUCUUAUAUUAUGUAUAUUAUUAUUAUUAUUAUUUUAUUAUAUUUUCAUAUAUUAUGUAUAUAUAUUUUUAAAACAUCAUAUUAUUCAUAUACUUUAUUAUAUAGGUAUAUCUUUAUGUAAUAUUAAUAUUGUUAUUAACAUUAGUAUGUGUUUUCAACAUUAUUAUUAUUUAUGUAUAUGUUAUGUAAAUAUUUUAAUAUUAUAUUAUAUAUGCAUUUUUCUAGAUUACGUAUACAUAUACCUUGUUAAUAUUGUGUUUUAUAUAUCGUGUAUACAUUACUACAUCAUUUUUUUUCUAACAUAUUAUUUUUAUAACUAUAUGUUAUGUAUGUAUUUUUAAAGUUAUACUAUGAAUAUGUUUUUAUACUAUGUAUAUAAUUUGUAAUACUAUUAUUAUAUUCAUAUUUUAAAUAUAUACGUAGGUAUGUAGGUAACAUUAUUAGUAUUUUUAAUAUUACGCUUACGGCACUUUGCUCGUUACCAUAUGUUUGUAUAUACGUUCAUCUCUAUUUUGUGUUUAAUACUAUUGUUAUCCUGUUUAAUAUCGCAUACAUUGUUCUCGUUUUAAUGUUAUUGUCAUAUUUAUUAUUUGCUUUGAUGUAUUUAUAACUCUUUAUUUUUGUUUCUUGCCCCUUUUAUAUCAUUUUGCUGUUCAUUACUUUAAAUAUUUUUAUUCAUUCUUUUAAUUAAUUUCAAUAAAUAAGGCAACGUGUCGAUUUAACAUUAAGUCUUUGGUUUCAUUGUUAUGUUGGGUGAAUAUCAUCGGCUCGUGUUAAAAAGGAACGUCCUUCUCAAAAGAAAUCGAAAUUAUAAAAAGUUUCUCGUGUUUUGGUCGGAUCAUGAUUAAGAUUUAAAUUGAACUCAUAUUUUUGAGAAUUAAGACAACGCAUGUUUUACAAGAUACCAAUUUUGGGCGUUGCGAGGGUGCUAAUACAUUCCUCGCGCGUAACCGACUCCCGAACCCUACUUUACUCUGAUUUUCACGUAGACCUAAAUUUAGCCUUCAUUUUUGUUCGAGAAUAAAUUUUCUUUUCAAAAAGAUGAUUUAUUAGGUGUCCGAUCGCACCUAAAGAAAAGGGAUCGGUGGCGACUCCUUUUUUUAUAAAAUCGAAAGUCAGUUUUCCAAUUUGCAAGAAAUCACCACAAUUAGCGACCAAGCUAAAUUUUUACGUCGCUACAGUGGAAAUUGAAUGAAAAUAUGGAAUUAGUUUUAAAGAAAUAAAGUUAGUCUCGGUUUAGGGACUAAAUUGGAAUUUGGGCAAAAGUUGAAUAAAAAUUGAAAUAUUCAAUGUGAAAUUGUAUUGUAUUGAUGAAUUUCAAUUAUUUCAAUUCCAUAGCUAAUGUUGUAUUGAAAACCUUGGCUAAGAAAGGAAAAUAUAAAGUCGACGAGGAGUAGCUCGAAAAUCCUAGUUUGUAUUUUUAUAAUCCGAAUCUAGUAAUUAUUAAUUGUUGUAUUUUAAAUUAAAUGUUUAUGGUAAGUAAUUAAGGUGAGUAUUAGUAUUUUGAUAUUAAAUUUAUAUGUAUAUGUGAUUGAUGUGGAAAUUGAAUAUUGAAUAUAUGUUGUCCUUGAAAAAUGAAUUGAAACCCUAUUAACUGUAUCGAGCUGAGUCGGAUAUAAACGGCAUGCCAUAGGAUUGGAAGGGUUUAGGGAUUACUUCGACUUUGAGUCGAUGAGGUAUUGAGUACCAAUUUACUUCGGUUAAGCCGAUGAGACACUGGGUGUCAGUUUACUGCUUUGAAUUAUCCGAUAAAGUACUGGGUGGCAAACUGGUGUGUUUGGUUGGAUCCGUGUAUCCGUCAGAGUCCGAGUCGUGUUAAUAGGGGUAAUUAAAUAAUAAAAGUACUUUGAUUAAUAUUGAAUAAUAAUGUAUGAAAAAUCUGAAAUGUGAAACAUGAGUUAUGUACUCAUGAUUUGGGUAUGGAAUGAAUAAGUGAUUGGAUUGUGGAUCAAAUUGUAAAAGCUAUUAUAUAGCAAAAAAUGUGAAUUGAGAAUGAUAUGAUUUGUGUAUCAUAUUGUGAUCAGUUGUUGAGAUUGUAAAUCUUGGGAUUUGAAUUUGUUAUAAUUAGUUUAUUUAUGAAUUGAAUAGUUGAAUGGCUAUAAUUAUUUUAUGAUUAUAUAUAUACAUGAUUAAAUAUUUUACUUUUAAGAUUUCAGAUUAAAGAAAUACCACUGAGUUCAUACUCAGCGUACGGUUUGUUUUCUAUGCGCAGGUUAGGUAUUUAAAAGUUGAACGUCGAUUUAGCAUCUACAAUGAUCCCGAACUCAAAACGUGGUGAUGUAUACUUCUUUUUGUAUCGGCAUGUACUUAGGAUGUCUAAGUGUUUAUUAUUUUGUGGAAUGAUUGCAAAUGGUUUAUAAGUUGAUAUUGGUUGAGUAUGUAUAAGAACAUAUGUGUUAUGAUGAAGUUAUGAUAUGAUAUGUUAAGUUAGGGUAUAAGUGAAUAUGGUAUAAGCAAAUUGGAUUUAAAAUUUGGUAUGAUUUUGAAAUGACUUGAAUGGUACCUUAUUGGAAUGUUUUGAUAAUAUAAAUAGUGGAUAAGUAUCAAAGUUGAUUGUUUUGACAUGUUUUAAACGUAUUUGAUUAGGUUGGAUUGGUUGAAUAAAUGGUUUUUGAGUUGCUUAGUGUUCAAGUCUAUAGGGUAUGGUAAACUUGAUUUUAAGGUUCAUUUUGAGUCCACACGGCUAGACACACGGCCGUGUUACUGGACUGUGUCAGACACACGGCUAACACACGAGCGUGUGAUUUGGCCGUGUGUUCCCUGCAACCCUAGAAUUUCGAAACAAAAUGCUCAGGUAUUUUCACACGGGCAGAGAUAGAGGCGUGUGUCUCAAUUGUGUGUGACACAAGACCUAACACACGGGCAUGUGACUGGUCGUGUGAUCCAAGUCAGAGAGUUACACGGGGUUAGACACGGCCUGAGAUACGGGUGUGUCCCAUGGCCACACGGGAAUGUGUCCCCUACACUUAGGAAAAUUUUUAAAAUUUAGCGAAAAAUUCCCGAAGUACCUGAUUUAGUCCCGAUUUUUUUAACACAUAUUUUAAGCCUCGAGGGCUCAAAAAAGGGAAAAUAUAAUUAAAUUAUAAUGUGUAUGCUAAAUGGUUAUAUAAUGUUCAUAGAUAAUCUAAAAAGUCUGAUAAUGCUUCGUAACCCUGUUACGGUGACGGAUAAGGGUUAGGGGGUGUUAUAUUCAAGACAUUUUCAGUCCAAUUGUAAAGCUAACAACAAUUCGAGUUGUUUUGUCACUGGCUGUCAAGUUUGGCUGGCAACUAAGGCAGGUGGAUAUUAAUAAUGCAUUCCUCAAUGGUGACUUAUCUGAGGAGAUUUAUAUGGUUCAACCUCCUAGCUUUGAGCAGAACCAUGGUGAUCGAUUGUUGGUGUGCAGGUUGAAGAAAGCACUGUAUGGUCUUAAACAGGUUCCCAAGGCCUGGUUCUCCAAGCUGCGUGAUUUUUUGCUCUAUUCACUCUUUGUUUUGGCUAAGUUAGAUGGUUCUCUCUUUAUUAGGAAGACUAAUGGGGUACUCUUGUAUGUUCUAGUAUAUGUCGAUGACAUAAUUGUCACUGGAAAUCAUUAAGCCAGCAUCGAUAGCUUUGUUUCAACCUUGGAUACUUAGUUUUCCUUGAAGGAUUUGGGGCCUCUCAGUUACUUUCUUGGUAUUGAAGUAACUUCCACUGUUGAUGGAUUGUUUUUGAGCCAGAGCAAAUAUGUUCUUGAUCUUCUAAGAAAAGCUCGAAUGGAUCAAACAAAUGGCUCUCUUACACCCAUGGUCACUUCUUCCAACUUGUCUCAGCAUAAUGGUUGUGCGAUUGAAAACGAGUUUGAGUAUCGAAGCAUUGUGGGAGCCCUAUAGUAUGUUAUUUAUACCCCGGUUUCUAACGGUUCACUGGUCAUCACUAAAUCAGAUAUCACUUUUGUUGUGAACAAAGUCUGUCAGUUCAUGCAUCGACCUCUUGAUCAACAUUUCAAGGCUGUCAAACUGUAACGACCCAUAUUUCACGGGCACCGGAAAAGUGAGUUUAGGGCUUCCAUCUUAGGAAAAUGAGUUCGUAAAUAUUUAUAAAAAAAUAUUUACGAAGUUAGUUGUGAGUUGAAUUAGAUUUUAAUUAGGUGAAUUUAUUUUUAAUUAGAAGUAAUUAGUAGAAAGGAUUAAAUUAAAUAGAGCAUAAAAGCUUAAUCAUAGAAUAGAGAAAGGAUAAAGGAUUAAAUUAGUAAUUAAACUAAAUUAGUGACAUGUGUAAGUUAGAAAAUAAAAACAUGUGUAUUUAAAUUAUUAGUACAAGUGUAUAUAAUAUAUAAAUUUACUUAUAAAUUAAGUAAAAGAUAUUUACUUAUUAUUAUUAUUAUUAUAUUUUAUCAAUUAAUUGAGAUAAUGAAAAAUGUAUGGUGAUGAAAUAUUACAUGUGUACAUGUGUGUAUGAAUACACAUGUAGUAUUUUUAUUUGUAUUAAUUAGAUAUUUUAUAAUUAAUUAUUAAUUUAGUAAAUAAAAGAAAUAAAAUGAAAUAAAGAAUAAAUAAAAGAAAGAAAAACAAGAAAAAGAAACAAAGAAGAAACGAAAUAGAAAGAAAGAAAGAAGAAAAGAAAAGAAAAGAAAAAGGAGAAAUUAGGGUUUGAAAGCUUGGAAGUUAAAUUGGUAAGUCAAUUAAGUCCCUUUCUUAGUGAUUUUGAUGUUGUUGAAGUUCUAAAGUUGAAUACUUUUGAAUUUGUGUGAAAAUAUUGAAAGAUGAUAGACUUUUAAGUAGGGUUUAUGUUGAACUAAUGAUGAAAUUAAGAGUUUAAUUGAUAGAAAUUUUGAUUUAAAUUGAUUAAAGGAUUGAAUUGUAAACAAGGUCAUAAGUUUUGUGUUGUAGGACUAAAUUGAUAGAAAUUCAAAAUUAUGGAAAAAUGACAAAAGUUUGAUGGUUAGAUUAAAGUUUUGAUGGAAAUUGAAUAAGGAAAUAAUAUGAAUUAUAAAAAGGAAGAAGAUGAAAAUAGUUAGGACAAAUUUGGGAUUUAGGUUAAAGUUGCAUGGAAAGUUAUUAUUUUCUAUAAAAUAAGUGUGUUAUUAAUUAAUUAUAAUUAAGCUAAUUUUCGUAGCAAACAAGGAAACCGAGACGUUGAAUGCGAAGGGAAAGGAAAAAGUGAUCGAGGAGUAGCUCGAGAAAAUAUCAGUUUGUAUUACCUUAAUUCAAGUUAUUUAUUAUUAAAUGUUUAAUUUCAAUAUAUGUGCAUGAAAAAUGAAAUUAAGGUAAGUAGUGAUAUUUGAAUUGAAUGAGAAUUGGAUUUGAUUGAUGAAUGUAUACAUGUGUGAAAUUGAAUUGUAUAAUGAUUUGUGGUGAAUUUGAAAUUGUGAUUGAAUUGUUAUUGCGAUGGAUUUGAAUUAGAAUGAUUAUGAUCAACUGAAAGUGAAAGUGAUAUGAUUAUGUGAUUCCGAUACCCUAUUAACUAGUCGGGCUAGGGUGGAUAUAGUUGGCAUGCCAUAGGAUAGGAAGAGUUCAGGGAUUUUUCGACCUUGAUUCGAUGAGACACUUGGUGUGUCAUAUUUGCUUCAAAUAGAUUUGAUGAGGCGUUGGUCGCCACUUUGCUUCGACUUAGCCGAUGAGAAGUUGGUCGUCACUUAUUUGCUUCGAACUAUCCGAUGAGGCGUUGGCCGCAACUCUGGUGUGUUUGGUUGGAUCCGUGUAUCCUCCAAAGUCCGAGUUAUGUUAAUAAGGGAAAUAUAUGUGAAGAGAAAAAUCAAAUGAAAUUGAUAAAUUGAAUUAUUGAAUGAAAUGAGAAAGUGAUAUUGUAAGAUGAAUUGAGAAAUGCAAUUUGUGCUAUGAGAUUGAAGGCAUAAAACCAAGGUUCAUGAAUUAUUCAUAUUUGAAUGUGAAUUGGAUAUUUAUAUGUGAUUGAGAGAUGAACCAAAGGUUUAUGAAUAGUUGGUAAUCUUAUUGAAGAAAUAUUGAAUCAAAUAAUGAAAAUGAUACAAUGGAAAUAUGAUAACUUGGUAUGAAUUAUAUGUAACACCCCAAACCCGUCCCAGACGUUGUGACCGGAUUUGACAUGCCACAUCGAAGCGUUCAAAACAUUUUCUAUUGUUGAUCCUGAAAAACUUACUUAGUGUUUUAAAAGAUAAUUUCAUUAUAGGUUAAAGUGAAUGGAAGCUGUGCACCAGGUAGGAAACCGAAAAAGAGGUGGUGAGUCCAUCGGACUGCUUAAGUACCAAGCUCCCUUCGGAUCCAAUCCUAGACAUGCACACUGCCAUUGCCACACCUUAACGUCAUGUAUAUUUCUAGGGAACCGAUUUGAUUAAGUCAUUUUUAGGAAAAGUGAUUAAUUUUGGAAAAUACUUUCAUUGCGGAAGCUUUGCUUGUUGUCAUGUUAUUUUGAAAUCAAUUGUUGUUUUUUUUUGAAAAUGCGCCCUAAAGCUAUCCAAUUUCAACAGUUAAAAUAAGUAAUACCUAUCUUAGUAAUACAUAUUAAAACCAUCAAAAAUAAUUAAGCGGCCUUACUACGUUUAAAAACCCAAAACUUCAAACGUAAAUAAAAGGAUGUCCAGUUCACCAGAAGAAAAUAAAACUUUCAGAACAGGUGGCCACUCCGAAUUCCCUCACAGCUCUAAGCCCACUAUGGUUGGGGAUUUCCUGUGUGGAUGAAAAAAAAAGGGUGAGUUUGGGGAAACUCAAUGUAUAAGGAAAACCCAUUCAAAACCCAAGUCAGCUCAAGCCUAUUGGCCUAAGCCCAUUCAGGUAACAGUGGUACUGGACCAGAGCCCUUUUCAGAUUACAAUAAACUGGGCCUUAGCCUCUUAUUCAGAUAACAGUAUGGCUCACAGGCCCAUUUCAAAAUACAUGCAACAUUAAUAACAUAUGCAAGCCCAUUUGGGGAGAGUACUCAACCCACCAACCACUACACUCCACCCAUACCAGCCCUACACUCCAUGUGGGGAAUAGCUCAACCCACCCAGCCCAACACUCCACAGUUGCAGCCUUGCUGCUCAGUUAACAGUAAAUUGAGGCAAAGCCUCCAGUACGUGGACAAGCCACUUUCAGUACUUCCUCCGUCAAUAUCCCAAUCCCAUGCAUCAAUAAUAACAACAUGGCAUGCAGUAAUAACAACAGUCAAACAUGCAUUUAGGUCAAUUUAACCCUAGGGGUAUUUCGGUAAUUUAUCUACUAGGGGUAAAACUGUAAAUUUUCUACUUUUAAAGGUAUUUCUGUAAUUUAUCUAUUUUAGGGUUUUCAUGCAUAUUCUUACUUUUUACGUACUAACAGAAUCACGUACCGAGGGUUUUUACCGAAUUGGGCCCGUUGGCCCAUCAUUCCAAUUUUGGCCCAUUAAGCCCAAAAAUAUCGAGGGCACAGAAAUCAUGCACUUUGCAGUCCAAAUUUUGCAGCUUACCAAAAACAUUAAUCGAUUUACCUCACGAGCAUUCGCACACUCGCAAAUCUACAAAAUACCGGUUUUCGGCAUUUUGGCUUUUCGACUUUUGCCGAUCCAGACUAAGAAAGAGGGUGUUAGUUACACACCGGUUUGCGACGAUAUGCUGACGAGAUCCACACACGAACCGCCUACAAUUGGAUUACUAACACGUUAAUCUAACUAUUCAAAAACAAACUACGUAUUAACCCCUUACAAUAUUCGGCCAACCACACCUACAGAUCAUAGUAAGCUUAUAAGAAAUCAAUAAGCAACUCAUUAACAAAUUUUUGUCAAUGUUUACCACAUAAUCAUAAUUUCACUGCAAGCUGUCUUCCUGAGCAACAGUCACUAAAUCAUUUAUAACUGGAGCUACGAAACUCCAAAUCAAGUGCCGUUAAUUUUCCCUGAAAAUAGACUCAUAUAUAUUAUAUCCAUAAAAUUUUCAGAAUUUUUGGUUUGGCUAAUCAAUACCAGAUUUUUCUCAAAGUUUCGCAUGUUUCACUGUUUGACUAAUCUGACCACUCUUCAUUACGAAUCAAAUUUCUCAUUGUACAGAAUUCAAAAUAUGUUCUCGUUUAUUUCAUUUGAAACUAGACUCAAAAAUAUUUAAUUACAUAAUUUAUUCAGCUUCUAAUUCAUCUCCCACAAUUUAUGGUGAUUUUCCAAAGUCACGUUACUGCUGCUGUCCCAAGCAGAUUUAUUACCAAAUUCACUCAUUCACACAUAACUUGCAUGCAUGUUAUUUAAACAUGUAUAUCACCAAUCAAUCAUCACAUAUCUAUGAUUUUACUUAAGUAUAAUCUCCAUUUCAUCAUUUUAAAGCACAACAUGUUAGCCGAUUUUUCCCCUUAGCAUCUAAGGCACAUGCAUGCUCAUUUGUUUGGCUCAACUUCACCUAUCUUCCAUUUUUCAUCAAAAGAACAUGAAACAAAAACCAUUUCCUUCAUUUUAAUUCAUGACUAAAUGCUCACAACACAACUAAAAACCAAAAUAUGCUUCAAGAGUUAAGGUAGAAUUAAGAAGAACUCAUGAACCUCAAAAUAAAAGCAAACUACCAUGAACUUACCUUCAAUUUUUCUUCCCCAAGUGACCGAACAUUCAAGAGCUUUCUCCUCUCCUUUCUCUUCUCUAACUUUAGGCUAUGAUGAACAAAGAUGGACAAAACUUUGUUCUUUUCACCCCCUUUUUUUUUAAUAAAAUUUCAUAUUUCAUCCAUUUAAUUCUUUAAUACAAAAGACAUGAAAUUCCCAUCAUGGAACAUUUACCUAACCCAUUAUCAUGAAACAUUUACCUAACCCAUUAUCAUGAAACAUUUACCUAACCCAUUAUCAUGGAACAUUUACCUAACCCAUUAUCAAUUUGUAUCAAUUUGUACCAUAAAUUAUGGAUAUCAAGUGCACAUUUUGUCUACAACAACAUGAUGACCAGCCACUACAUGUAAAAUGGGAGGUUUGUCAUGCAAAUCCUCCUAUUUUGCACUCCUAUUUAUUUGGCCACUUCAAUUUAGCCUAUAGCAUUUUCAAAAAUUUUCACAUAGGUCCUAUUUCAUAAUUUCACCCCCUUUUUCUUAUGGAACAAAAAUUAACUAAAAUUGUCGGGUUCUAUCUUAAGCUUGGGCCUUCUAGAGGACCACUAACAUAAUUAAACCUAUGCCAACAUUCACAGAAUUCCCGAAAAUUGGGGCGUUACAUUAUAUGUAUGAUUUGUUAAUUAUCUAUGCAUGUUUAUGAUAUUUAUAUUUGCUUUAAUUUGAAUUAUGGUAAUACCACUGAGUAUUUCCAAUACUCAGCGUACGGUUUGUUUCCGUGUGUAGGCUAGGUAAAGUUGAAGUUCAGUAUAGCAUCAAAGUCAAUCCUGACCUCAUCUUCGUUUCUGGUGAUGAAUCUAUAUUUUGGAAAUGUGGCAUGUAUUAGGUUUUGUUUUAGUCACUUAAAUAUAUUUUAUGUUUUGGGUGUAAGGUAAUUUGUAACUUUUAAGAAGUAUUUGAAAUAAAUAAAUGAAUGUUGUUUGAUUAAGAUUUAUAAGUCAAUGUUUUGGGUAUGAAUUAGGUGUGUUUAAUAUGUGAAAGUAGCUCAAAAAUGGUGAAAAAUCAUGUUUUUACAGGGCCAACUCACAUGGGUGUAUGCCUAGGCCGUGUGGCAAAGUCAUAAUUGCCCACAGGUUAGUCCUACGGCCGUGUGAGCAAGACAGAUCUGCCCAUGGGCUGGCCCCAUGGCCAUGGGAGCCCCACGGGCAGGCCAUACGGGCAUGUCCCAGGCCGCACGGGCGUGUGCCCCUAUUCUCAAGGAAAAGUUUCCAAAGUUCCCGAUUUAAUCCCAAAACACUUCCUAAGUAUAUUUUUGGCCUCGUAGGUCCAUAUUAGGGACUUUAAGGUAGAAUUUGAAAAAUUUUAAAUUGAAAUAUAGAUUUAUGACUCGGUGUUGUUUGUUAUUAGCGUCUAAUUUCGAUAAUGCCUCGUAACCCUAUUUCAGCGAUGGGUUGGGCUUAACGGGUGUUACACAAACGUAUCCUUCAAUAUCUCCAAAAUACUAUGAACUGUGGUCUUCAUAUUACUAAAACUGCCAACAUAGAUUUGGUUGCCUACUCGGAUGCAAAUUGGGGAACAGAUAUAGAUGAUCGAAGGUCUAUUACAGGUUUUUGUGUGUUCCUUGAGGGCAACCCUGUAGCCUGAGGAUUGAAAAAGCAACAGAUUGUCUCCAGGGCAACAACAAAAGCUGAAUAUAGAGGACUAGCCCUUACAGUUACAAAAGUAUUUUGGCUUGAGUCUCUUUUGUUAGAACUACAUGUUUCAACCUCAAGAAAAACGAAAAUGUAGUGUGAUAACUUAAGUGCCGUUGCUGUUUCUGCAAAUCCGGUGUUGCACUUAAAGUUUAACCACGUUGAGUUAGACAUCUUCUUUGUUUGAGAAAAGAUUGCAACUGAAAAGCUUAGUGUGGGGCAUAUUCCAGCACAGGAACAAGUUGCAAAUGUCUUCACCAAACCCUUGUCAAUCCCCUUAUUCACAAAAUUCAGAUCGUGUCUGAAAGUAGUUACAAAAAUUUGUUGACUCAGUAGAAGUGAAGCAGAUGGAGGUAUGUUAAGUAAUGGAAACAAUUAUAGUAGUUAGUAGUUAGAGCUUGGUAGUUAUAGUAGUUAUAGUUAGUUAACUGUUAAUACUUUGUGUUAUAAAUGCUGUGCUUUGUACUCUAUAACUCAUCUUCUUUAGUUAAUCAUUUUCACUUUUCUUGAUUCAUGCUGUAGAUCUCAUUAGACUACCACGUAGGACAUCCAAGUUGGCAUUUAAAAUCCAUUUGGGCUGCCAUGUAGGACCGCCGUUAUGGAGUUAAUAGAGCUUAACGGUAGAGUGGCCAUUUCAUAACAGAACGAUAAUGUAAGUGACUAAAACAUAACAUUUUAAACUUAAGUAACUAAAAUGUAAUCUGUGUCAAACAAAAGUGACUAUUUUUAUAGUUUACCUUAACAUUUAAAACUACUGUAUUUCUUUUAAUAAAAAUAAUAAGCAUCUAAUCUUAUUGCUAGUGCAACCUCGAUUUAAAGAAGGGACGUUAGAAGUUUUGAAUUUUAUUAUAUAUCAAUUUGAUUUAAAUUUAUUUUCAAUUGAAUUAAUUAUUAAUUCAACAUUUAUAAUGAUUGAUUGAGUAUAGGUACAAUCUUCAAUUUUAAUCUUCAAUGUUUAUUUUUUUUUCAAUUUAAUCUUUACCUUUUUUAGUUAAAUUUGGUUCUCAAUCUUUUAAAAAAAGUCGAAUUUGACUAUCAACUUUUCAAAAAAAAAAGUUAAUUUGUUGUUUUAAACGAAAAUACUGACUAAAAUAUCAAUUUUUUAAACAUAGUAACUCGAAUGACAAUUCACUUAUAUUUCAUGUUAAUUUUAUUUUUAAUUUUAUGAAAUUUUAAUUUUUUUUGAAUUUUUAAUAUUUUUAUUUUAAAAAAAAUUAUUUGUUGACAAUGGCUUAUACGAGAAAUAGUACCAUGGCAACAUAAAAGUACAUGUGAAUUGUCAUGCAAGUUGCCACACCAACAUUAUUAAAAAAAUUAAUAUUUUAGCCAGCAUUUUCGUUAAAAAAAGCAAUCUAACUCUUUUUCUGAAAAGUUGAGGGUUAAAUUUGACAAAAAAAGAGAACCAAAUUAACAAAAGAUGUAAACAUUGAGAGCUAAAUUUGACAUUGAGUAUUAUUAUAAGUUGUAAGUAUGUUAGAAAGAUUAAUUAUGAAAAAUAAAAGGGAUAAAUACCAUAACCAUACACGAACUAUGAUUUAAUGUGCAAUUGUAUACAUGAAUUUUGAUUUUAUAUAAUUUUAUAUAUGAAAUUUUGAUUUGAUUUAAUUAUUGUAAAUUAUUAACACAAUUAUUGAUAAAAUAUUAUUUUGUAUUUAUUAGGAUUUUAUGUGUAUAAUUAUACCAAAUUAGUGUGAUAAAAGUUGGAAGAGUUGUGGACACAGGUGGGGCAAACACAAUGCAGCAACAAAAAUAGCUAAUCUUUGGCCAACACUUGAUGUUAAGUUAUAAUUUCCCGAAAGCAGUUGGUUUAGGUUAACUCCAAUGGAGCUGUGUUUAAUGUAUGAUGUUAGUGAAUGUUCUCCAACUUCAUAGGAACUUUCAUUUUCAAUCCCUAUAAAUAUUCCCACUCCACUUAAUUUAUAUUACUAACUCAUACCACCUUACCAAUUUCCAAAUGAAAUAUUUUGCUACCAUAAUUAACUAAUAUGGAAAAUAAUUGCAAAAACAAAUGACAUUGAUGCAUGAAUGUAUCAUAAAAUUAGAUAUUAAGCAUCAUCAUUGUAAAAAUAUAAUUUGAACAUUUAAAAAAAAUUUAAAUCAAUGUGAUAAAUUACAUAAAAUAUAAGCUAUUCAAAAGUUACAAUUUGGUCAUUGAACUAUUCAAAAGUUUUUAUUUAAAUCAUUGGACUAUUAAAACUAAUGUCACAUGACUUUCUCCAUUCACAAUACCUUUACCAAUUGCAAGCUCUUUUACCCCUUCUCUUUUAUAGUUCAUUUUUUUUCAUGAAACAACUGUGGACAUCAUGAAUCUACAGAUCAAAACUCAAACAUAUUUUUCUCCAAUCUCCAACAUUGAUUAUCAAAUCAACUUAGAUCUAAGGUAUGUUCUUGUACUCAUCGAUGGGUAUUGAUCCAUUGUACCAAUUAUUGAAUCAUCGCUUAGAGGUCGCUGGCGGAACUAUUUUUUUCUAAAAACUUAACAUGUUACGACCCGAAUUUAGGCAAUGUUGGAAAAUAUGAUUUUGAAACCUCAUUUUUGUAAACCAAGUUUGUAAAGAUAAAACAGGAUGAUAUACGGAGCUAAUAUGAAAAUAUAUUAAAGAUCGAUUAAGUAAUUCAACUAAGAAAUUUUUUAAUUAAAGCUUAGGGACUAAAAUGUAAAAUACCAAUUACUAUUGAAUUUUAGUUUAAAAAUUCUUCAGGACUUAGUUUGCAAUUAUUCAAAGGACUAAAAUGAUUAUUUAACCAUUUUUAUCAUGAGAUAGUGGAAGAUGAUGGUGUUUCCCACUUAGUUUUGAUAUUAUAAUUAAAAUGUAUAAUUAUGUCUUAAUUAAAUAAAUUAAUAAUGAUUAAUUAAGUGCAACAGACCGUUUUUCAGUGGUGUCUGAAACAGUGAUUUUGGAGCCACCAAAUUCGACAGUAAGUUCAUAAAUAUUAAGUCAAAUGUGAUUUUAAAAAGGUUUUUGAUUGGAUAAUUUAUGUUAUUUAAGUGAUUUAUUAAGUUCAAGUGGCAAGACCCUAAGGUCAAGUGGUUUUAGAAAAUGAGGUAUCGAGACCUCGUUUCUAUAAAUUGACUUCGUUUCAUGAAGGCGGUAUUAAAGUUUCGUUGAAAAAUUUUAAUGUUUCAAUAUUUAAUUAAUUAAAAAGGACUAAAUUGUAAUAGAUGUAAAAUUUGAUCACUAUUUAAUUUGAGUGAUUAAAUGGUUAAUUAAAUAAAGGAAAAAUGACUUAAUUGGUAAUUAUACCAUUCAAGGAGUUAGUGGACAAUUAUGUGCAUGAAAUUGAUGUUUUAUUUAUUUAUUAACCAAGGCUAAAAUGGUAAUUUGAUAAAUUAAAUUAAAAUAAAUAAAACCAAAAUGUUUUAUUCAUCUUUUACAGUUUCUUUUUCACGGAUUGUAAAUGGAGAAAGAAUCCAUUGUUAACCUUGGAAUUUCGGCAACUUGACAAGCUAGCAUGGCAUGUUAUUUUAGCCUCGUUUUUAAUGAUUUUUAUAUUUUUAAGAUCGUUGCAACUAGGUCUAGCUAGCCCGUAACUUCAAUUUUGAAACUGUUAAAGAUUUUGAAUGUUGUCAUUAAUGAACCUUGUGAUUUUAGAUGUUAAUUGAUGAAUUUGAGAUAUUAGUUGUUAUUUAAAAGUAUUUUAUUAAGUGAUUUUUGAUGAAUUUAUCGAUUAGGGACUAAAUUAUUGAAAUAGUAAAAGUACAAGGAUUUGAUGUGAAAUUGUUGCAAUAAUGGGCUGUAUUGGAUGCCAUAAGUAUUUGGCUAGGCUCAAUUUUGCGUAAAAAUGGUUAAUUUGCAUGUUUUAGGCUUAAUGACUAAAUUGAAUAAAAAUAAAACUUUAAGGGCAAUUUUGUAAAAAUAUCAAAAAUGACUAAAUUGCAUAAAAUACAUUUUUAACUAUCUAAGUUAAUGGAUUGAAUGAAAUUUUUAAUUUAGAUUAAGAUUGGGUGGAAAAUCGAGGAGAAUGGAAAAUUACCAAAAUAUCCUUGUACUUUGACAUUUUUGCAAUUUUGCCAAGUAAGUUUGUAUGAACUGUAUUAUGUAGAAUGUUGAUUAAAUUGAAUUUUAAUAUAUGAUUUUAUUGAAAAUGAAUCGAUAUACAUAUUUUAUUAUACAAGUUAUCAUGUUGUGAGAUGACGUAAAUCCAACGACGUACGACGACUAUCGAGCCCCGUUUGAACCUUAAGAAUACAUAGGAUACAAAUGACGUGUCAUUAGGGUUUAAAUAUUUAGGGUUCUGGUCUUAAAUGUCCUACUGGUGGCUGAGUUUCGGUAUGUGUUGGGAAUACUCCACAACUCGUGUGAGCAGACCCAUUUCGUAGCUCGUGUGAGCAAGCCCAUUUCACAGCUCGUGUGAGCAUAUAUGUACAGGAAAGGAUAGGCUACGAUUAUAUGAUUCACACACUUCAUAUGAGCUAUCCCGCAUAUUCAACGGUAUUCUAUUUGGUUCAACGGGCAUAAAUUUACAAGGAUAUGGUAAGUGUUCUAUAUGAACCAAGACAUGUAUGUAUGAAAGACUUCGAAAUGUUGAAUUACAUGGAAAAUAUGUUGUUAUGUUAAGAUGGAUGAUAGAUCCAAUUGAAUUAUGCUCAAGUACAAUGGUUAUUCAUGUCAAAUUUAUAUGAAUCAUGUUUAAAUGAACUGAAUCAUGUCUAAAUGAACUAACAUGUGUUGUUGAUGUACUUAGGCUUAUGCCAAGUCUGUGAAUAUGAUUGAUGUUUACGAUUAUGCUUGUACCAUGCAUAUGAAACAGGUAAGAAAAGGGAAUGAAACGGUAAGUACAUAAUUGAGAUGUAUUAUUAUGUUAUAAAAUAUUUUAAUCUAAUAAAUGAUGUACUUAUAUGUGAGUAAACUGCUUAUGCUAUGGUUGAAUCUACCAAUAUUAUGGAAAAAUUCACUGAGUUGAGAAUUAAUAAUGUUGUUAAAGCUUAUCAUAAGCAUUGGGAAUGGAAUGGAAAGUAACUAAAUUGAAAAGUGUAUAAUCUUAUAAAAAGAUUGAUGGUUAUACAUUAUGUCCCAUAAAAUUCUUUCAUGUUAUGAAUUACAAACAUAUUUGACAUUAAUGAAUUUGCUCAUUUGUGAGUUGAUGAUCAUAUAGAUUUAUUAAUUUUGGCAUUGGAAUAGCGUUAUGUCUAUUCUAAUAAGUUUAUUAUAGAAAUGGAAUUUUAUGCUUAAAGUUUAUAUAAGCUUACUAACCAUACAUAGCUUACAUAGUUAUUUUCCUUUACCUUGUAGAUUAUCAAAAGUUCGAUUGGGUUAGAAGCUAGUCAGGGAUCUAUCAUACUAUUCGUCAAGUUUAUUGGUAGAUUUUGAUGCUUUGGUCGUGGUUAUAAUGGCAUGUAUAGGUGGGCGUAUGUCUAAUGUUUAGUUAAUGAUAUCGACAUGUAAUGUUGCUUUGAAUUUGUGAAACUUAUGAUAUUUGAUGCCUCAAUGAUUGGUGUGCUUUUGGCAUUUUGAUGUUUAAAGGUUGGUCUUUAUAAGAUUAAACUGAUGUAUUGUUUUAUGGCCAAAGUGGUAAGAGUUGGCAUGUUUGCAAAGUGAUCAUUUAGGGCAUGUUUGAUAUGAAAUUUAGUCAAGUCUAUUUGUUUGAAUUAUGACCAUUUGGACAUAAUUUGGUAUGUAUAUAUGUUGGUUAUUGGAACCAUUUGAAAUUGGUUAGAAUGGUGACAUUUAAAUGGUUUUGAUGCAUGUGAGAAGUAGUCCCAAUGGUAAGGUCAUUUUGAUAUGUUCGAUAUGGAAACAAGUUAAUAGAAAAAUGGUUAAAUAUGCACAUGUAUAGGUGUUUUGUGCUUGUUGAUAUAGCCAUUAUGUUUGGCUUGUAAUUAUGGUAUUCUGGAUGAUGCAUUAGUUGUUAUGUUGGCAUGCAUAUGUGGUCUUAUAAUGGUUGAUAUUUUGGCAUGUUGGUAGUUAAAGGUUGGGCAUUGGAAUGAUAUAUAAAAUGCAUGCUAUGAAAUGUUAUUUUGAUAUGCUUGAAUGUGAUCAUUGAGGUAUGGAAAUUGAUAGUGAACAUUGAGUUAAUAAAUGACUAGUUUGGUGUGCUUGGAUGUGUUGACAUAUGGUCAAGUUUUCUAAAGCAGUGAUGAUAGGUGUUGAAUAGUCAAAUUGAUGUUUUUGAGUAUGAUAUUGGUAUGUGAAUAUCAUGGUAAAUUUUGGCAUAAAAUUAGUUAUAAAGGUUAGUUGAUUUGUGGUUAAACUUAACAAAUGUAUAAUCAUGUUUGAUUGUUGUGAUUGAGGUGCCUUUUGGUCAUAUUGGUUGUAUGAUCAAAUACUAUGAUGAUCUAGCUUGAAUAUGCAUAUGUUAGGUACAUUUUGAACGCUUGAAUAUAGGUGCAAAUGACUUGUAAGGGUGUGCUUGAAUUGGGUGAAAGAAAUGGCUUGAAUUUGCCUAUUUCUUGUCCACACAUCCUAAGACACGGGCACGUGUCUCAGCCUUGUGUGACAUACAGCCACGCGACACGACCGUGUGUCCCCUGUACGUUUUUAAAGGUUUUAUUUCGAGAGUUACACGGCCUGGCACACGGGCGUGUGACUUGGCCGUGUGACCUAAGUCAGAAAGUUACACGGGCUGGGACACAGCCGUGUGUCCCUACUUUGAAUGCCCACAUAGCUUGAGACACGGGCAUGUGUCUCAGUCGUGUAAGUCACACGGCUGUGUAACCCCUGUAGCAUGAAUUUUUCUAUCUUUUUCCAUGAAGUUCUAAAUGUUUUCAGUUUAGUCCCGAAUCAUUUCUAAAGUGUUUCUAAGGCCUCGAGGGCUCGAAAAAGGGAUGUUAUGCAUACAUUUGAAUGGAAUAUAAUGUGUUUUAUAAAUGGUUGUAAUCGAAUGUUUUAAGUUAAAAGUUCUUAGUAAUGCUCCGUAACUCUAUUCCGGCGAUGGAUACGGGUUAGGGGUGUUACAUUAAGCCUAAUUAAUUAACUAAUCCUAGUAUAUAUUAGAUUAUAGUGGAAAAAUUAAAGCCAUUAUCAUCUUUUCUCAUUUAUGUUGUCCAAGUUGAAGAAAGAAAAUAAAAAACCUAUUUCAUCUAUUCAACUUUCAACCAUUCAAUUUUCUAAGGUAAUUAAGCUAAAUCUUUGGAAAUUUUCUAGAAUAUGAAUCAUGGGAGCUUGAUCUAGCCCAUGUGGUCAUUCUUUCAAUUAGUUUAUGUUUAUCAAGUUGCCAUUAAAGCAUAAUUGAUGAAAUUAAGCUUGAAAUUGAAGAGAUUGUUAGAUAGUGAACUUAGAUUAUGUUAAGGAUUAAGUUAGAAAUUAAAUUAAGCUUUUUAGAUAACUUUGUGAUAUUAGGGACUAAAUUGAAUAAAUUGAAAGUUUCAAUAAAUUAAGCUAUAAAUGAAAAUUAUAAGGUCUUUUAUGAAAUAAUGUGAAAUCAUAUUUUGAUCUGAUGUUAGAUAUAGAAGAAUGUGAGCAUUCCAGUUAUAAAGACUAAAAUGAAUAAAAUGAAAAAUAUGUUGGUUGUGUAUUUUAAUGUGAUUUGGAUGUGAACUGACAUUGUUUUAUAAUUAAAUUAUCGAAUGUAGCUAAAGAUGAUGUCGGGACAUAGCUAAAUACGACACUGGGCCAUCUUAAGAGAAGGGAAAGACGAGAGACAAAAAUUUGGUUUGUAGGAAAGACGAGAGACAAAAAUUCAGUUUGUACUUUUAUGAUUCGAGUUCAAUAUAUAUACACAUAUACAUACAUGGAUGUUACGAAUUGGUUUAUAUGUGGUAAAUGUUCUAUUUGUCUCAUGAGUCGAUUUAUAUGAAGUAAGAUGAAAUGUUAUGAGUUGAGUUGAAAUGAACAUAACAUAGCCAAGCAUAAAAUGAAAUUGUGAUAUAUGAUAUGUGAUCUGAAAAUGGUAUGAAACUUUGAUAUGUGAAUAUGUAAAUGAUGUAUAAUUGGAACAUUGGUUACCCUAUUAACUAUUUUGACAAAGUUGGAUAUAUUCGACAUGCCGUAGAAUUAUAUUUGUGUACGAGUUUAUGGUUCGAUUUUACCUAUGAGGUGCAGAGUGCAUAUUUCCUUCGAAUGUCCAAUGAGGUGCGGAGUACAUUUUACUUCGGCUAUACCGAUGAGGUGCGAAGUACAAUUAAUACUUUGAACAUUCUAAUGAGGUACUAUGUGCCGUAUUGGUGUGAUGGUUGGUGUAACGCCCCAAUUUUCAGGAAUUCUGUGAAUGUUGGCAUAGGUUUAAUUAUGUUAGUGGGCCUCUAGAAGGCCCAAGCUUAAGAUAAAACCCGGCAAUUUUAGUUAAUUUUUGUUCCAUAAGAAAAAAGUGGUGAAAUUAUAAAAUAGAACCUAUAUGAAAAUGUUUGAAAAUGCUAUAGGCUAAAUUGAAGUGGCCAAAUAAAUAGGAGUGCAAAAUAGGAGGAUUUGCAUGACAAACCUCCCAUUUUACAUGAAGUGGCCAGCCAUCAUGUUGUUGUAGACAAUAUGAGCACUUGAUAUCCAUAAUUCAUGGUAUAAAUUGAUAAUGGGUUAGGUAAAUGUUCCAUGAUAAUGGUUUAGGUAAAUGUUCCAUGAUGGGCAUUUCAUGUCUUUUGUAUUAAGGAAUUAAAUGGAUGAAAUAUGAAAUUUUAUUAAAAGAAAAAGGAGUGAAAAGAACAAAGUUUUGUCCAUCUUUGUUCAUCAUAGCCUAAAGUUAGAGAAGAGAAAGGAGAGGAGAAAGCUCUUGAAUGUUCGGUCACUUGGGGAAGAAAAUUGAAGGUAAGUUCAUGGUAGUUUGCUUCUAUCUUGAUGUUCAUGAGUUCUUUUUUAUUCUACCUUAACUCUUGAAGCAUAUUUUGGUUUUUAGUUGUGUUGUGAGCAUUUAGUCAUGAAUUAAAAUGAAGGAAAUGGUUGUUGUUUCAUGUUCUUUUGAUGAAAAAUGGAAGAUAGGUGAAGUUAAGCCAAACAAAUGAGCAUGCAUGUGCCUUAGAUGCUAAGGGGAAAAAUCGGCUAACAUGUUGUGCUUUAAAAUGAUGAAAUGGAGAUUAUACUUAAGGAAAAUCAUAGAUAUGUGAUGAUUGAUUGGUGAUAUACAUGUUUAAAUAACAAGCAUGCAAGUUAGGUGUGAAAGAGUGAUUUGGUAAUAAAUCUGCUUGGGGCAGCAGCAGUAAUGUGACUUUGGAAAAUCACCAUAAAUUGUGGGAGAUGAUUUAGAAGCUGCAUAAAUUAUGUAAUUAAAGAUUAAUGAGUCUAGUUUCAAAUGGAAUAAACGAGAACAUAUUUUGAAUUCUGUACAAUGAGAAAUUUGAUUCGUAAUAAAGAGUGGUCAGAUUAGUCAAACAGUGAAACAUGGGAAACUUUAAGAAAAAUCUGGUAUUGAUUGGCCAUACCAAAAAUUCUGAAAAUUUUAUGGAUAGAAGAUAUAUGAGUAUAUUUUUAGGGAAAAUUAACGGCACUUGAUUUGGAGUUUCGUAGCUCCAGUUAUAAAUGAUUUAGUGACUGUUGCUCAGGAAGACAGCUUGCAGUGAAAUUAUGAUUAUGUGGUAAACAUUGACAAAAAUUUGUUAAUGAGUUGCUUAUUGAUUUCUUAUAAGCUUACUAUGAUCUGUAGGUGUGGUUGGCCGAAUAUUGUAAGGGGUUAAUACGUAGUUCGUAUUUGAAUAGUUAGAUUAACGUCUUAGUAAUCCAAUUGUAGGUAGUUCGUCUGUGGAUCUCGUCAGCAUAUCGUCGCAAACAGGUGUGUAACUAACACCCUCUUUCUUAGUCUGGAUCGGCAAAAGUCGAAAAGCCGAAAUGCCGAAAACCGGUAUUUUGUAGAUUUGCGAGUGUGCGAAUGCUCGUGAGGUAAAUCGAUUAAUGUUUUUGGUAAGCUGCAAAAUUUGGACUGCAAAGUGCAUGAUUUCUGUGCCCUCGAUAUUUUUGGGCUUAAUGGGCCAAAAUUGGAAUGAUGGGCCAACGGGCCCAAUUCGGUAAGAACCCUCGGUAUGUGAGUCUGUUAGUACGUGAAAAGUAGGAAUAUGCAUGAAAAACCCUAAAAAUAGCUAAAUUACUAUAAUACCCCUAUGUAUGGAAAAUUACUGUUAUACCCCUAGGUGCAAAAUUACCGAAAUACCCCUAGGGUUAAAUUGACCUAAAUGCAUUUUGACUGUUAUUAUUUACUGCAUGCCAUGUUGUUCUUAUCUGAUGCAUGGGAUUGGGAUAUUGACGGAGGAAGUACUGAAAGUGGCUUGUCCACGUACUGAAGGCUUUGCCUCAAUUUACUGUUAACUGAGCAGCAAGGCUGCAACUAUGGAGUGUUGGGCUGGGUGGGUUGAGCUAUUCCCCACAUGGAGUGUAUGGCUGGUACGGGUGGAGUGUAGUGGUUGGUGGGUUGAGUAGUCUCCCCAAAUGGGCUUGCAUAUGUUUAUUGAUGUUGCAUGUAUUUUGAAAUGGGCUUAUGGGCCAUACUGUUAUCUAAAUAAGGGGCUAAGGCCCAGUUUAUUGUAAUCUGAAAAGGGCUCUGGUCCAGUACCACUGUUACCUGAAUGGGCUUAGGCCCAAUAGGCUUGAGCUGACUUGGGCUUUGAAUGGGUUUUCCUUACACACUGAGUUUCCCCAAACUCACCCCUUUUAUUUUCAUCCACGCAGGAAAUCCCCAACCAUAGUGGGCUUGGAGCUGUGAGGGAAUUCGGAGUGGCCACCCGUUUUGAAAGUUUGAUUUUCUUCUGGUGAACUGGACAUCCUUUUAAUUACAUUUGAGGUUUUGGGCUUUUAAAUGUAAUAAGGCCGCUUAUUUAUUUUUGAUGGUUUUUAAUAUGUAUUACUAAGAUAGGUAUUACUUAUAUUUAACUGUUGAAAUUGGAUAGCUUUAGAGCGUGUUUUCAAAAACAACAAUUGAUUUCAAAAUAACACGACAACAAGCAAAGCUUCCGCAAUGAAAGUAUUUUCCAAGAUUAAUCACUUUUCCUAAAAAUGAAUUAAUCAAAUCGGUUUCCUAGAAAUAUCCAUGACGUUAAGGUGUGGCAAUGGCGGUAUGCAUGUCUAGGAUUGGAUCCGAAGGGAGCUUGGUACUUAAGCAGUCCGAUGGACUCACCACCUCUUUUCCAGUUUCCUACCUAGUGCACAGCUUCCAUUCACUUUAACCUAUAAUGAAAUUAUCUUUUAAAACACUAAGUAAGUUUUUCUGGAUCAACAAAAUAAAAUGUUUUGAACGCUUCGAUGUGGCAUGUCGGAUCCGGUCAUAACGUCUAGGCCGGGUUUGGGGUGUUACAGUUGGAUGAUUCAUGUGUCCCUCUUGAGUCUGUGCCGUGUAUCCAUAUUAAUAUAAAAUGUGGAAAAUGUCAGCAUCUGAAAGAUCAUGUGAAUCGAUUUAUAUGAGCCUCGAAGGUCGAUGUGGAAACGAAAUGAAUCAAUAGAUUCUAGAAAGAAAUAAGAUAUGAAAUGAAUAAUUGGCAUUGUAAUAGGCCCAUUUCGCCCGGGCCCACAUCAAAACCAAAACAGAAUAAAAAUAACAAAAAAUAAUAAAUAAAGUCCAAAUUUACAGUCCAUUAAACAAGUCCAAAUAAGCCCGAAUUAAUAAAACCAAAACCCAUGAUAUUAGACCUAAUCCUAACCCAUUACACAGCCCAAGAACCUAACCCAAAACUUAGCCCAUUAACUAUUUUCAGAAAUUGGAAACCCUAGGCCACCAAGCCGCCUUUCCCAUGCACCGCAAACACCAUCAGCAGCCCCAAACAGUGAAGCUUCUGGAAGACUUCGCGUCACACCCCACGAACGGCCUCGCCAUGUCAGCAGCACCACGGCCUCCACACUUGCAACAGAUUAACAAACAAAAAGAGAAAGCAGCAAGUUGACAGCAGAUUACAGCAAAUUACAGCAACGAAAUCUAUUUCUUUUUCCUUUUAUUUUUAUUUAUUUUUCGGUUAUAAAAACUGGAUAGAAUGAAAUGUAUAGGGAUCUUUUUUUCCCCUUCUUUUUACGAAGAGAAUAAUAGUCGAAUACACACAUAUAUGAAAAGAAUAGAAAUCAGUUCAAAGAGAGUUUUCAAGAGGUGAUUUUAGAGUUUACUUUUUUCUUUCGAUUUUGGUUUCUAUUUUUUUUCUUUGAUUUUCAUUAUUGUGUGUGAAAUACAAAAUAAAUAAGGGCGUAAGCACUUAUCUGAUGGAAGAAGCCUUCGAAUCCUUGUUUACUUCAUUGAAAUCGAAGCUUUGAUGAGGAUUCGGGGGGGUCCGAUUUGACGACAUAGAGAUGAAGGGUAAAGAACCUUUUGGUUCGGUCGACUGAGAGGGGGGAGAAGAGGUUCAAAAAUUUUGAAAGAAAAGGGUUUUGGAAACUGUUUUGAGAAGAAUAAUCGGUCUGAGGUUAUUAGGGCUUUUGUUUUUAUUCAUAUAUAUGUCCAAAAACGGCGUCGUUUGGUAAAACAAGGAUCCGCGCGUUGACCCGUUUGGAGGCCCGGAUUCGCGCCUUUUCACCCUGAAAGGUCAAUUUUUGCGACGAGUCCCUCCUAUCAUGCAUUGAUCUGUUUUUCGGCCUUGAUUCUGUUUACUUAUUUUUACAUUUUCCCUGUGAUUUACGCAUUGCUGCGAUUUGGUCCUUGUUUAAAUGCCGCGUUUCGAAGCUUGGGAUAUUUGUAUUUUAAAUCCCUGACCAUUGGUGCAUGUUUCAUCUUAGUCUAAUCUUUGGUUUUAUUGAUUUUAUUUGUUUAUAGAUUGUCCUCUUAAUCUUAUUUUUAUUUCAAUCGAGUUUUUUUAAUUUAUGUUUUUAUUCAUUUUUAUUUAAGAUUUUAUUAUUUGUUUUCUAAAAUUAUCUUAACAUAGUUUUUUAAAUAUUGCUUUAAUUUGUUAUUUCAUUCAUUUGUAUAAUUGUUUCUUUAAAUUGUUCUAUUAUUUAAAAUUUCUAUUUUAAAAUUUUCUUUAUACAUGUAUUUUUAUUUUCAAAAUUUAUACAUUAUACAUUAUAUAUUAUUUUAAAAUUUAUAUUAUACAUUAUUAUUUAUAUAUUGUUGAUUUUAUAUUAUUUUAUGUAUAUAUCACUUCUUGAAUUUAUUCACAUACAUAUAUUUUUUAUAUAUUUAUACAAAAGCUAGCUCUUUUAAAAAGCCUAUUUUAUUAUAUAUAUAUAUAUUUUUUUCAACACUUUCAUCUAUUAUUUUUAUACACAUAUAUAUAUUAAUUCUAUUAAGUUUUGCAUUUUAUGUGUGUUAUCAAUUUUAAUUCAAAUUGUUUUGUAUUUCAUUGAUUUCAAACUUUAUUUCGAAUUCUCUCAUAUGUUGCCUAUUUUUUAAAAUUUUUGUACAUAUAAUUUAGUUUAAAAUUAUAUACAUGUAUUGGUUUCAAAGUUUCUUUUGUUCAUUUAUUUUAAAUUUUUUUAUUAUUCUUCAAAAUUUGUUUUACAUUUUAUUAAUUUGCCAUGUAAAUGUUAUAAAAUAUAUAUAUUUUCAAAAAAGGAAGUUCAUCAGGCUUUGAUUGUUAAUAUCGCUUCAAUAUGAAAAGAUGGAAUAUCAUUAUUGUUUAUGUCAGAUUGGAUUUUCGCAUUGUUAUCUUUGUUAUUCAAUAGUGUAAUGUUAUGUUGAAUUCACAUAUAUUUGUGCUAUGCUUGAUACCAUGUUUUUGUCUCCCACGUAUUUGGGCCCGAUUUUUAAUUGUUUUGUUCUUUUAUAUCCCAAACGAACUAAAUAAAUGCAUUUUGAGAUAAUUUACAACCAUUUAUUUAAACUUCUUUGUUAAAAACAAGGCAAUAUUCAAUAUUUAGAAAUUCGGGAAAACGUGCCCUACCGUGCUGGAUACGAUUUUUCGUUGGACUAAAUAUCUGAAUAUCCUUUUAUAAUUUUUAACCUAAAAGGUUUUGGAAGUCAAAUAUCAAUCAUAUUUUCAAAGGUAUGAAGGAUCGCGCCCAAUCGUGCUGGAUGUGAUGCUACAUUCUUUUGAAACGAGAGAAUUUUGACGACCAACUUGAACCACUUAAGUGUUUGAAUAAGAACCACAUUUCAAAAACUCUUUUUUUAAAAUCUAGACAUAAAGGCAGCACUUAAUCAAUCUGGUAUAAGUUUUUGGGCAUAAUGAGGGUGUUAACCCAUCCUCAUACGUAACCGACUCCCGAACCCAUCUUUUUACGUGGACCAAAAAUGGAUUUAAAUGGAACAAAAUGUUUUAGUAGGUGACCCAAUCACACAUUCGGUUUUAAAAGUCGAUUCUCAUUUUUUUUCAAAAUAAAUGGUUUCGACAGGCAUAUUAUGACAUGGAAAUGAAUGUAACUUAUUGUUAGAAAGUAUGACAUGGUAUGUUCAUAUGAAAUUGUCAAAUGAAUUAAUGUAUAAACUUGGUAUAUGAGACAUGAAUUGCUUAAACUAGUUCAUUAAGGCAUUAUAUUAACAACUAAUUAGAUUAAUUAAAUUACUAAUUAUUGAAAAGAAAAACAUCAUCUUCCUUCAUCUUUUCCACCAUCCACCAAAUAAGAAGAAAAUCAUUUCUUCCUUUUAUUCUACGAUUGUUGAACCUAGCUAAAGGAAAAUAGGUGAUUUUAUCAUCAAAUUUUGGUUAAAUUUUAGUUAAAAUAUAAUAGAUGUGUAACACCCCGUACCCGAGACCGUUGCCGGAGUCGGACACGAGGGGUUCACAGACUAAAUUCGCUUACUAUCGCAGUCCAUUUUAAAAUUUUCCAGGCAGUUGGCUAACUGCGACACUGUCACCUUAAAAAUCAUAUCUUGAGUUUCACAACUCGAAAAUCAGUUUCGUAAUUUUUCCCUGAAACUAGACUCAUAUGCCCAUCUACAUAUUUUUUUCUAGAAUUUUUGGUCGGGCCAAUUAGUACAGUUUAUUAGUCAAAGUCUCCCAUGUUACAGGGAUCGACUACACUAACCUUUUCGCAUUACGACUUGGAUAUCUCCCUGCACAGAGCUUCAAUAUUGAUGCCAUUUGUUUCUAUAGAAACUAGACUCAGAGAGGAAUCUAUACAUAUAUGGAAUGACUACUAAUUAUCUCUGGUUAAUUUAUAAUGAAUUUCCAAAGUUGGAACAGGGAAUCUAGAAACCGUUCUGGACCUGUCUCACGAGAACCUGAAUAUCUCUUAACAUACUGUCUAUAUGAUCGUUUCGUUACUUUCCUAUGAAAAUAGAUUCAUCAAGGUUCGUUUACAUAAUUUAUUCAUUAUUUAAUUCCAAUCCUACUAUUUUUAGUGAUUUUCCAAAUCUACAUCACUGCUGCUGCCAGCAUCUGCCUUUAAGGUAGACUUUACCUAUUUCAUAGUUUCCAUGAUUCAACUAGCCCUUUUAGCAUGAAUAGCACAAAUUAUGAUAGUGAUUAACCAUUCCAUACCAAAUGAUUAUAACAUUAUGCUCAAACAUAUAUAAGCCAUUUUCGCAUGGCUAUAUACAUUAACCAAAAUAUUCUUCCGCCACUAGUCUAUUUUAUACAUGCCAUAAGAUAAUCCAAAACAUAGCAGUACCAAACAGUGGAUAGUGAUAGUGUGACUAGUUGCUGACGAUCCCCGAGCCUGUAGCUUCGCAAUGAGAUCUAUAAAACAGAGGAAACAGAGUAAACGGAGUAAGCAUUACAAUGCUUAGUAAGUUUUAAGCAGUGUCAACAGAUAACAAUCAAAUUAUAACAUAGUUGUUCGUAUUUUUAUUUCACUCUUCCUUCGGGCAUACCAUCCCUUUACCGAAUAUGCACAUCUCAUCAUAUACAAUAGGCAGAUAAACUUUCACAUAAAAGUGAGCUCAUGUGACAUAGAUAUAUCGUAUGAUUUCACAUAACCUCUCACUCUGAUUCGAUGUCACAUAAUCAUAGGAAUAGUCUCAUAGAUUGCUCUCGUAUGCGUCACAUAACUACCUUAUGAUUUAGUGCAAAUCAAGCUCACAUAUAAACUUGGAGUACAUACCUGUUUAACCUUUCGCAUUGAAUAUAUUUAUAAGCAAUUCUUAUUACGAAGUCUUACCCGGACAUAAUCUCCACACGAAGUUAUCGGGUCUUACCCGGACAAAAUCCCCACACGUAGUCAUCGGGUCUUUAGAGCUCGGAUAUAGUACGAGCACGAAGCUUACAGACAUUAAUCAGUGAUAAUAUUCUCGCAUAAAGCCUGCGGGGUUUUAACCCGGAUAUAGUACUGACACAAAUGCCCUUCGGGACUUAUCACAUUCAUCACAUCGGCCAUUAGGCCCUAUCACAUAUAUACACACUUUCACAUUCAUCACAUCGGCCAUUAGGCCCUAUCACAUAUAUAUACACUUUCACAUUCAUCACAUCGGCCAUUAGGCCUUAUCACAUAUAUACACUUUCACAUUCUCAAAGUAAGCUAUUUUAGCUUAGUUAUAAGCAAUUUAAACAAUUUAAAAGACAUUAAAAACUCAAUUUGAGUAACCAAGUCCUGCUACUAAAAUCACAUAUUCAACCAAACUUGACUACCAAUAUAUAUCAAUCAGUCAAGUUUAAUACCUAACAUGUUCGAAUAUACAUAAACUCUAAAAAUAAUAAUAAUAAUUACUUAACACUUCCCAUCUUACCAUUUAAUACCUAGUCGAAUGUUCACUCAUAUAUAAAAUAAAUAAUCAAACAUUAUUAUAUAUAUAUAAUAUCAUUUUAUUAUUAUUAUCAUUAUUUAUUUUAUUUUAUACUUUUCAACUCAUCCAUCUCUCAUUUUUCCAAAUCUAUCAUACAUAUUAUAUUUAUAACUACCCACCAUAUAAUUUCAAGUUCAAUAAUAUCAACCACAAAGGUUUGAUUACGUACCUUCAUUAUUACGAACAUAAAUAUUACACUACUACUCUUGCAUUUGAUAAUUAGAUCGUCUGAUCAUUUUCCUUCACCCGUUGUAUUCGCACACUUAGUGCUAUUGUUUAACUAGAAAGGCCAUGAAAUCGCACACUUAGUGCUUAAUAUUUUCCUUCGCACACUUAGUGCUCGAUAAUCAAACUCGCAUGCUUAGUGAAAUUUUCAUAUUUAUUAUUUCUAUUUGCAUUCGACAACACCAAGAUUUUAUAUAUUUCAACGCGGCUCACACAAAUAUAUAAAUUAUAUUUAUUUAAACCAACAAUAAAUAUUUGCUUAACGACUUACCUCGGAUUUCGACGGACAGUCGAAUUCGACUACUCAACGAUUUUUUUUUAUUUUCCCCGAUCCACGUCUGAUCUUUUUGGUUCUUGAUCUAAAAAUUUCGAAAUUAAUCUCAUUCAAAUAGAAUUUCCUUCAUUUAGGUACAAAUACACAUAAUUGAGCAAUUUACCAAUUUACCCCUAAUAUUAUGCACUUUUACAAUUUAAUCCAAUUUUCUCAAAACACAAAAUAUGAAGAAUUUGUAUAUACAAUGCUAGGGCCGAAUGUUCACUAAGCUUAUAUAAAUCCUCCCAUUUCACUAAUUUCACAAUCUAGUCCUUCAAUUUAGUACUUUUUUUCAAUUUAACCCUAAAUGCUCAAAAUUACCAAAAAUCCCAAUACCAAAAUGUUAAUCUAACACAUUUAUUUUAUUUUCUCACAUCAAACGUAAAUUUUAUCAAACUAUUAACAAUGACACUUCAUGACUAUAUCAUCAAUUUCAAAAUUUCAAGCAUGGGCUUUAUAGUAUUCAAAGCAACUAUCUCAAAAGGGUAAAAAUUAACAAAAACCAAACUCAAAUCACUUACCUAAUUGAACAUGCAAGGACCGAAAAUAUCAAAGCUGAAACUUUCCUUUCUUUCUCUUAGCUUCGGCCGAGUAAAAAUAAAAGAAAGAUGAACACUUUCAUCUUUUAUUAAAUAUAAUAUAUUAACAUAUAUUAAAGUAUACCAAAAUGCCAUAAAAUAUAACAAACAAUUCAAGUCAUUAAUCCAUGCAUAUUGGUCGGCCACCAAUUCCUAUUUAUGGCCAAAUUGCAACCUUAAUAUUCCAUAAUAUAAAAACAAUCAUAAUUUGGCCCUUAUACAUUAACCCUUAAAUUUUCCAUUUUACGCGAUUAAACCAUUUUUUCAUCAAUCGACCUCCAAACACUAAAAUUUUUAAACGAAACUUUCACAAAAGCAACUUCACACAUUUUAAACAUAGAAAAUGAUAUUUAAAUAUUAUUUUAACUUGGAUUCGUGGUCCCGAAACCACCGUUCCAAUUAAGGUCCAAAUUGGGCUG